RNAcentral lists this long non-coding RNA (132948 nucleotides) under Eucalyptus grandis. RNAcentral describes it as "long non-coding RNA (EGRA_LNC006597)". The record is from RNAcentral. Lineage: Eukaryota; Viridiplantae; Streptophyta; Magnoliopsida; Myrtales; Myrtaceae.
CUAUGUGAAGAUGUUAAUAUACUCUCAAGCCUAAGAGAAGGGCUUUCUAUUUGAGUAUCUAAUUGGAAAAAAGAAAUAGUCCAUAUUAGACAAAUAAACCAGCAGAUGUUCAGAAAAAAGCACAAGUGGGCAUUCUUUGUGUGCGAUAGGUGCUGCUAAUUUUAAGGCCUCUUGGAGGUAACAUGAUAGUCUAAAGCCUGAGCAACUGGCUUUCUAUGUGAGUAAUUGACUGAUCAUCGUCGCCACUGAUUUUGCAUAGAGACACCAGAAAGAAAUGUUAGAUGAAGAUAAAUAGAAUGAAUACUACCGGUUGUCUUAAUCAUCGCAUUUCCAUUUGUGCCAUCAAUCUUCAGUUUAAACAUUCCACGACAUCCAAAAUGAUCAUCAUGUAGAGUAAUCCUAUUGUAAUAUUAAACCCUCCCCACAUAGAAACCUUCCCAGUAUCGAUGAUCCACCACCCUGACUACAUCUCAAAGACAGAGCCAGAGAGAGAGAGAGAGAACAAGGAUCUUGUAACUGAUGGUGUAACUUUUUAAGUAUUCAUAACAGCAAAGCUGUAGCAUAUAGCCUAGGAGAAAGAUGAAAACUACAAGGUAAAGGGUUCUAAGUAGCAAUUUCUACGACCAAUAGAGUACCGGCAGUGUUUAUACUGCCAUCCUCGAGGUAAAAUCAGGAUCAGCCGACCUCAGCCCAGCGAUGACCAACCCAGUGGGAGGAAAAACUUCUUACGACGGAUGAAACGAUCAAUUAAAGGGAGGCGGGGGGAAAACAUAAAGCCAGGAUACGGAAAAUAAACCAACUCCUCACAUCCAAAAGCCCAAAGCUAACACAUCCUCACGGUUCACGCCACCGGAUUUCCUCGCGAUUCAAGCAACGGUCGGGCACAAAAUCACAAAAAAUGAGGUAAAACACGACAGCUAGAAACGAACCCCCGCAAAACGACCGAAUACCCCUCGAUUUCGAAAGGAUCGCGACGGUAUCGCCGAACUUAUCCUCACGACAGGUGAUCGGAGCCGGAUAAUCGAGAAUUCCGCGGCACGCGAUCAUGAUCGGACCGUCUACGCAACCACAAGAACACGCAAACCGAAAAGAGAAGACAGACAAUCUUAAAAGCGAUGACCGAUCGAUCGAUCGAUGGAAGCGAGUUAGAAAGAGCUUCUGCGGGUGGGGGAGAGAGACUACCUCCGGGGUCGAUUCGAUCGCCGGUCGCCGCCGCGCCGAGGAGCAAUCGCUGAGAGCCAGAGAAAGCAAGCGAGGAAGCAAGCGAGAGAGAGAGAGAGAGAGAGAGUCCUUCGGUCGCAACAAGAGGGUGGUUUAUAUAAGGAGGUCUGGGGUGCGCUGCAGAGAUGACAAUCGAGAAAAACAAGAGGAGAAAAUUUGUUUGCUCUGCCGAGACGUUAUCGUAUUCCCUCUUCUGAGGUACGUAUCCGAAUACUUCUCCUGCACUUUACCAAUUAAUACGUGAAUCUUUUCUUUUGGUCGAAUUUGAUUAGUAAAUUAGAUUAGAUUAAACUAGGAGAUUACGUAUAUAGUUCACCCUCUUUAUCGAAGGACAAAAAUCGUAUGGAUUUUCGCUAUUUUCAUAGAAAAUAGCUUACGCAGCAAUCAUCAACAAAAUAAUAAUCGACUAUUAGAGAAUUUGGUUAGCCAAUCUUAGAAAAUGCAAUAAAAUUAAAUGUUAAGAAACAUGGUGAAGAAAGUAACAAAGUUAAUUUCUGAGCAGGAAGAAAAAUGAUGAGUCUGUUCUUUAUUUAUUUACUUUUUGUUAUUAUAAAGAAAUCGGCGGGGAGGGACGAUCGCCAAUGGCUCCUCUAUUGAUCGUGAUGUAUAUUGUAUGGGUGUCAUAUUCAUGUAUGGCAACGGUAAGGACACAUUUUCAAACUUAAACUCGUAUUUAAUAUCACCAUUUUGAUGAGUAUCUUGGGCACUUGUUAAAUAUUUUUUAGGUCUUAGUUGUGAAAAUGUAAUUAAGUCCUAAAACUUUUAAAAAAUACAAUUAAAUCUUAAAAAUUAUUAAGUUGAUAUAAUCAAGUCAUUUCGUUAACAUCGUUUAUCUAACAGAAACUUGGCAUUUUAAAGUUUAUGUAUUUAUCUUACGUGGCAUUUUUAUUAUUUUUUAAAAUCUUAUUUAAAUAAUAGUAAAAAAAAACUAAAGAAAAGCUAAAAUAAUUUAAAAAAUAAAAUUGGAAACGAAGAAAAGAAAAGGGCAAGGAUCAUGCUAGAAACGCUGCCGUUGCCACCCUCUGGCAAUCUCAUCAGCCCCAAGCAAUGUAGCGGCGGGGGGGGGGGGGGGGGGGGCAUAGUCCUCGCCAGCCUAGGUAAGGCCAUCGCCAAUCCAAGCCGCUUGGACUGGGUGAGGCUUGCCUAGAUUUGGGAGGCACCUUAGCUGGCCAGCAUGGCUUGCCCAAAAUUGGGUGAUGUUGGCCCUUGCUUAAGCUUAACGAGGGUCACCAACCCUCACUUGGGGUUGGCGGAGCCUCAUUUUGGGGCCGACAGGCUUGCUAGUCAUAGGCGACGGCCGGCAUCAUCUAGAUCUAGGCGAGCCUUGCCAACCCUUGCCUAUGCCGAUGAUGAGUUUGCCCGAGUUGACUAAGGCCACACUCCCUCUAGUUGCUAACCCCCUUCGAUGAUGGAUAGUGGCGGCAUGCCCAGCACGAUCCAUAGCCUUUUUCUUUUCUUUGUUUCCAAUUUUGUUUUUCAAAUUAUUUUAGCUUUUUAAAGUUUUUUUACUAUUAUUUAAAUAAUAUUUAAAGAGAAAAGUAAAAAAAAAAUGUAAUGUAAAAUAAAUUAAUUAAUUUAAAAAUGUAAUGUCGGCAUAUUUCGUUAGAAAAAUUGACAAUGUUAACGAAAAGACUUGGUUACACGAAUUUGAUAAAUUUUAAGACUUAAUGACACAUUUUGAAAAUUUUAGGCCUCCAUUAUAUUUUCACAAUAAGUUUUAAGACUUGUAAUAUACAUAUCUCAUAUUUUUAUUAAGGGGAUUUUUGAUCUUCAACAUGUAAUCAAGUAUAUUAUGAUGACAAUCAAGGUAUCAAGAGUCGCAAUAUUUUCUUAUUUAGUUGUUUAAUAAGUAUUUUCGAGGCACUUUUAAGUAAAUCCUUUAAAAAAUGGGUCCUUAUACUUUUUUAAGACACUUCGUUGCUUUGGCUUGGAUUAGUAAGUUCUUCGAAAGGACUAGAAAAACCUAGUGGAAAUUUCCAAGUAUUAUGCAAAGAAUACAAUCAAUUGGUAAACUUUUUGGUUUAGCACAUCAAUUUCUAAAUCUUCCGUGAGGAGAAAAGUUCAACGAGAUUUUCCCAUCAGAAAUUUGCCAUUGUUGCUAUAAAAAAUCGCUUUAGUGCACGUAUGACAAAUUAAAUAAAAUACAACCGAAAGAAUUUUCUGAUACUCUUUCUAAUAAAAAAAAAUUCAAGAUUCAACUAAACUAAUAAAAGGUUUAAAGCUCGAUUUGCAUUUUUCGUGUAAGAUUUUGGACAUGGUACUUUUCUUUUACGUCACCGUAUCGUACCAGGUACAAAAGGAAAGAAGAAGAAAGAUAGGCGGAUGCGUCACGCACAUAAAGGUGGCCAAAGGGAAGGUUAGGAUAAACAUCACCGGUUGGACCGGUUGCUUUUGGCCUUUCUUCUUUUCUUUCUUACUUUUGCUGCGUUUGGGCAAAGACGUACUUUCGUUUCUUGUUUGACGAGUUCCAAACCAAACCACCUUUUUUUUUUUUUUUUUUUAAAUUAAAGAAAGAGUUGCGAGUCUCUCCUGGCCGUUUGACAUGGUGGGAAUAGUUAUAUGGAUUAGGAGUUGUUUAUUGCCGUAAUUAAGAGGGAAAGACGCCCUAUAAUUAUGCCAAUCAAGCUUGACUGUAUUCCUUUCCCAUUAUUGAGAGGACUCCUUGUGCAAUUUUCUUGUUUUGCUUUCGCCUUGACUCAAAGUUGUCGAUCUCUUAUUUGCAUCUUCUUUCCUCCUCUCUUCCUUUUCUCAAUCUUCUCUCUGCUCAAAGUUUCACCGCAGGCCAUGGUCUCGCUCUGUAGUCUCCCUUCUUUCUUUCCUUUUCCUUUGUUUUUCUGUUGCAAUUCUCAAACUUCAUUGACGCUCAAGCUCAAAAUUAUGAUUAGCCAACAGCCACGACUUCGACUUAGUGGGUGAAUAACACAACAGCUACUCACGUCACUCGACAUGUAAAUGGAUCGAUCGUGCUGGCAAUUCUACUUCGAGGCAAAGGAGGUUCUGGCCCUACCUAUGCCUGCGGCUACUGUAAUGGUAACUGCAACACUUAUCUCUUCGUUGUUUUCAUCGUCACAAUUUAUGGUGGUGGCAUAAUUAUUGAAUACACUACUUGUGGAAUAUGGUUUGCCAAUCAAAACAAUCCCGUAAAGAUCGAGCGACCUUGGAGCUCAUGUUCGAAGGCGAUUUGGUGUCAAAAGAUGCUGAUGGUACGGUCGCUUAGUCCAUUAAUUCUUAUCGAAAGUCCGUUGUAGGCUUGAACUUGACAAAUCGUGUUGUUUGAUAAGGACAAUGUGACUGUUUUGCAGUCUUUUGAUGAGCCAACCGACUCACUUGUUGUCCGACAAAAGUUGAGGCGGGGGCAAAUAUUGAUGCUGAGUGUUUCCCAGGCAAAUUGGACUGUUAAUGAUAUGAUUUUUUUUUCCAUGAUUGGCGAUGUUUUACACACUCAAGUGGAGACUAAUCCUUCUCAUAUAUAUUUUGAGCAUGAAGGUUUAACUUGGAAUGCAAGCAUCGAGUUUCCAUAUGUUGAGUUUGUAAAUGAAAGCUUGUCUUGGAUCUCAUAUCCUAGCUGUAGUAAGGGCUUGAUAUCGUUCACUCUAGCAUCUUCUACACAAUACAUGAAGUUUGGGCCCGGAUGGGCCUUUGAGAUUGUAUGAUUAUGAUUGGUCCGGCAAGCAUAAAGAAGUGGCCGAUCUUUUCAAAGAUGAUCUCAGCGAUUGUGCCUAUCUGACACUAUGUGGGCGCUAUGGAAUUUGUUCCAACAGGCAAGGUAGUUGUCCGGCUUCGACUGGGGGACGAGCUAUUUCUAACAAGUAGAUGAUAGGUGGCCUAAUAUUGGGUGUUCUGAGAUGUUCCGUUGUCUUAUGGGGCUUCAAAAAAUCAAAUUCUUUUGGAGCUCGAAAAUGUCAUGUAUUUCACUUUCACUCUAGAUUUCGAGGACAUAAAUGCUUUAAGUUGUAUAGAGGCCUAUGCAAAGAACUGUUCCUGCAAAACAGCUAUAUUCCGGCAUGAAUCGAAUCGCACUAGUGGCAGUUGUUACUUAUCAAGUUAGAUGUUUUCAUAUAUGAACAUUGACAAGAAAACGUUUUUCUAUAAUUCUACUGCUUACCUUAAAGUACAAAAUGUUACCCUUAUACUCCAGUUGACAAUCGUAAGAGUAAUCGUCCCCCUAAAAUACUUGGGUCUAGCCUCCGAGCUCUCUUUGCCAUGAUGAUUCUCAUUGUAGCCUUAGUUUUGUUUGUUCAAAAGAGAGCAAAUGAAGAUUAUCUUGAUCAAGUACCUAGAGUGCCACUAGAUUCACGUAUGAUGAUUUGAAAACCAUCACAAAUGGAUUCAAUAAAAAGCUUGGCAAAUGCAGCUUUGGUUCUAUUUUCAAAAGUACUCUAAAUGACAUCACAAAAGUUGCAGUAAAACGCCUUGAUGGUUUUAGGUAGGUUAAGAAAUUCUUUCUAGUUGAAGUUGAGACUAUUGGCAGCAUCCGUCAUGUGAACUUGUACUGUGUUUGGUACGAGCUUUGGGGUAUUGUUUGUCCAGUGAAGAGUACUCUUUGGGCUAAUGUUUGGGUGUUUGGUAAAAAAUUUUAAUCCCACCUUGAGACAAAGUUUGCAUUUAAAAGGCUGAAAGCCCAGUCUAGUCUUAGGCUGCCUUGGGCUUUCAGCCUUCUUGAAAGGGGAAGUAAAAAAAUUUCUUCCAAUUUUAUCCUCAUUGAUUUUUUGAUUUUUCGACUUAGCCCUUGUUUGUGACUAUUCAUCUUCUUCUCUCUAGGACUGGCCGACAUAUUUGUUGUGACUGCGAGGGUCCGGCCAUGGGCUAAAAAGAGGUCAGCGACGUUGCUGGCGACCCAGGUGACCGUCGCCGAGAGGUCGUGCGACCCUCAUGAGGCUAACUGCGAUUGCUCGAUCCAAACAACAGAAGGUCCUCGGCGGUCGCACGACACUGGCGAGGGGCUACCUGGUGUUGGGUGACCUAGCUGGCCCUCGUUGGGGUCGAGCGACCUUCGCGAGGGUCAUGUCGGUGAGGGCCUAGGUUUGUAUGACCACCUGGCCCUUGCCGAGGUCGAGCAAGCGCCACCUAGCUAGCUCUCGCUAGGGGCGAGUGACCUCGGCGAGGGGUUGCGAUAACCCUAGCAAGGGGUUGUGCAACCUUCACCAAGGGUCCCUCGGCCCUAGUCGACCUUCGCCAAUGGUCCUUGGGGGUAGACGAUGACCACCGGCGAUCCGCCGGCAACAAAUCUGGAUCUCUAGCGACCAUAUGAUCUAUUAGGGGCAACUUUUUUUUUUUUUUAAUAACUAAAGUGCUUUGCAUGAGUAUAGUUUUUCCAAACGCAAUUUCACUUAAAAAUACUUCACAAUAGACUUUUAAAUCAUGAUUUAACAAACAUAAUUUGCAUUUUGGAAAAAUCCUUGUACUUAAAAUCCUUUGCAUUUUCUCAAACGCUUUCCCCAAAAGUCCAACCAAAUGCACCCUUGGUAAGACUCAUGGGAUUUUGCGCUGAGAAAUCCCACAAGCUCCUUAUCUAUGAGUAGAUGUCAAAUGGGUCUCUAGAUAGAUGGAUCUUUCACAAAUCCAAUGAAUGCGUUCUUCGUUGGCAACAAAGGAAGAAGAUCAUUCUUGAUAUAGCAAAAGGACUUAAUUAUCUUCAUUAAGAUUGUAGACAGAAGAUAUUUCACUUAGAAAUUAUAUCCCUAAAUAUCCUCUUGGAUGGAAAUUUAAAUGUAAAAGGUUGUUGAUUUUGGAUCCAUGUUAUCAUAAUCAUGAGAGGAACUCUUGGUUAUUUGGUCCUUGAAUGGUGGAGUAAAGCAAUCACUGAAAAGGUCGACAUGUAUAGCUUUGGUGUGGUAAUCUUGGAGAAGCAUGUGCGAGAAAAAUCUUGGAUCACUCUCUAGACGAAGAAGACAGGCAUUCACUAAGCCUUUUUUAGAGAAAGCAGCAGAGAAACGAUUGUUGGAUAUUAUGGAUAAGUCUAGCUAUGACAUGCAACUAAAUGGACCGCAUGCGCUGAAUAUGACGAGGACUGCUGCAUGGUGCUUGCAAGAAGACUAUACAAAUAGGCCCUCCAUGUCUAUGGCCAUCAAGGUAUUAAAGGGUGUCAUGGAAGUUCCACAAGACUUGGAUUAUGACUUUACUACCCAGGCUUCCACUAAUGGAGAAGCGAGAUUCGGUCGAAUGGACAUCGAAUUCAAUGCUACCACUACAUUAUUACCCUCGGAUUUAAGUGGUCCACGAUGACGCUACAAAUUUGUAAGAACAUUUCUUCCCAAUACGUCAAGUGGUAAAACGUGCAGGUGAUUGAAUUUUUCAGACUAUGAGGACUCCAUCUUGUCAUUCUCUUUUCAAGCCCAAAAAAGGCUUGUGGCGUGAUUUCAUUUUUUGUUUUCACUUUGCUAAUGAGUGGACUUCGCCAUAAUUUGGCAAAGGAUUGAGUUGGUUAGGAUAUUGCGAUUUGGUUUUAUUGCUUAUGUAGAAAUUGGUCAUACUCAAGUUUGUUGUGUGCUAGUCUAGGGAAAUGGGCAAUUUGCCGAGUCGUUUGUGCAAAAAGCUAUUAAAAGACUAGUCAACUGCUGGUAAUGUCUUUUGGUAGCUUUGCCACGUUGUGGAUCCAAAUCAGAUUUGCCUUUUGGUUCCAACACUUGAUAUCUUUCAAAUUCAAGGACUCUACCUUCCAUGUCUUCCUCAUUUCAAGGUUGGUGGCUAUUUUUAGUCCGUUCUGCAAGCACACGAUUAAAACUUAGAAAGAUAACGAGAGAAUUUCAUCACUAAUAAGUUUGGAUUCUUCCUAGCGACUCCUGAUGUAUCCUAGGUUAAUAAUCUUAACUUACAGCUUCUUAAGGAUCCAUCUAAGUCGUCCCGGGACAUAUAUUCACCAAAAAUAAAGAACCGAGAUGUUUGGGCGUUCAAGAUUCAACUUUACGAUCUUUAGAUAACACUGAUCAUUUGUAAUAACCUUGGCAUUUUCACGGUCAUUAAUCAACAUUGAACGCACACAGAUUCAUCAAAUUUAAUCUGGGAUAAGAAGCUUGUUCAUGUCUUAUUGGGUCCUGGAACUGUUCACACAAUUAACGAAAGUUCAAAGCGAUCUGACGAGGACCCCCCGCCAUGCCGUGGCACCUCUUGAUUGGAUCUGAUCACGGCCGGUCAACAAACCAGAUCCCCCGUGGAGCUCACCCAAAGGCCCAACCUACGGUAACCUCUCGCAAAGUCCUCGCUCUUCCCGGCACAACCCACUAGCGACGGAAGUAUUUCUUCUUAUUCUUCCAAUUCCUUUGCUUUGUGCCCUUCGCCUUCUCUUCUUGAAGUCUUCGAAUCGAAGUCGCCACAGUAACUUAUCGCAAAUCACGUAGAGAAAGGAUAAUCUCGCGAUGAAUCUGUCUAUCUUCUCCGCGGCCAUGGAAGGCAUUGCCUGGAGAGGAUGGCUCUACACGUUGUUCAUUCUGCACUUCGCGUUCGCUUGUCAGUUCCUUCAUCUUCAGCCUCUCGUCUCUACCCUAGGUACGUCAUUCUCGACUAAUCUGGGAACUCGUUGCCUGAUGGAGACUUUGAGAGGCUGUAGUGGGCUCUGAAGCCUGAGCUACUGGCUUUCUAUUUGAGUAAUUUCUCGAUCAUUGUGGCCCCCGACUUUGCAUAGAGACCGUGGAAAGAGAAUGCUAUAUGAAGAAAAUCAGAAUGAAUAGUACUGAUUGUGUUAAUCCACGUGUUCCCAUUUUUGCUUUUUGAUGAUUGUGAAUUUGAUUAGAAUAAACUGCGAAAAAAAUUAAUUUAGAUUAGAUUAAAUUAGAUUAUGUAACAUAACUCACGCUCUUUAUCAAGAAAAAAAACAAUUGUAUCAAUUUGCACUUUUUUCAUGAUAAAUAACUUAUUUCCGACCCAAAAAAAGAGAGAGUUAUAGAUGGUUUACACAACCAUCAAUUAAAUAAUACUUGACAUUAUUAUAUUAGAGAAAUCGAUUAACUAACCUUUUUUUUUUUUUUUUGAACUAGCGAUUAACUAACCUUAGAGAACGCAAUAAAUGCUAAGGAACAUAAUGAAGAAAGAGAUAAAGUUAAUUUUUGAGUAGGAUAAAAAUGAUAAGUCGAUCUUUUCUCUUUUUAAAGAAACGGGCAGGGAGGGGCAAUUGCUGGGUAGCCCUCCUGCUCCCCACUCCCCCUUCCCCCUCGAUUGUGAUGCGCAUUGUAUGCGUGCCAGAUUCAUGUAUGGCAAAGGUAAGAAUGUAUUUUCUAACUUUAACUCGUAUUUGAUAUCACUGAACUUUAUUUUGAUUAUGGACAGUUUUUUUUUUUUAUCAGUUUUACUCUACUCCUAUUCUAACUCUCGCUCUCAGAUUUUUGCUUUACCUCAUUGCAGGACGUGGGAAUCGAAAUCCACACUUAAAAUUAAUUCGUCUCGAUCCCAAUCCUUGAGAAUGUGGGGAUUCGAACCCCCACCCCCUUCCAACUUAAUGAGUAUCUUAAGCACUUGUUAAAUAUUUUUAUUAAGGAAUCUUUGAUCUUUGAUGUAUUAUCAGGUAUAUUAUGAUAAAAAUUAAUGUAUUGGGAGUCGCAAUAUUUUCUUAUUUAGUUGCUUAAUAAGCGUUUUUAUACACUUUUUAAGUAAAUCUUUUUUAUAUUGGGUCUUUAUACUUUUUAAAGACCCUUCACUGCUUCGGCAGAUUACAAGUUCUUUGGAAGGAAAAAUCUAGUGGAAAUUUCCAAAUAUUAUGCAAAGAAUGCAAUCGACCAGUGAAUUUUUCGAUUUGAUCCAAUCAAUUUCUAAAUAUUUUAUAAAGGGAAAAGUUCGACAAGAUCCUUCCACUGGAAAUUUGCAUUUGUUAUUAUAAAAAAAUUGCUUAAGUGCACUCAAGACGUAUCAAAUUAUUAAUAAUCAAAAGAAUCUCCCGAUGCCUUUUUUCAGUAGAAAAUUCAAGACUCAACUAAACUAUCAAAAGAUUUAGAGUCCGAUUGCAUUUAUUUUUUUUGUGUAACAUUUCGGACACGGCAAUUUUUUUUUUCCAAAUGCAUUCCGUACCUCAUGCCGUAUCAAAUUCGAGUAUUCUUUAAUAAAUGUCGCAAGAGGAGAGAAUAAGGAAGGUGGAUAACUCGCGCAUAUAAUGUAGCUGCGGGAAGGGGGACAUUAGGAUAAACACCGCCGGUUGUACCGGCUGUUUUUGGCCUUUCUUCUUUUCUUUUUCUUAGUGGUUUCGUAUGUAAAGAGAGAUACUUCGUUCCUUGUUUGACGAGUACAAAGUCUCUUCCAAUCCAAAUCACCAAAAAAAGUUGAAAAUAAAAAUGAGAGCUGCGAGCCUAAUGUUUGAUAUGGUAGACAGAGGCGAUGUUCAUUCGAUAGGCAGUCUAUCAGGAUAACAGCCUAACCCGGGGGGGGGGGGGGGGGGAUGCGUUUAUUUAAUGAAAGUUAAAUAAUUUGGAAAAUGUUUUUCUAAUAAUAAUUGCUUAUUUAACUUACAAGAAUGAAUGAAAGACAUUUUUAUUUUCCACGAAAAUAUUUAGAUAUAAAUUGUCGUCCAUGAUAAAAAUACUUUUAAUUGACAACUUAUUUCAAGAAUAGAAAUGAUCAAUUUUUUUUUUUCUGUUCCUUUGUUGUUUGGUAGUGCAGGUUUUGCCUGCCUUUUCCUUGUUCGCUGCCUUUUUGUGAGUGGCUUUUUGCAUUCGGCUCCCUUCCACUCAAGUUGACUUGUUGUCUUCUUAAGUUCAAGUUUUAUGGAGCCAAAUCUUGUGUGUAUUGUUGGUUAAGCUCAAUAUAUUAUUACCUUCUAAAAAAAAAAUUAGGAAGAUAUUCCCAAAUUAUUCUUUUUUCGAGAAACAAAUGAAAUAUUCAUGAGCCUUAAAACUUAUUUUGGGCCGGCUUCCCCUUUGCAUAAGGUUACGUGCAUCAGUUUGGCUCAUACUGUGCGGUGCGAUGGAUUAUGAGUCCAAUUUAACCACUCGACUAACGCACUAUAAAAUCUACGAGCAAAUUUGUGUGUUUUAGUAGCGUGCGUUCUUCCAUUUAUGGGAAAUUAGUAUACAUAUUUCAGCAUAAAUUAUUCGCAAAAUUGUAUCAUAUUCCAAAUAAAUCUCCCUCUCUGGAAUAAAACAAAGGGAGAAUUCUUAGUUCAAAUGAUGUGUUAAUGUAAAAUAUAAGACUUGAUAACAGUUAGGAAAUUGUUAAUUUUUGUUAUUAUAUGACAUAGGGAGAAUUUAUAUGUAAUCAAUGACACUAUUGUAAAUUUGAGAGAAAAAUAAUAAAAAUCUUUUAAGGAAAUACUCGAUAGGAAGAGUUGAAAAAAAAUGUAAGAAUUUUCAAUAAUUGCUAAUUUGCAACAUCAAAACUCAUUAAAACUAAUUUCUUUUCCUUUUUUGUUGAACAAACUCGUGUUAUUCAAUGAGGCAAAGUACAAAUUUUGGUCGAAAGCAAAAAUCAGUAGAGGGUGCCAAAAAGAAGUCCUUGAAAGGAGAGUGAUCAAUCCAUUCCAAUCUAGAGUUUUGGGAUAAUUCCAUUAAAAAUUAUAAAUUUCGUACUCCAUGGCGCAUUUAUUUAAACUAACUAAUAGAUGGUAGAUUUGCAUCAGAGGUAUAGAUUUGGUAUCUUUUGUGACAUGAAAAAUUAAUUUAGGGUAAAUGUGUCAUAGAAUGCUAAUUUAGAAUUUUGUGAGACAAAAGCUAAUUUGGGAUAAAUGUGUCAUGAGAGCAUCAAUUUGGAAUUUUAAUAAUAUUAACAUAGUUAUUGUUAGAGACAGUCCUUAAGGAAGAAUUCGGUCUAAUAUAUUUAAAUAAAUAGGAAAGUCAUCCGAAGAAAAUUUCUUCCUUGCAUUUGGGUCCACCAAUUUGAGUUCAAUAUUUUCUCUAGACAACCAUCCUUUCAUCAUUUUGAGGUGAUAGUGCAUUGCAUGCUUCAAGACGAUUCCCUGCUUUGAAUGAGUUUAGAUUUAGGAUUGUAGGUAUUAGAGUAACAAAAUAUAACUUUGAAAAGAUAAACGUAAAUGAAAAGCAAGCCUUGGGAGCAAAACAUAUUUUCGCUAUACAAAACAAGGCUUGAAAUCCUCAAUCUCGGAACCGUGUAACUCGAUUACAAAGCUUUGGUUCUAGCAAGUAGUGUCACAGCCCAUCAAGAAUUGAACCGUGGUUGCUAACAUGAACAAAUAAUAACAUAACCACAAAACCAAGGAGACAUUGCAAAAUUGCGGACGAAGAUUGCCACUGUAGCUAAGAAAAAAAAGCAAGAUCUGCAAUUACUAACACAAAUUUCUACAAAUAAAUAAAUAAAUAAAUAAAUUUUAUGCUCAUUACGAACAGAGAAUUCUUACUUGGGAAGAGAGCAAGAGUGAGGGCAAGUGUGAGAAAAUGACACAUGAAGAAGAGAGCUCGAGGGUGGCAGGUGUGGCGAAACAUGGUGUGAGGAAGAGAGCUCAAAGGUGGUGAGCAUAAGGGAAUGCGGCUUGAGGCACAAAAGAGGGGGAGUCGUGAGGCACGAGAGAGGCGAGUGAAGAGAGAGUAGUGUUCUUAGGGUUUUUAGUUCAUGAAAGGGCAAAAAUGAAAUUACAUCUAAUAAAUGAGAGUGGAUUGGGAAGCUAACAUAUUUUCAUUAAAUCAACGAACUAGCGUACUUCUAAUUCUCUAAUCACCUAAAGUCUUUUGCAUAUGCUUAAGAGACUUGAAGCCCUAAUGUCCAUUCCAAAUGCUAAACCAAAUAGAGAAACUUGGGCUUAGGCUUUGCAUUGAAAUGCUCCAAGUCUUGAUGAUGGGACUUUGGGGCUGGAUUGGGCCUGGAUUCAGAAGAGCCAGUCUCGUUCAUCACAUCAAGAACCCUAAAGAAAUACAGAUCCUGCAUGAAAGUUACAGGCCCAGAUAAAAAAGUUUUUGAAUUUGGUCCAAACCCGCUUGAUGGCAAAAGAUUUAUCCAGACCCAGUCAAAUAAUGAGUCGUCAAUUGGCAUCGGUCAUGGCGAGUCACCUCCACUUGUUCUGGUUUUAGGUCAAUCAUCGUGGAGAGGGCCCUGAGUCCAUCGUGGAUGUAGAUCACAAAUCAAUCGAAUCUUCUCUGUUCUCGACUUUAUUUGUUGCUUUGUCAAAAGCUAAUAGUGCACGUGGAUUGAUUGAAAAUGCUCGACUUCAUUUGUUACGUCUUCCUCGGGAGUCCCGAGGGCGGUCCACUUUCUCCCCAUCGUGGGGAGCACCAGAACCACCGUUCUUUCCUUGUUAAUUCUUUAAUCCGAGCUCUGUCAAAAGAGGGAAAAGAACUUCCAUUUUACCUCUGCUUUCUGUCUCUGUCUCGGUAUCUCUCUCCCCACCUUAUCUUGUCCCCAUAGCCUCAUGAAUCACGAUAACUUUUUCAUCUUCUGAUCUCCACCCGUGAAAUGCGUGCAAUGAGUCGUGCUCGGCCCGGAGCAACGAUCGUGAAGUCGGAAGUGCCCGCCCGCAUCGAUGUUGGAGCAGCUUUGGGCGUGCAUGGAAAUGUUCCAAAGAAACGUUUCUGGAACACUUCUGUACGGAUUUUGUUCCCGGGAACAAAAAAAGAACAGAAACGCGUUUGGUUGCGUUUAUGUUCUUUUUUUGUUUUUUUGUUUCCGGAACAAAAAAAAGAAACAACAAUUUGUUGUUGUUUCUUAUGAGAUGGAAUGUGGUACCUAAUUACAAAAAUAGGGUGUUAAGAUUGGAUUAAUUUAGGAGGUUAUGUAACAUAGUUCACCCUCUUUAUUGGGAAAAAAAAUUCAUAUGGAUCUUUGCUACUUUCAUAAGAAUAACUUACACAAUUAUUGACAAAAUAAUAAUUGAUGUUAAUAAAUUAGAGAAUUCGAUUAAUCAAUCUAAAAAAAUGCAUUAAAAUUAAAUGCUAAGUAGGGAGAGGCGAUCGCCGGGUGGCUCCUCCACCGAUUGUAAUGUGUAUUGUAUGGGUGCUAUAUUCAUGAAUGGCGAAGGCGAGGACACAUAUUUGAACGUUAACUUGUAUUUGAUAUAAAGCAAACUUUAUUUCGAUUUAUGGCCAUUUUAAUGAAUAUCCUGAACACCUGUUAAAUAUUUUUAUUAGGGGGAUUUUGACCAUUAAUGUAUAGUUGGGUAUAUUACAAUGACAAUCAAUGUAUUAGGAGUUGCAAUAUUUUCUUAUUUAGUCGCUUAAUGAGUGUUUUCGAGAGACUUUUUAAGUAAAUAUUAUUUAUCUCAGGUCUUUAUACUUUUUUAAGACACUUCAAUGCUUCGGCUUGGAUUAAUAAGUUCUUUCGAAGGGAAAACCUACUGGAUUUUUCCAAGUAUUAUGCAAAAAAAGCAAUUGAUCAAUAAACUUUCGGUUUGGUACGAUCAAUUUCUAAAUCUUGUAUAAAGAGAAAAAUAUAACGAAAUCCUUCCAUUGUAAAUUUGCUAUUCUUUCUGUUAAAAAACUGUUUAAGAAGCGUAUGUUGAAUCAAAUAAGGUAUAACUGAAAAAAAAUCUCUGAUACUCUUUCCAAUUAAAAAAACUUCAAGAUUCAACUAAUCCUCGAUUUUGAGCGUGAUUGCAUUUUUCGUGUAAGAUAUUGUACUCAGUAUUUCCCCCUUCUUGUCUUCCGUCCUCGUAUUGUACCAAUUUCGAGUACAAGAGAAAAGAAGAAGAAAGAUAGGCUGAUGCAUCAUUGCAUCACGCAUAUGCAGGUGUGCAAAGGGAAUAUUAGGAUAAACACCACCGGUCGGACCGGUUGCUUUCGGCUUUUCUUCUUUUCUUUCUUACUUUUGUUGCAUUUGGGCAACGACGCGGACUUCAUUUGUUGUUUGACGAGUUGCAAGUCUCUUCUUCCAUCCCAAAUCACUCCCAAAAAGAAGUUAAAAAAAAAAAAUUAAAGAAAGAGUUGCGAGUCUGUUCUUGCUUUUUGAUAGAGUGGAAAGAAGUUAUACGGAGUAGAUAAUUAUUUAAUGGGAUAACGAUGGGGGAAAGACACCCUGUAAUCAUGCUAAUCAUGCUUUGAAUGAUUUAGGCAAUUCACAUGCUAUUCAUCGAAAGGACGUCACUGCAUCCCAUUCACAUUAUUGACUGGAUUUCCUGUGCAAUUUUCCUAUUUUGCUUUCAUGUUUUGACUCAAAGUUGACUGCUUCUUUCCUCCUCUCUUCCUCUCUUCCAUUUCUCAAUCAUCUCUCUGCUCAAGAGUUUCAUUGCACGCCAUGGUUUCAAUCUUUAGUCUCCCUUCUUUCUUCCUUUCCAUAUCCUUCAUUUUACCAUGCCAUGGAUCCAAAUCCGAUUUGCAUUUUGGUUCCAACAUGUUACAUUCUUCGAAUUUAAUGACUCCACCUUCCAUGUCUUUCUCAUUUCAAGGUUAAUGGGCUAUUUUUUAGUCCAUUCUGCGAUCACAUGAUUAGAACCAAAAAACAUAAUAGGAGCAUUUCAUCAUUGGUAAGUUUGAAUUUUUCCUAGUAAGUCCUAAUGUAUCCCAAGUUUAAUAAUCUUAACUUCCAGCUUCUUAGCAAUCUAUUAUGGUUGUUUCGAGGCAUAUGUUUGCAAAAAAAUAAAGAAUCGGGAUGUUUGGACAUUCAAGAUUCAACUUUGUGAUCUUUAGAUAACACUGAUCAUUCUCGGCUUUUCCACUAUCUUUAAUCAUCAUGAUCUAAGCGUGUUGAUCCAUCGAAUUUAACCAGGGAUAAAAAGCUCAUUCAGGUCUUAUUUCAUCCUAGAACUGCUUACACAAUUAAGGAAAGCUCGCCCCCACCCCCCCCCAAUGCCAUGGCACCUCUUGAUUGGGCUUGACCGCAGCAGGUCAAGAGACCAGAACCCACGUGGAGCUCACCCAUGGACCGAGCUACUUGUAACCUCUCGGAGAGUCCUCCCUCUUCCUGGCACAAACUCAGUAGCAACGAACUAUUUCUUCAUCUUCCAAUUCCUCUGCUUUAUGGCCUUCUCCUCUCCUUGAAGUCUCCAAAUCGGAAUUGUCAUAGGAAGUUAUCUAUCACCUAUCGUGGAUUGAAACGCUGCUGGGAUAUAAUGUGCAGAAACGAUAUGAUCUUGCAAUUUAUGUCAACGCAAAAUCACCAAAGAAAUAAACGAGAAAAAUAAAGACAUCAGAAAUUUACGUGGUUCGGUCCGAUUAUCGGUACCUACGUCCACAAGAAGAGCCGGCAGCAAAUAAUCCACUAAAAUCGGAGUAUCAGAGUUUACAAUCGCUCAAACGCGCAAGUGUUUCUCACACUUAGAUUUAACUCUAAACCCUAAGUGUUUAUAAAUAAAUAACUCAGUAUAAACUUAUGGCACAAAAUUACUGUGCAUUCAAGCUCGAACGAAACACUCUACACACGUCAAACAAGAUUAACGUCUAUAUUUUUCUUCACAUACGUAUCCUCUUCGUAGGGCUUCUACAAGUGGCGCAGACGUUCGAAAAAAAACUUCUCUGAUGUGCGGCUCCUCUUUUUAUAUUGAUGAACGAAACCUUGCCCUUUUAAUAUUCUGUGUACGUGCGUGCCCAAGGUCAAAAGUUUGACCUUGGGUCCCACCAAUUUCAAUCUUCACGUGCAGAACGAAUCUGCGUGCGGGCUUCUUUCUUCGAUGGGCAUAUGACAUGCAUAAAUAAAAGAAAAUCUUUCAUUUUUCUUUUAUUUCCCCUUUUAGUAAUUCUUCGCGAGUCCAGCAAAUUUCGUUUUGUAAACACUCAAACUUGAGACAUAAUUUAACAAUUCUCCACCUUGACUUGAUGUUUGAAGUCAAGUUAUAGUGCUCAUCAUCCAUGCUGCUAUCCCAACGCCCCGACAGACACUCACUCUCCACAGAUGCCAAUAGAGCUCAAGCAGAGCUUAAGCUUCCCCAAAAGAAUAGACUUAGUCAUCAUAUCUGCCGGGUUAUCUACUGUAGGAAUCUUUUUGACAGUAACAUUACCCUUAGUUAAGACAUCUCGGAUGGAGUGGUACCUGAUAUUGAUAUGCUUUGUUCGCUUGUGAUAAACUGGAUUAUACACCAAAUAUAUGGCACCUUGGUUAUCACAGUGUAUAUCCACACUUUUUUGUUCUAACCCAAAGUCUAAGAGCAAACUCUGUAACCAUAUCGCCUUAUUCGCUACAAAGGUUAGUGUCAUGUACUCUGCCUCAGUCGAAGACAAUGCAAUGUGAUCCUGUAAGGACGCUUUCCAACUAACUGCAUCAUCCACUAGCGUAAAUACGUACCCUGCUAAAGACCUGCAAUCAUCCAAAUUACCGGUGUGAUCCGAAUCCACAAAACCAGUGGUCUCACUGUCAUUGUUGUCUUUCCGGUACACUAUCUCCACGUCUGUUGUCCCCUUCAAAUAUAUGAGGAUCCACUUCAUAGAUUCCUAAUGAGCUUUACCACACUUACAGCUUGUGAAAUAUCAGGCCUAGUGCAUACCAUAGCAUACAUAAUACUACCCACGACGAACACGGGACAUAUGCUCCUCCUUCUCCUCAAUCUGCGGUAAUAAUUUAUUUGAAAGUUUAAAGUGUUUCGCUAAAGGUGUACUUACAAAUUUUGCCGACUGCAUAUUAAAACAUACCACGAUUUUCUUAAUAUAUUUCUUUUGAGAUAGACGUUUGUCAUGCAAAAUCUCCUUACCCAAAAUUUUCUUUGUAGCACCUAAAUCUUUCAUCUCAAAUUCAGCAUUUAACCGCAUCUUCAGCACAUCAAUAUCAGACAUAUUCUUAAUAUCAUCAACAUAUAAGAGUAGAUAAAUAAAAUAACCAUUCUCCGAUCUCCUAUAGUAAACGCAGCUAUCCAUCUGACUUUUUGUGUAGUCUUAACUAGCUAUGAAAGCAUCAAAAUGUUUAUACCACUGUCUAGGAGACCGUUUUAGCCCAUACAAAGAUUUCUUUAACAAGCAAACAUGAUUUUCCUUACCCGGAAUAACAAAUCUCUCUGGUUGCCUCAUGUAAAUCUGCUCCUCCAACUCACCGUGAAGAAACACAGUUUUUACAUCUAGCUGCUCUAACUCGAGAUCCUGCGAAGCAACUAAGGCAAGUAAACAUGAAUAGAAGUAUGUCUUACCACAGGAAGAGAACACCUCAUUGUAGUCAAUGCUUUCACGCUGUGUAUAUCCCUUUGCCACAAGUCUCGCCUUAAACCUUGCUGCCUCGAUACCGAGAAUGCCCUAUUUCCGUUUAAAGACCCAUUUACUUCUGACAAUCUUUUGGCUCUUGGGUACUUUGACCAGCUCUUAUGUCUGAUUUCGAUGGAGAGAUUUAAUCUCUUUACUCAUAGCCCCUAGCCACUACGACAACUCCAAACUAGCCAUCGCCUCAGAGUAAGACGAAGGCUCAUUUGUCUCCAUCUCAUCACCUACAGUCAAUGCAUAAGCAAUAUCUGUAUAACCAUAACGUACCGAUGGUUUAAUUUGCCUUCUUUGUCUAUCUGCGGCUAUAGUCUGCUGUAGCUUUGCUGAUUGUUAAUUAUCACCGAUUUCAGGAACUGCGGCUUCAUCUGCAGUCUCAACUUUUGUUAUCUUCGAGGUCUCUAAAGUCUCCAUCUGAAGCUCCACCUCAUUAAUAACACCAUGAUCCAUCUUCUCUGCUGGUUGUGUCUCAGAAUUCCUCCGUUGAAGCAUUGCAGUCUCGUCAAAGAUCACAUCUCUGCUGAUUAGAAAACCGGGUGAUCUGGGAUCGGUGCACCACAACCUGUAGCCUUUCACCCCAUGUGCAUAACCCAGAAAUAUGCACUUCUUCGCCCUCGACUCAAGCUUACCAUCACUCGCAUGAGCAUACACAGGACAUCCGAAUAUACGUAAUCCGGAAUAAUUAACAGGUUUCCUCAACUAUACUUCCUCAGGAGUCUUCCACUUGAUAGCAAAUGAUGGAGAUCGAUUAACCAAGUAACAUGAUAUGUUCAUUGCUUCGGCCCAAAAUUCGUUGCCAAGUCUUGCAUGCGAAAGCAUACAUCGAGCUCGCUCAAGCAAAAUUCUGUUCUUUCGUUCUGCCACGCCAUUCUAUUGUGGUGUCCCAGGUACUGUGCUGUGUCUCACAAUACAUUCUUUCUCGCAGAACUUGGUAAAAUCCUACCGUAGAACUCUAUGCCAUUAUCGGUUCUUAGGUACUUGAUUUGUUUAUCUGACUGCUUCUCAAUCAAUGCCUUAAAUUUCUUAAACCGAUCAAACACUUCAUAUUUGUGCUUCAGAAAGUAUACUCAUACAUUCCUCGAAUAAUCAUCGAUAAAUGUUAGCAUAUAUCAGGCACCUCCUUUCGAAGGGACCAAAGACGGGCCCCAGACGUCUGAAUGAAUAUAUUCAACUGGUCGUUUGGUCGAAUGAAUAGCUGUUGUAAACUUAACUCGAUGCUGCUUCCCAUAGAUGCAGUGUUCACAUAAGUCCAGCUUCCCUGUCUUUUGACCAUUCAACAACCCCCUUUCACUCAGCAUUGUUAUACUUGCCUUGCUCAUGUGCCCUAAACGCAUAUGACAUAAUUGAGUCAAGUUAGAGUCUGACUUACCUGAUGAAAUUGCAGCGAUUCCGGUCACGGUCUCUCUUAGUAGAUGAUAGAGAGUAUUCAUUUUCUUCCAAUUCAUUAUUGUUAUGGCACCUCAAGAGACUUUCAGUACUCCACUUUCAGCGGUGUACCUACACCCGAUGUCAUCGAGUGUUCCCAGAGAAAUAAGGUUCUUCUUGAGCUCCGGUACAUGCCUCACAUCUGUCAAUGUGGGCACCACCCCAUCGUGCAUCCGGAUCCGAAUUGUCCCUAUCCCCACAGCCUUACAGACUGCAUUAUUCCCCAAAAGAACUCUACCACCAUCUGCAGCCUGAUAAGUAGUAAACCAGUUCUUAUGAGGUGUCAUGUGAUAAGAACACCCCGCAUCUAGCACCUAUUCGUCUUCUGACAGCAGUCACACAUAAGAUAGCUUCUGCAUCACCAUUGCUCCCAUCGGCAACGUUUGCCACAGUGCUUGUGGCAUUUUGCCUAUAAACUUUAUUCCUCCGCUGUGGACAGUCUCUUCUGAUGUGCCCCUUCUCGUGACACUCAAAGCACUUCACGCGUCCUUUGGACUUUCUAUGGUGUGAUUUUGAUUUGCUUUUACCUCUGCUACUACUAGGCUCUCGAUGUUGUUCUCUACCCCAAAUCGUCAGUGCUUACGCUGCUCCUUUCGCCAGACUGUCAUCUCGCAACUUUCUCUACCACUCCUUAGAGAAUAAGGCGGACUUUACAUUUUCUGAGGUAAUUAUAGUACGCUCCUACAACAGUGAAUCAGUAAAGUACUCCCAUGACUCUGGUAAAGAGGCUAACAAUAUCAUGACCUGUUCUUCAUCAUCAAGUAACUUACCAACGUUCUUUAGAUCCAACAUGAGUUUAUUAAAUUCAUUUAGGUGUGUUCUGAUAGACGUACUUUCAGUAUAUCUAAACUGAAAUAUAUUCUUCAACAUGUACAAGCGAUUGUUCAAACAUUUCUUCACAUAGAGUGCUUGAAGUUUUACCUAUAAUGCCACGGCAUCCUUCUCUUUAGCAACCUCUAUUAAGACAUCAUCCGAUAAAUUUAACACGAUUAUACUUUUUGCUUUUUCCAUCAGCUCUACCCUCUUAGAGGCUUUUAUUGUAAUCGGCAACUCAUCUUCACCAUUCAGUGCCUUGACUAAACCUUGUGUUUUCAAUAAUGCCCGCAUCUUGAUGCUCCAUAACACAAAGUUGUUGCUCCCAUCAAACUUUUCAAUCUCAGAUUUCCUCUCAGACAUAAUUGCAGUAACAGAAUUUCCAGAUAAUAAUCAGACAAGCAAAAGCUCCAAAUCACAAUCAAGAAAUCCAAUCCCAAGCUCUGAUAUCGAUUGUUGGGAUAUAAUACGCAGAAACGAUAUGAUCUUGUAAUUUAUGUUAACGCGAAAUCACCAGAGAAAUAAACAAGAAAAAUAAGGACACAAGAAAUUUACGUGAUCGGUCUGAGUAUCAGUACCUACGUCCACAUGGAGAGCCAGUAGCAAAUAAUUCACUAAAAUCGAAGUAUUAGAGUUUACAAUCGCUCAAACGCUCAAGUGUUUUCCACACCUAGAUUUAACUCCAAACCCUAAGUGUUUAUAAAUAAACAAUUCACUUGGGUAUAAACUCACGGCACAAAUUAUCGUGCAUUCAAGUUCCAACGAAACGCUCUACAUACGUCAAACAAGAACGGCGUCUAUAUUUUUCUUCACAUACGUAUCCUCUUCGUAGGGUUUCUGCAAGUGGCGCGGACGUUCGAAAAAAAACUUCUCUGACGUGCGGCUCCUCUUUUUAUAAUGAUGAACGAAACCUUGCCCUUUUUAUAUUUUGUGUACGUGUGUGCCCAAGGUCAAACUUUUGACCUUGGGCCCCACCAAUUUCUAUCUUCACGUGCAGAGCGAAUCCGCGUGAGGGCUUCUUUCUUUGAUGGGCAUAUGACGUGCGUAAAUAAAAGAAAAACUUUCCUUUUUCUUUUAUUUCCCCUUUUAGUAAUUCUUCGCAAAUCCAGUAAAUUUCAUUUUAUAAACACUCAAACUCGAGACAUAAUUUAACAAAUGCUAACCUCGCGAUGAAUCUAUCUUCUCCUCAGCCAUAGAAGGCAUCGCUUGGAGAGGAUGGCUCCACAAGGUGUUCAUUCUGGACUUCGUGUUCGCUAGCCAGUUUCUCCUCCUUCAGCCUCUACGGACACCAGACCAUCGAAAAACACUCCAAAGAAGCAGGGCACCAUAAAGUCAAGAAGAUGGGAUCACAAUCAAAAUAGGUAGCUUCUUCAAUCACCUGAUAAAUCAAAAAAGGACCUGCAUCGCCAUUUGCAGUUCAGAAUGUGUAUAGCAAAGGCUAUUAUUAAGCUAAAACUAGUCAUCAACAUCUAACUAAACGUGACUGCCAAAUGAAGUAAAAUGAAGACUAUAUAACCUGUUUUAAUCUGAAAACUGAAGAGAAGGCUGCAUAACCUCUUGAGCGCCCGUAUUUAUCAACUCAAACAAGACUGAAAAAGGGACUCAGGCAAGAAUUUUUCAGAGAGAGAGAGAGAGAGAGAGAGAGAGAGAGAGAGAGAGAGAGAGAGAGAGAGAGACUCAUGUAGGUGGAUGCCACACGAUCCAACAAUCCUUACCUGCAUCUGAAGACCAGUCCUUCCAAAUUAUCCAUAUAAUAAACGCCAAGCAAGAAAAAUCAUACCACCCGUACCCAACAGAACCUGCACAGCAGAAACAGGCAAACCUAGUCGAUGCCAGAGGUAAUUCAAUUUAACUCUAGAUCCGAAUGAUAUCAAGCCAUCUACUUGCAACAUUAAGGCUGGGAGACACUAUAAGCCCAGUCUACGCACUAUGACAUCCUUUGUGAUUUUCUUCUCAAUGACUUCGGUGUUUCUACAACUAUACAUAUAUCAGGCAUUAGGAAAAACUAAAUCAAAUGUACACUUUUAUGUGAGUAAAAGAACACCCCAAGUGUCAAAACUUGAAACAAUGGGAUAUUUAAAUAUCAAAAGUUAGAAAGUGACACUUAAGUGUCACUUUUAAAAAAAAAUUAGACACUUAAGUGCCACAUCCGGUGAACCCCGCUGGAAAUCUUACGUGAUAAUUUUUUAUUAAUUUUGCUCACUUACGUCGCUUGCUGGAAGGUUGACUCAGCAAAGAAACACAAAAACGAUGUCAUUUUCGCACUUAAAGAAUUUUAAUAUAAAAAUUAAUUAAAUCAAAUUUAAAACCCAAUAUAUAUAUAAGAAGAAGGAAGAUGAAUAGCAGCCGGUAGCUAAGGGCUCAGCACUUGCCGUCACCACCUCCCCAUUGUUGCGGGGAAGGUGGGGGGAGGGUCGGUCGAGGUUGCCGAGCCCUGGCCGCCUGCUGCUGUUCAUCUUCCUCCUUCCUUUUUUUCUUAAUUUGGUUUUUAAUUUAAUUUAAUUAAUUUUUAUAUUAAUUAUUUACCUAUGUUAGCAGCAAAACGACGUCGUUUUGGCACUAAUCUAAUCACGUUAGCGUGCAAAAUGACGUUGUUUUGCACUUGGCUUGUCGAAAAUUCGUCACAUUAGCGUUUUGGCCGGAUUUUUUUGCCAUUGGCACUUAACUAAUCCAUUUUACUUCGAUUGUGGCAUUUAAAUAUCACUUUCCUAACUUUUAGCACUUAAAUAUUCCCUUGUGCAAAAUUUUUGUACUUUAGAUAUGUCGGACUCCUUUUAUGUGCAUCAUAAAACGAUGAUGAAGUAAAAAUUACGUCUACUUCAAUUGAUAUGAAACUGGUAGAUAACCAGAAAAACUAUAAGCUCUGGCUAGGUACUUAUUAUAUAUAAUCAUUGCAAUAUACUUGUUGGUCUAUGUGAAGAUGUUAAUAUACUUUCAAACCUAAAGGAGGACUUUCUAUUUGGGUAUCUAAUUGGAAAAAAAGAUGUCCAUAUUAGACAAAAGAAACCAGCAGAUGUUCAGAAAAAAUCACAAGUGGGCAUUUUUUGUGUUCAAUAGGCGCUGCUAAUUUGAAGGCCUCUUGGAGGUCACAUGAUAGUCUAAAGCCUAAGCAACUGGCUUUCUAUUUGAGAAAUUUAUUGAUCAUCGUUGCCAUUGAUUUUGCAAAGAGACAUUGGAAAGAGAAUGUUAGAUGAGGAAAAUUAGAAUGAAUAGUAUUGGUUGUGUUAAUUCAGUGUUUUCAUUUUUGCCAUCAUAGUACGGAGUUGGAAAUAAAGAUGCAUAAAGCAACAGCUGUCCUUGUCCACCCUCCUUUCAAACUUCAUUGUAGCAUCAAUUGACCCAGAAAGUUCGGUUUAAACAUUCCACGACAUUUUAAAUGAUCAUCGCGUAAGGUAAUCGUAUUAUACCCUCCCCAAAUAGAAAACUUCCUGGUGUCAAUAAUCCAUUACCCUGACUUCCACUCAAAGACAGAGCCGGAGAGAGAGAGAGAGAGAGAGAGAGAGAGAGAGAGAGAGAGAGAGAGAGAGAGAGAGAGAGAGAGAGAGAGAGAGCGGAACUUGUAACUGAUGGUGUAACUUCUUAAGUAUUCAUAACAGCGAAGCUCUAGCAUAUAGCCUAGGAGAAAGAUGGAAACAACAAGGUAAAGGUUCUAAAUAGCAACUUCUAUGAUCAUUAACGUACCGAUAGACACUAUUUAGAAUCGCCAUCCACGUGAGAAAAUAGGAUCAAAGAGCUUCCGUGGGAGAGACUACCUUCGAGGUCGAUUCGAUCGCAGGUCGCUGCACUAGCGAGGAAGCGAGAGAGAGAGAGAGAGAGAGAGAGAGAGAGAGAGAGAGAGAGAGAGAGAUUUUGUCCAGCCAGAGAGUGACUAUGGAAGCAUUUGGGUUCGUUGCAGAGAUGAUAAUUACGAAAAACAAAGAGGUGAGAAUUUGUUUGCUCUGCCCUGACAAUUAUUGGUAUUUCGCUCGUGUCCAAAUACCUUUCANNNNNNNNNNNNNNNNNNNNNNNNNNNNNNNNNNNNNNNNNNNNNNNNNNNNNNNNNNNNNNNNNNNNNNNNNNNNNNNNNNNNNNNNNNNNNNNNNNNNACAUCAUAAAACAAUGAUUAAGUAAAAAUUAUGUCCACUUUAAUUGAUAUGAAUCUGGUAGAUAACCAGAAAACCAUAAGCACUGGGCAGGUACUUAUUAUAUAUAAUCAUUGCAAUAUGCUUGUUGGCCUAUGUGAAGAUGUUAAUAUACUCUCAAGCCUAAGAGAAGGACUUCCUAUUCGAGUAUCUAAUUGGUAAAAAAAUGUCCAUAUUAGACAAAUAAACCAGCAGAUGUUCAGAAAAAAAGCACAAAUGGGCAUUCUUUGUGUGCAAUAGGUGCUGCUAAUUUUAAGGCCUCUUGGAGGUAACAUGAUAUUCUAAAGCCUGAGCAACUGGCUUUCUACGUGAGUAAUUGAUUGAUCAUCGUCGCCACUGAUUUUGCAUAGAGACACCAGAAAGAAACGUUAGACGAAGAAAAUAGAAUGAAUACUACCGGUUGUCUUAAUCAACAUAUUUCCAUUUUUGCCAUCAAUCUUCAGUUUAAACAUUCCAACGACAUCUGAAAUGAUCAUCGCGUAAAGUAAUCAUAUUGUAAUGUUAAACCCUCCCCACAUAGAAACCUUCCCAGUAUCAAUGAUCCACCACCCUGGCUACAGCUCAAAUACAGAGCCACAGAGAGAGAGAGAGAGAGAGAGAGAGCAAGGAUCUUGUAACCGAUGGUGUUACUUUUUAAGUAUUCAUAACAGCAAAGCUGUAGCAUAUAGCCUAGGAGAAAGAUGAAAACAACAAGGUAAAGGGUUCUAAAUAGCAAUUUCUUUGACAAAAAGAGUACCGGCAGUGUUUAUAAUCACCAUCCUCGCGGUAAAAUCAGGAUCAGCCGACCUCAGCUCAGCGAUGACUAACCCAGUGGGAGGAAAAACUUCUUACGACGCAUGAAACGAUCAAUUAAAGGGAGGCGGGGGGAAAACAUAGAGCCAGGAUACGGAAAAUGAACCAACUCCUCACAUCCAAAAGCCCAAAGCUAACACAUCCUCACGGUUCACGCCACCGGAUUUCCUCGCGAUUCAAGCACUUCGCGCACAAAAUUACAAAAAUGAGGUUAAACGCGACAGCUAGAAACGAACCCACGCAAAAUGACCGGAGACCCCUCGAUUUCGAAAGGAUCGCGAAGGCAUUGCCGAACUUAUCCUCACGACAGGUGAUCGGGCCGGAUAAUCGAGAAUUCCAUGGCACGUGAUCAUGAUUGGACCGUCUACGCCACCGCCCAUCGUUGGAGGGGGCCAACAACCUCAUUGGCCCUAGGUGGUGGAGGGGGGGCAGCCCUCGCCAGCCCGGGUGAGGCCACCGUUGGCCUAGGCAAGGUCGGGCGAGGCCACCGUCGGCCCAAGCAAGGUCAAGCAAGGCUCGCCCAAAUCUAGACAACGCCCUAUGGGUCACCUAGAUCUAAGUGAUGCCGGUCCUUGCCUGGGGCUGACCAAUGAGGCCUCACUUGGGGCUGGUGAGGUCUCGCCGGUCAUAGGGGAGGAUUGACGUCGCCCGAAUCUAGGCAACCCUCUUCUGGCGUUGAGGCAUCGCCUAGAUCUGGGCGAACCUCACUUAGGCCUAAGUUGAGGCGUCCUCCAAAUCUAGGUGAGCCUCAUCGGCCCUUGCCUAGGCUGGCAAUGGCCUCACCUGGACCGACGAGGGCCCUCCCCCACUUUGCUGCCUAAGGCUGACAACCUUAUUGGCCCCCUCUGACGAUGGGUGGUAGCGGCGUCAUGCCCAACACAAUCCCUGCCUUCAUUUUUCUUUGUUUUCAAUUUUGAUUUUUAAAUUGUUUUAGUUUUUAAAAAAAAAAUUUACUAUAAUAAACAUAAGAUUUGAAGAAAAAAGUAAUAUAAAAUGCCACGUAAGAUAAAUAAAUAAACUUAAAAAUGCUAUGUUAGCAUAUUCCGUUAGAUAAAUUGACGGUGUUAAUGCAAGGACUUGAUUGCACUAAUUUGACAAAUUUUAAGAUUUAAUUGCACUUUUUGAAAGUUUUAGGGUUCUACUGUACUUUUGUGACAAGUUUUAGGACUUAUAGUAUACAUAUCAUAUAUUUUUAUUAAGGGGAUCUUUGAUCUUUGAUAUGUGAUCGGGUAUAUUACGAUCACAAUAUUUUCUUAUUUAGUUGCUUAAUAAGUGUUUUUGAGGCACUUUUUAAGUAAAUCCUUUAUAAAUCUGGUCUUUAUACCUUUUUCAGACACUUUGUUGCUUCAGCUUGGAUCUUCAUAAAGAAAAACCUAGUGAAAAUUUCCAAGUAUUAUGCAAAGAAAGCAAUCGACCGGUAAACUUUUCGGGUUAGUACAUCAAUUUCUAAAUCUUUCAUAAAGGGGAAAGUUCAACGAGAUCCUCCCAUCAGGAAAUUUUUUUUGUUGUUAUAAAAAAUCACUUAAGUGCUCAUAUGACAAAUUAAAUAAGGUAUAGAUACUCUUUCUAAUAAAAAAAAUUUCAAGAUUCAACUAAACCAAUGAAAGGUUUAAGGCUUGAUUGCAUUUUUUGUAUAAGAUUUUGGACACAGUAUUUAUCUUUUUGGUCAUUGUAUCGUACCGAGUACAAGAGGAAAGAAGAAGGAUAGGCGGAUAUGUCACGCAUAUAUGGGUACCCGAAGGGAAGGUUAGGAUAAACAUCACCGGUCAGACCGGUUGCUUUUGGCCUUUCUUAUUUUCUUUCGUACUUUUGUUGCGUUUGGGCAAAGACGUACCUGGUUUCUUGUCUGACGAGUUCCAACCCAAACCACCAUUUAAAAAAAAAAAAAAUUAAAGAAAGAGUUGCGAGUCUCUCCUAGCUGUUUGACAUGGUAGGAAUAGUAAUAUGGAUUAGUAGUUGUUUAUUGCGAUAAUUAAGGGGGAAAGACACCAUAUAAUUAUGCCAAUCACGCUUGACUCCAUUCCUUUCACAUUAAUGAGAGGACUUCCUGUGCAAUUUUCCUGUUUUGCUUUCGUCUUGACUCAAAGUUGUCGGUCUCUUAUUUGCAUUUUCUUUCCUGCCCUCUUCCUUUUCUCAAUCUUCUCUCUGCUCAAAGUAUCACCGCAGGCCAUGGUCUCGCUUUACGGUCUCCCCUCCUUCUUUCUUUCAUUUUCCUUCGUUUUUCUAUCGCAAUUCUCAAACUUCAUUGACACUCAAGCUCAAGAUUAUGAUUACCUAGCUGCCACGAUUUCAACUCAGUGGGUGAAUAACGUAAUAGCUACUCACGUCACUCGACAUGUAGAUGGAUCGAUUGUGCAGGCAAUUCUACUCCGAGGCAAAGGAGGUUCUGGCCCUGCCUACGCUUGCAGCUUCUACUGUAAUGGUAAUUGCAACACUUUGCCUCUUUGUUGUUUUCAUCGUCACAGUUUAUGGUAGUGGCGUAACUGUUGAAUACACUAUUCCACAAGCAGUGUGAUCUGCCAAUAGAAACAAUCCUGUAAAGAUCGAAGCAACAUUGAAGCUCAAGUCCGAAGGUGAUUUGGUGUUGAAACAUGCUGAUGGUACGGUUGCUUGGUCCACAAAUACUUCUGGAAAGUCCGUUGUAGGCUUGAACUUGACAGAUUUGGGGAACCUCGUGUUGUUUGGUAAGGACAAUGUGGCUGUUUGGCAGUCUUUGAUGAGCUAACCGACUUGCUUUGUCCUUAGAAAAAAGUUGANNNNNNNNNNNNNNNNNNNNNNNNNNNNNNNNNNNNNNNNNNNNNNNNNNNNNNNNNNNNNNNNNNNNNNNNNNNNNNNNNNNNNNNNNNNNNNNNNNNNNNNNNNNNNNNNNNNNNNNNNNNNNNNNNNNNNNNNNNNNNNNNNNNNNNNNNNNNNNNNNNNNNNNNNNNNNNNNNNNNNNNNNNNNNNNNNNNNNNNNNNNNNNNNNNNNNNNNNNNNNNNNNNNNNNNNNNNNNNNNNNNNNNNNNNNNNNNNAUCGAUACAUGAAGUGGGCUCGGAUGGCAUUGAGAGUGUAUGUAUACAAUUGAUUGGUGAGCAUAAAGAAGUGCAAAUCUUUUCAUAGGGUUUGGCGAGGACUGUGCCUAUCCAACAAUGUGCGGGCGAUAUGGAAUUUGUUCCAAUGGGCAAUGUAAUUGUGAAAGCUAGUACGAGCACCUAGAGGGGAGUGAAUAGGUGUAAAAACAAAUUUCCCGAGAGAAGUGUGCAACACUAAUCAACAAUGGAUUAUGAAAAGGAAAUUAGACUCUUGUAAACAAAUUGAGUUACGAUCAAAGUAAAAGAGCGUAGGAGAGAGAAUAAGAACAUAGGGUUUAUAAUGUCGGCUUAAUCCAAGCCUACGUCCACUCUUCCGCACUGACAGCUCACUGGCUGGAUUUCACUAUGAAUUAAAAGAGUUGUUAUAGUAAAGCUCUUCCUUGAUUCCACUGUGUAGAGACUCUGCUACACUUCCUCAAGGUCUCACAAAGAUAUAAACUCUCUUUUAAGUACAAGAUUUCGCUCAACAAUUGAAUUGACUAAGAAACAAGGAGCUUUAGACUUUGGAAUUCUUCUAUCGCGCACAUACUUGAACAACUGGAAUGUCUUCCUUAUAUACUCUUUCAUGCCAUCACACCCAUCGACACUUACCAAAGGAGUUCUUCCAAUCUACCCGUUGGACAGAAUCAAUUAAGAAGAUUUCGAGUUAUUUAAGGAAUAUGACGAUAGCCCACCAAACUUGCUCGCCCAUACAAUCAGGAUCUAGGUUUCCAUAAGUAGAACCUUCCAAGUAUACUUUGCCAAUCAACAGAUCCAAAAUCCCUGAAUCAAUCUCAAUUUAAUUAAUGGAUUCCAACAUGUUGUAUCCAGCCAAGAGAUCUUCUUCAGUCGAUAGAAUCAAAUCCUCAACGAAACACUCAAUUCUGGAUAAGCCUUCUUUGACGGUCUAGAAACUGUCAAUGAGGAUAGACUUUGGGUCUUGAAUCUGACAGUCCGGAGGUUUUCAGAUUUUGAUGGAAGAGUCUACAAGUCUUUAGACUAGAUUGAUGGAAACGUUUUGUCAACUUCAAAACACUCAAGGAAGUUUUCUCCAACAAUCUCUCCCUUUUUGAUGGUGACAAAACUUUCCUACAGAUUUGGAUAACUUUGACCUGCAAAACAAUACUCAAGCAAACAUGGAUAUUUCACAAAAGAUAAUUGGCUUAGUAAAGAUAACAUUAAAAUCUGCAUCCACAGAAAAUAGGUUAGUCCUGUAAACGAGCAACUAUCUUUGCCAUAAAAUACUAGUAGUGCUUAAGAUAAACAAAUAGUCAAAUCCAAAUCUAGUCCAAAUCCAAACAGUCAAACACAAAAGUAAAGUCAAUCAAAUACAAAAGUCACAAAAGUCAAGAGUUCAAGAGUUUAAAUCUCAAAUCUGCACGACAUCUCUCCCCCUUUUUGUUAGCAUUAAAAAGGUAGAGAUGAAACAAGAAUGGAAUUAUGAUUGCUUGGGAACACAAACAAGCUGGAAAUCUCUCAUUGACUGGACAAUCCCUUCCAGCUUUUUCAAAUCUUCUUUCAGCUGAGUCACAUCUUCACCCUUGGCAUUUACUUGAACUUGAAGAGCAAGGGCAUGGAGUUGAUCAUGCAAAGAAAUUGAAGAGGUUUGACCUGCAUUUUGCAAGUUCUGUACUUUACAUCCCAGAGUAUAAAUUUGGCCUCGCAUCUCCAAGAGAACAUCAAGCACUCUGUGAAAGUCUGCUGAAUUGUCAGUCUGAGUACUGGCUUCUGCUCGAUCAGAUGGUGUAUUGGUAGAUGAUGGGCAAGUUAGCAUGAUCACGCAGAUUGGGCGAUGAAACCUCAUGGCCUUUCUCAGGAAAUUGAGAAGCGUAGAUGUCUUCUGGAUCUGCUGGAGAACGACUUACUCCUUCACUGGUGGCAGCAAUUGAGGACAUACCUCUUUUCUCAGGAUCUCCCCCUGUUUCAAUGCCUUUAGGCUGUGAGAAGUACUCCUCAUGUUCUGCUUCUUCUUGUCCUCCUCUACCCUCUUCUUCCUCUUCCACAAUCCUUUCCUCCUCUGCUUCUUUCUCCAAUGAUUCUCUCUCUCCAGUCCUCUGUUCAAUCUCAUCCUUGUCUUGUUCCUGUCUCUCCUUUGUCUCUGGAACAGAACGACUCAAGUUCUUCAAUGUAAGAGCAUAAAUUGUGAUAUCAUCCUCAUCCUCUUCAUCCUCCAAGAUGAGUGCUCUUCUUUUAUUGGAUGAAGCAACCAUAGGCUCCUUCCUUUUCCGCUUUGCAGCCGAAGAGACUGGGUGAGUCUUGACAAGGGUUUUCACCUUGAAUUGCUCCAAAGCCUUGUCGAGUUCCUUCAGACGCAUUUUAGAGACCAUUUUCAGUCCCACCACCAUUUGAUCGCAUGUUCGAACAUAAAGAAUUCGGAGAGGCUGAAUGUUCAAAUGUCUAAAUAACUUUGUGACAAAUGCUGAGUAAGGAAGUUGGCCAUUGUCCUUCACCAUCGUUUUGUACAUGUAGAACAUAAUAGUGUGUGGAAGAGAGAACUUUUUGCCAGCGUUGAUGGCAUACAUCAGCUUUGCCUCUGAGUUUGAAAUGUCGAUUUUUGAAGUUGAUUUGGGUCUGAGGUAGUUGAUCACUAUCUUGUGAAGCAAAAUGUUUGAGGCAUUCAUCCUUGAAUAUGAAAUCUUUCCUUCCGUCAUUCUAUCCUGAACAAGCUCUAUCAUCGCAUGACCAAUAGACACAAUGAUUGGUUGUUAUCUUCCUCUUUCAACCCCAAUCACAUCAGCCAAUGUAUUCAUGUCAACCACAUAAUCCUGAUCUCGAACACUGAAAGAGAAUCUAUUCGUAUCCAAGAAACUGAGAUUCAAAUAGAAGUAAGUAGUAAGUUCAGCAUGAGCCUCUGUCGUUUCAAAACAAAACCGUUCAAGUUGAAGAAGAUUGAAUUUCUCUCGCAGAUUAGCAUUCAGAGAAUCAAGAAAAUCAAAGUCCACACUUCUAGGGUUAAUCACACCACGCUUUAGCAACUUAGAGUACAGUUGCUUGUGUUCCUCCGAACGAAAUAGAUCUGUCCUUUUGCUUCGGAUUUUCGCUGCAACACCCAUUCUAGGUUUAAAUUGAGUGUACAUCCUAUCAUCAUCAUUCCCAUUCGGUUGACUCAGCCCUCCAACACGUGGAUCACUUGGGAUAUUUGCAAAUGCUUCUUCUACUGACCCCGCAGGGGCAAUUCCUAAUCGUUCCAUUGUGCGUAAAAAGUAGGUUUCAUUUCGAUACCAUUUGUCUUUCAAAAAUUCAUCAAUGUAGUUCAAAGGAGUAUCGUCCCUUUUCAAAGCACGGUAAAGCUUAAAAGUAAAAGCUGGCUUUUGAGUUCUUACAGAUUCUGUAUCUUCAAUGAUUUCUUCAUCUUCUCGAUAUUCAAUAUUCUGAGGUCUAGAUGGAGGAGAUGGACGCUGUUGAGAAUGUUGUGGGCUCUGCUGUUGUCUAGGAGAUUUUUCUUCCUCGGUGAGAUCAAAAUGUGUAGGUCCCUCACGCAUUUGCAGUGGUCUCCUAUUCGCGAUCCUCGAAGACUUUCUUUACGAUGACAUUUUUCACAGUUUUUGAGAGAUUCCAAGCUUGUUUCGCAAGAAAGAUGAAAACUUUCGAGGAUUAAAAAAUAGAAGAAGAUAGAAGUGGAAGAUUUGUGCUCUCUUAGGGUUUUUGUGAGUAAAACGAAGAAGAACCAACAGUAUAUAAGGCAGUCGAAGUGAGGCAUAUGGAACGUCGUAAAAAGGAAAUAUAAAAAUGCCUUUAAAAAAAAAUAACUGCCUUUUCAAAAACCGAAUAACUAUCAUUUCAAAAAUAACUUCUUUUUUGAAAAGGAAAGAUUGCAAUAAUCACGAAAACUAGGAAAUAGCAUCAAUCAAUUACGGAUAGAUGAUCGUACAUUUUCGAGAUUUGAUCUGAGAGAUAAGUUUCUAAAAUAGAAGUAACUUACAGUUGUAAAUCUCGAUCGUCUGAGUCUGAGUGUCUUUAGACUUUCAAUCCUAAGUCUAAACUUCCUCAGGCUUUAAGAUAUUGAGUUUGGAACAAAUAACUUCAAAUUAAUUUUUCUCCAAAAGCUUUGUAAAUAUAUCUGACAGUUGAUUCUUUGAAUUAAUAAACUAAAUCAAAACUUCUCCAUUUUGAACAUGAUCUCUAAUGAAAUUAUGUCGAAUCUCUAUAUGUUUUGCUUUUGAGUGAAGAUUCAGAUUCUUGGUAAGAUUGAUUGCGCUAGUGCUGUCACAUUUGAUCUCAGUGCAUGAAUCUUCAAUUCCAAAGUCUCUUAGUUGUUGUUUUAUCCACAGAAUUUGUGAACAAUAACUUCCAAGAGCUAUAUAUUCUGCUUCUGCCGUCGAAAGAGCUACGGUACUUUGCUUCCUUGAAAACCAAGACACCAUCCUGUUUCCAAGUAAUUGACAGGUGCCCGAAGUGCUCUUUCUAUCAACUCUGCAUCCUACUAGAUCAGCGUCUGAGUAUCCAAGAAGUGUGAAGUCUCCUUAUUUAGGAUACCAGAGACCUAAAUUUGAAGUUGAGGCAAUGUAUUUGAUAAUACGCUUUGUAGCACUUAAAUGAGAUUCUUUAGGGUCUGAUUGAAAUCUGGCACAAAUACAAAUGCUAAACAAAAUGUCAGGUUUAGAAGCAGUAAAAUAAAGAAGUGAACCAAUAAUACUCCUGUAUAGCUUCUGGUCAACUUUCUUUCCUCCUUCAUCUUUGUCCAGCUUCAAAGAACUUGACAUUGGUAUAUCAGUCUUUUUGCAAUUCUCCAGUCCAAACUUUUUAACAAGUUCUUUAGCAUAUUUUUCUUGAUGAAUAAAGGUCCCCUCCUUCAGUUGUUUCACUUGAAGCCCGAGAAAGAAGAUUAGUUCACCCAUCAUGCUCAUUUCAAAUUCAUCCUGCAUAGACUUAGAGAAUUUCUUAUACAGAUUUUCAUUAGAAGAUCCAAAAAUAAUAUCAUCAACAUAAAUUUGAACAAGUAAAAAACUUUUGCUUUCUCUUUUGAUAACAAUGUAGUAUCUACUUUACCUUUGACAAAACCAUUUUGAAUUAAAAACUUACUUAGUCUAUCGUACCAAGUUCGAGGUGCUUGCUUUAAACCAUAUAGAGCCUUUUUCAGUCUGAAUAUAGAGUUCGGUUCCCUUAGAUCUUCAAAAUUGGGUGGUUGUUCCACAUAGACUUCCUCUUGAAUAAAUCUAUUUAGGAAAGCAUUUUUGAUGUCUAUUUGGAAUAACCUGAAAUUCUUAUGACAAGUAAAAGCAAGUAAUAAUCUGAUUACUUCUAACCUUGCUACUGGCGCGUAAGUCUCAUCAUAGUCUAUCCCUUAUUCUUGCGUAUAUCCCUUGGCCACGAGUCUUGCUUUGUUUCUUAUGACUUUUCCUUUCUUGUUCAUUUUGUUCCUGAAAACCCAUUUAGCUCCAAUGAUGGAUUUUCCUUUUGGUUUAGGAGUCAAUUCCCAGACAUCAUUGAUACUGAAUUGCCUAAGUUCUUCUUGCAUAGCUUCAAUCCAGCUUUCAUCAGUUAUAGCUUCUUCUAUGCUUUUGGAUUCUAUUUCAGAAAUAAGAGCCACAGCACUAGACUCUUCAUGUCUUUUGAAUCUUGUGCGAAUUCCUUUAUUAAUAUCACCAAUAAUGAGAUCUUUGGGAUGACUGGACUUAUGCUUCCAGUUGCUGGUUGAUUUGUCAGAUUGUUGAUCAUUUUUCUCAUUUGAAUCUUCAAUUAUCAUUUGUUGCUGGUCUUCUGAAGUCUGAGCUGCUUCUGGAGAUUUAGAAUUUGUAGAGUCUAGAGCAGGUUCAGAUUCUUCAAGUUAAGUCUGAAUCGAUUGAUUUUGCAUAAAGUCUUGAAAUUUGACAUUCAUCGAUUCCUCCAUAGAUUGAGUCGUUUUGUUGUAUACUCUGUAAGCUUUGUUUGUAAUAGAAUAUCCAAGGAAGAUACCUUCAUCUAAUUUUUCUUCAAAUUUACCAACUCGAUCAUUUGCAUUUUUUUAAUAUAAACAUUUACAUUCAAACACAUGAAAAUACGAAACAAUUGGCUUCUUUCCUUUGAAUAACUCAUAGGGAGUUUUCUCUAGAAUAAGCCUUAAAAAGACUUUAUUAAUAAUAUAGCACGCUGUAGAAACUGCUUCAGCCCAAAAACGAGAAGAGAUGUUACUUUUAAUUAAAAGAGUUCUAGCCAUUUCCUGCAGCGAUCUAUUCUUUCUUUCAACAACUCCAUUUUGCUCUGGAGUAUAUGGUGAAGAGAACACGUGCUGAAAACCAGAUUCAUCACAGAAUUUUGCAAAGUCUUGAUUUUCAAAUUCACCUCUAUGGUUUGUCUGUAUACUUGAAAUAACAUAUCCUUUAUCAUUUUGGACAUUUUUAGCAAACUUUAUAAAAUAAGAAAAUGUUUCAGACUUGCUAGGAAAUAUACCUAAGUGAAUCGUGAAUAGUCAUCCACAAAUAGUAAGCAAUAUUUCUUACCUCCAAUGCUCUGAGUUCUGGUUGGUCCAAAAAGAUCCAUGUGCAAGAGCUAUAGCACACGAUUAGUGCAUACUUGAUUUAUUGGUUUGAAUGAGUUUUUUACCUGUUUUCCCAACACACAUGGUGUGCAUAGAUCAGACUUUAGGUAUAUCAGUUUGGAUAGUCCACGAACAAGCUUCUUUGCUGAGAUUUUGGCUAUUUGCUUCAUGUUGAUGUGCCCAAGUUUUCUGUGCCAUAAGUUUGCUUCCUCUUGAAUUGAGAUUAGAUAUUGGCUUUGCCCCGUGAAAGACUGAGAGGAAUCUUUAUUGGUUCCUAAACAUAUUUCUUCUUGAAAGUUAAUUUUGAAACCAGUGUCGCACAGUUGACUGAUACUCAGCAAAUUGUAGUUGAGUCCUUCCACUAAGGAAACAUUACUGAUUGUGAUGCUUCCAAUCUUUACAGUUUCGUAUUCCACAAUUCUUUCUUUGCUAUUUCCUCCAAAAGAAACUUUUCCACCAUUAACUUGUACAAGUUUUAUGAAGCAAUUUGAGUCUCCUGUCAUAUGUCUUGAGUAUCCACUAUCCAAGUACCAUUUAACAUUUUUCUUGAUAGUGACCUGCAUUUAGAAAAAAGACUCAAGCUUUCUUUGGUACCCAUAUUUUCUUGGGUCCAUUGGUGUUAGUGUAAUAUACAGUCUUUGCCUAUACCUUCUUAACAUGUUUUCAAAUCAUAGGACAUUAUUUCUCAAAAUGAUCUAAGCUAUUGCACUUAGAACAUUUAAGAGCACUGCGGCCUACAGGUUUUACAAAAAAAAAUUGGAAAUGAUUUUUGUAAGAAUCUCUUGUAGGUCUUUGCUUAAUUCUUUCCUUUACUUUAGGAAAAUCAAUUAGAGGAAUGGUUUCAGCAGUCAUUCCUAAUCCUGAUUUGUUGAAGUAAGGUCUUUAUGUUGAAAGGAUUUUUUCAAGUUUCUCAGAUCCUAUAAAAAAUCUUUUAAAGAUAUUUGAGAUAUCAUUUUUCAAGAAUGCAUUUUCUUUUGAAAGAUUGUCUGCAUUUUCUUUCAAAGUAGUAACACUUUUGUCUAAACUUUUGACCUUUUCUUGCCAAACAUUUUCCUGUUGUUUCAGUGUAGAAUUUUCCCUUUUAAGUUCUGAAAUCCUUUUAAGAGAGGUUUUGAGACUAAGACACAAUUAAUCAAUGUAUCUAGAAACUUUAGUAGGGAUUUUUAAAUUACUUACCUCGAUUUCACUAUCUGAGUCUGAGCCUGAAUCUGAAUCUGAGUCUGAUUGUGCCAUGAGACAAAUAUUGGCAUACUCAUCAUCACUUUCCUCACAUUCUAUAUCACUCCAAGUUUUUGCUUUAAGUGUCUUUCGAUAUUUCUCAGUUUUUCCUUUCUUUUUCUUCAAAAGGGGACAGUUGGGUCUGAUAUGUCCAUUUUUCUUGCAUUCAAAGCAGACUACAUCUUUAUUAGAUUCAUCAUCCUCAACUGACUUAGUUUGUUGCUUUUGAAAACUUUGUUUCUUUAGAUUGAAUCUUCUCUCCUUUCUGUUUAGUUUUCUGAAUCUUCUUAUCAUGAGAGCAAGCUCUUCAUCAUCUAUAUUGUCUUCAGAAUUUGUGACAUCAGAAUCAUCAUUAGAUUUUAAUACAAUAGAUUUCUUACCUUUAGGAUCUUCAUCUUUGUUGAUUUGCUCCACUUCAUAAGACCGAAGAGUCCCAACCAAUUCGUCAACAGAAAGUGGCAUGAUUCUUUGUGUCUCCUUUAUUGAGGUCUUUAUGUGAUUCCAAUCCUUGGACAGUCCACGCAGUAGCUUGUUUACUUUCAUAGGUCCAGAAAUUGGUUGACCUUGAUAUUCCAGACCAUUCACGAUUUUUGUAAAACGACUAAACAUGUCAAUGAUAGAUUCUCCUGAUUUCAUUUUGAAUGCUUCAUAUUGACCGAGCAGAAUGUUGAUUCUGGCUUCUUUUACUCGAUCAGCUCUUUCAUAGGUGAUAUGUAAUCUAUCCCAGACUUCUUUAGCUGUUUCACAAGAAGAUAUUCUGUUAUAUUCAGUAGGAGAUAAUGCACAAUAUAAAUAAUAAAUUGCUUUUGCAUCAAGAGCUUUUCUCUUGGUUAUCUCUUCUUGAGUCAUUUCACUAGACUCAACAGCUUCUUUUCCCCUUUCUGAGACUGGUGCAGCUUUAGGAAUGAUUCCUUUGUCUACCACUUCCCAUUCCAGAGGAUCCUUUGAUCUUAGGAUUGCCUUCAUCUUGUUUUUCCAUAUAUUGUAUUCAUUUCCAUCAAAAUAAGGCGGUCUGGUAUUGCUUUGCCCUUCAAUCAGACCUGGAGCCAACAUACUAGUCAUGGAUCUUUAACUCUAAUGUAAAACACUUCAACUUGAGUGAGUACACAAGCUCUGAUACCAAUUGUGAAAGCUAGUACGAGUACCUAGAGGGGGUGAAAAGGUGUAAAAACAAAUUUCCCGAGAGAAGUGUGCAAUACUAAUCAACAAUGGAUUAUGAAAAGGAAAUUAGACUCUUGUAAACAAAUUGAGUUAUGAUCAAAGUAAAAGAGCGUAGGGAAGAGAAUAAGAACACAGGGUUUAUAGUGGUUCGGCUUAAUCCAAGCCUACGUCCACUCUUCUGUACUAACAGCCCACUGACUAGAUUUCACUAUGAAUCAAAAGAGUUGUUACAGUAAAACUCUUCCUUGAUUCCACUGUGUAGAGACUCUGCUACACUUCCUUAAGGUCUCACAAAAAUAUAAUCUCUCUUUUGAGUACAAGAUUUCGCUCAACAAUUGAAUUGACUAAGAACAAGGAACUUCAGACUUUGGAAUUCUUCUAUCGCACACACACUUGAACAACUGGAACGUCUUCCUUAUAUACUCCUUCAUGCCAUCACACCCGUGGGCACUUACCAAAGGAGUUCUUCCAAUCUACCCAUUGAACAGAAUCAAUUAGGAAGAUUUCGAGUUAUUUAAGGAAUAUGACGAUAGCCCACCAAUCUUGCUCGCCCAAACAAUCAGGAUCUAGGUUUCCAUAAGUAGAACCUUCCAAGUAUACUUUGCCAAUCAACGGAUCCAAAAUCCCUGAAUCAAUCUCAAUUUGAAUAAUGGAUUCCAACAUGCUGUAUCCAGCCAAGAGAUCUUCUUCAAUCGAUAGAAUCAAAUCCUCAACGAAACACUCAGUUCUGGAUGAGCCUUCUUCGACGGUCUAGAAACUGUCAAUGAGGAUAGACUUUGGGUCUUGAGUUUGGCAAUCCAGAGGACUUCAAACUUUGAUGGAAGAGUUUGCAAGUCUUCAGACUAAACUGAUGGAAACGUUUUGUCAACUUCAAAACACUCAAGGAAGUUUUCUCCAACAGUAGUUGUCUGGCUUCGACUAGGGGAAUGAGCUAUUUCCAAUAAGUAGAUGAUAAGCGGCCUAAUUUUGAGUGUUCUAAGAAUGUUCCAUCGUCUUGUUGGGCUUAAAAAAAUCAAACUCUUCUGGAGCUCAAAAAUGUCAUGUAUUUCAGUUUCACUCUAGAUCUUGAGGAUAUAGAUGCUUUAUGUUGCAAAGAGGCCUGCACAAAGAAUUGUUCCUGCAAAGCAGCUAUAUUCCAAUAUCAUUCUAAUCGCACUAGCGACAAUUAUUACUUACUAACUCAAGUGUUAUUACUUAUGAACGUUGAUAAGAAAACAUUUUUUAUAAUUCUACUACUUACCUUAAAGUACAAAAUAUGGCCAAUGAAGCUCCUUAUACUUCGGUUGACAAUUGUAUGAGCAACCGUUUCCUUGUAAUACCCGGAUCUNNNNNNNNNNNNNNNNNNNNNNNNNNNNNNNNNNNNNNNNNNNNNNNNNNNNNNNNNNNNNNNNNNNNNNNNNNNNNNNNNNNNNNNNNNNNNNNNNNNNGAGCAAAGGAGGAUUACCUUGAUCAAGUACUUGGAGUGCCACUAGAUUCGCAUACAAUGAUUGAAGACCAUCACAGAUGGAUUCAGUAAAAAGCUUGUCGAGGUGGUUUUGGUUUUGUUUCGAAGGUACUCUGAGUGACAGCAUAAAAGUUGCAGUAAAACGCCUUGAUGGUUUUGGAUAGGUUAGGAAAUCCUUUCUAGUCGAAGUUGAGACUAUUGAUAGCAUCCAUCACGUGAACUUGGUAAGACUCAUCAGAUUUUGCACUGAGAAAUUCCAUAGGCUCCUCAUCUAUGACUACAUAUCGAAUGGGUCUCUAGAUAGAUGGAUCUUUCACAAAUCCAAUGAAUGUGUUCUCUACUAGGGGUGUGCAAAAUACCCGGGAACCGCCUAGAACCGGACCGGAACCACCCGAAACCGGCGGUUCUUGAGGGAACUGGUCCGGUUCCUGGUUCCUAUUUAUGGGAACUAGUGGGUACCAGUCCAGUUCCCGGUUCCGUGGGCGAAUUUGCCUGCCCGCCCACCUGGACCAAACCGGAACCUUUUUAAUAUUAAAAAAAAAUUACUAAAAGAAACCCUACGUCUUGAGUCUCAUCUCUUCGUCUUCGGCUCUCUCUCUCUCUCUCUCUGUCUCUUCCUCAGUCUCUUCGUCUUCGAUUCCUCCCUGAGCGUUGACGCCGUCGUCGUCGCUCCUCCUCCGCCGCUGUCUGCCCCCUCGCAUCAGUCGCCACCCGCCACAGCCACUGCUCCUCCACCUCUGCUAUCCGCCCCCUCGCUGUUGUUCGCCCCCUUACUUAGUCUCUUCAUCUUCGAUUCCUCCUCGAGCGUCAACACCGCCAACACUGCUGUCCACUCCCUCGCGUCGAUCGCCACCAGCCAUAGCCGCUACUCCUCCGCCUCUACUGUCCAUCUUGACUGAGCCCCUUUUUCCAUCACUCAACAAGGUACGGUCAUCGGCUUCUAGCUUGCCUCUCGAUUCAUCGUCCGCUUGCGAACUUGUACUUCGAUUCGAUUACCCAAUAGGUCGGAACGUAGUGAAGUUCGAGUCUUUGUUUUGGGAAUCGAUCGCUAUUCAUCUUGGUGCUUUGUCUUCAACAGUGCUCAUGCUUGAAUUUACAGAAUCCUAGGUUGCUUUUCCCUUUUGUUGUGUUUUUUGAUUUUUUUUGUAUGUCUGAUCAUUGGUAAAUUCUAUGCUCAGGGUCUGAGAAGGAGAUAAAGUUUUGAGCUUUUUUAAUUUUUAAUUUUUUUUUUCAAUUUUGUUCUUCUUCCUUCUGGGUUAGGAAACUCACUUCACCUCCUAAAUUUGACUGUACUGCUAGGUUGAACUACCCUUUAGAUAUAUGGUGUGGAGGGAUGGGAUGAUAAAUUGAAGGGCUCUGUUUUUGUUAUCAUUACUCCUUUUUCAUAUGUUAUGCUCGAUUUUAUCAGUUUUGGCUUAUGUGAUUUGCGUGUUUGCAGAUAAUAUACUUGGCAAUAGUUGGAGGAACUUAUUUCAUUGUGGCAAAAUCAUGCUUCAGCUAUAUUCCUGGAUAUUAUUUAAGUGGAAUUCAUAGGUACUGUUUGAAAGGAUUUAUACAAUUUCUGUUAUGAGUCAAUUUGCUGGUGUGAUCAAGGACAAACACUUGGUUUGAUAGCCCAAUCAUCUUGUGGUGGGAAAUAUUUUUGGCUGUUGGCAGAGAAAUGGGAAGUCACCAUUUCACCUCAGAAGGCUAUUAGCUACAUUCAACUCUUUUCUGGAAGAUGCUUUUCUUUUCAUUUUUGAUGGCCCUUUGCGAAUUUAGAUUCACUUGAGUUGUUGUUAUAAGUAGUUUUCUGUGCCUGAUACUAAUGCAUGGCAAGUGGGUUGACAAUUGAUAGUUGUGUGUGUUUUUUAUGAGCAAGAUAUAUACUGCUACAUCGGUGUAGUUUCAGGGACUUAUGUGGCCACAUGAGAGUUUUGAUUGUCCUCGAUGAUGUGAAAAAUGUUUGUCAUGUCAAGAAACUCAUCGGAGAUAUCUUUGGUUGCUUUGGAUAUGGAAGUACGAUCCUUGUAACCUUGUCUAAUAUUCUCUACUUGAUGAGUUUGUUCCACGUACUUAAAUUUGGUUUUUCUUUCUUCGGCUUGCUUUGAUGUCACGUAGUUGUUUUAUGUUGAAAACCAAAAUUAUUUCGCGUCAAGAUUGGUUCACAGAUGGAUCCAUGCAACAAACGGGUAGAUCCCAAUUCCAAUUUUUCGAAACCGGUCCUUAGCAAGCGGUUCCUAAUUUUAGGUUGGGAACCGCCCGCCCGGACCAUGCAUACCCUUAUUCUCUACUGGCAACAAAUGAAGAAGAUCAUUCUUGAUAUAGUGAAAGGACUAAAUUAUCUUCAUGAAGAUUGCGGACAGAAGAUAUUUCACCUAAACAUUGAAUCCCCAAAUAUCCACUUGGAUGGAAAUUUCAAUGCUAAGGUUGCUGAUUUUGGAUUAUUCAAGUUGAUAGACAAAGACCAAAGCCAUGCCAUCACAACCAUGAGAGAAACUCUCAGUUAUGUGGCCCUCGAGUGGUGGAGUAAAGCAAUCACUGAAAAGAUCGGCGUAUAUAGUUUUGGCAUAGUAAACUUAUAGAUAGUGCAUAGGAGAAAAAUCUUGGAUCGCUCUUUAGAAGAAGAAGACAUGCAUUUACUGAGCCUUUUUAAAAGAAGGUAAAAGAGGAACACUUAUUAGACAUUAUGGAUAAGUCUAGCGAUGACGUGCAACUAAAUGGACCAACGGCGGUGAAUAUGAUGAGUAUUGUUGCAUGGUGCUUGCAAGGAGACUAUACAAAGAGGUCCUCCACGUCUAUGGUCAUCAAGGUGCUAAAGGGCAUCAUAGAAGUUCCAGGGGACCUGGAUUACGACUUCACUACUCAGGCUUCCACCAAUUAAGAAGCAAGAUUCAGUUGAAUGGAUGUCGAAUUCAAUGAUGCCUCUACAUUACUACCCUCAAUCCUAAGUGGUCCAUGAUAACGCUACAAAGUCGUAAGAACUUUUCUUCCCAAUAUGUCAAGUGGUAGAACAGGUGAUUGAAUUUUUCAAACUAUGAGGACUCCAUCUUGUCAUUCUCUUUUUAGGCCCAAAAAAAGGCCUUUGGCAUGAUAUCACUUCUCAUUUUCACUUUGCCAAUGAGUGGACUCCACCAUACUUUGCAAAGGAUUGAGUUGGUUACGGCAUUGCAAUUCGGUUUUAUUGCUUACGUGGAAAUUAGUUGUGCUCAAGCUUGUUGUGUGCUAGUCUAGGGAAAAGGGGAACUUGCCGAACCAUUUGUGCAAAAAGCUGUUAAAAGACUAGUCAACUGCCGAUAAUUUCUUUUGGUAGCUUUGCCAUAUUGUGGAUGUCGCGACCCAAUCUCGCCGCCCCUCGAAAAGUAUCCAAGGAGGGGAAAGGUCGGAUUUAGGGGUAUUUGAUCUCGAGAUCGCGAGCUCUCCCAAGCUCGUACCCCGCGUGACAGUAGGUUUAUUAUGCGAUCUAGUUGUUUAUAACAACCUAAAAAAAAUAGGCAGGAGUCGCUACUAGCCUUAUUUUGGGGGUCGGCUAGAAACCCAAUCGAGGGUCGGGAGUAUUCCCUCGAUUCCUACGUAACCAGAUAUCUACGUUCGGGGACUUGGGUUACGCUAAUUUUGCUAUUAACGCCCUUUCGGUACCUAAACAGUAUGUUGUGUUUUUUCUAACAUAUUCAUGCAUUUCUUUUUAUGUUUUCAGGAUCGUCAAUUCUAUACUAAAUGAUCAUGCGUGGUGAAUUACUUUCAUUAUAUUCUACUCUAUUCUAUUCUUAAGAAAUGAAAGGAAAACAUUCAAUGAAAAUUAAAUUGCAAUUCUAAAGAAUAUAAAAGAGAAAACAAUUGAGAAAGAAAGGAAACCCGCAACUCGUCGGGCUUUAUACAAUGCAUGGAACCCGAGACAUGUGUCGGGAAAAAUGAGCAUUACAUGAUAACGGUCGGAGUGGACAUCGACCUCCACCAUCUUUACGCAUUACGCCUUCUCCAUCCCUGUCCUAAUCUAAACCUAAUCUAAGAAACAAGGAUCCCUUGCCUCAUCUUAUAUGACUAAGACAACGCAUAGAAAUCAUUAUUAUAACGAAUAGACAUAGGCAUCAGACAUGAAUAUGAAUCUAGCAAAUUCAAGUCACAAACAGGACAAAAUGCGAGGCAUGCUUAAAGGUUCGUAAAAUCAUCUAGACAAUGUACAAAAAUGUGAAACUUGCACAUGACAUAAGGUUGAAUGCGAAAAAAGGUUUGGGUAAACAUUUAACCCUAAAUCAGAAUGCAAAGAAGUCACACAAGUCAUUAAUAUUGCAAAGUGACUUGGAACUAAGAAUGUUAUGCUUGACAAUUUUCAAUUGCAAUUAGCCAAAUGGGUGCAUGAUAUUCGCAUCAAACAAGGUUCAAAUAUGAUGUCCCAUGCAUUAAUGCGAAACUUGUAACACGUGUUUCAAAUGUCAAGAAGACAAUGACGCAUGAUUUGGCCCUUAAAACAAAGAACCAGCAAAAUCAAUACACAAAGAAACAACAAAAACAGCACCUCAAUGACACGACUAAACAAUUUCACACACCAGGACAUAUGAACAGCAGGUAAAGAAAUAUCGAUACUAAAGAACAACAUAACUCUCGACAUCUUUACAAACAAAAACACAGAGUUUGGAUCGGUAGAACACAAAUAAGCUAUUGGGCAAAGUGAUUAGUGUUGGAAAUUGGUUUGAUGGUGGAUAUCUAAUAUUAAUUAUCAAACAACAGAUUUUUUCUAUAAAAAAAAAAAGAACAAUAGAGCAAGACCAUCCCACACGUGAUUUACUUUUUUUGGUAUUAUCAACCUUAAAAUAUAUGCUCAAAAGAUCGUAGGAAAGUGGCAGACAAUCAGGUCCACCCAAAAACAGAAUAUGCAUUUCUGACCAAGGCAAAUUCCAGAUUUCAGAAUGGAUUAGAAAAAAAAAGUUAAACAUGGCAAAUGAUGGUUGAUUCAGGCAUGCAAUAUGUCAUUUUAAAGCUUGAGAUGCCUAUUACAAUUAUCUAGAAGACAUUAAGUCCUAAUAACAUCAUCUACCAGCUCAUUUCGAGGACCGAAGCAUAUCAGUCAAAAUAGGCAUACGAAUUUCCACAUCAGAGCAGAACAGAACAAUUUUCCAGAAUUACUUCCUAACUUUUAAAGAAGAUUUCAUGUGGCUAAUGAUAUCGGAUCAGGGUUAUAGCUCGUUGGAAAGCUAGUCGAACCAUCUUCAACUCUCAUGAAGGCAUCAAACACAGAAAACCACAGCAACCAGCUCGUAUCAGGUCAUUUGUACAAAAGGUCAUCCAAAACAGAGAACCAAUCAGAACAGCAAAAUUUCAAACAAAGUCAGGGAUAUUCUGGACAUAUUCAACCUGGGUAAAUGAUAUUCAAUUAUCACGAAAUUUUUAUUUGAUAUAGAUUGGAACCUAAUGAACAACUUUCAUUUAGACAUCAACUUUAGAAUCUAAUCACAAAAAAUCAUGUGAAAAUGGCAAACAACACAAGUCAUUAAAGUAGUGCAUGAAAACAGAACACUUAAUCAUUUACAAAUUGUAAAUUGUAGCUCCGUUUGUAACAAUUGUCGAUUCUAGUAAAUGAUGACCAAAUCCAAAAGCUCACGGCAUUCAUUACAAAUUAUUAAGAAAGAAGCAAGCCUCGAGCACAGUACAAAAAGACAGCAAGACUCGAGCACAGCAAAGACUAUGAACAUGCGUUUAGCUUAGGCAUUUCAUCGAACGCUAAAUAGGCGCAAGAAAAACAAGGAGCACCGAGACUGAGCUUGAGUAGGGAUUUAAAAACAAUCAACAUUUAAGACCUCACAAUCCCAGCAUGCACAUGGAUAAAACCAAAACUCACAUGAACAGGACAACGGCGACUUGGUCUAAUGACUCCAAAACUAAGCACAAAGAAGAGACAAAAUAAGGCAAUCGGUCAAGGGUUCCAACCUGGCUCGUGGCACCAGGCAGGAGAUAAGAUCCGAGAAAUCGUCCAGAGAGCGAGCCUCCGAUCAAGAGAGUUACUAAUCUCCGAAAGCGAUCCUCAACCAGUCGGAACAGAGAGAAUUUCCGAUCCUGAUGAAGCUAGAUCCGGGCGAGAGCGAUUGAGUGUCCGUAAGAAAAAGAGAAUUCGAGCAGGAAAGAGAAUUCCCGAGCGAAAGAGUCAGCUUGAGUCCUAGAGAACGUGUGGGAUCUGGAGAGCGUCCUCGAGAGAGAGAAACCGUUCGGCCGUUUUUCCUCCGAGAGAGUCUGAGCCGAGAGCGUUCGUCCGUUUUGUCACAGUCGCGACUGCACUGACCGACAUAGGAAAUUUAGCUGCGGCUGUCACCGAUCGGGGAUGGGAAUACACCGAGCGUGAAGAUGAUCAGCAUAGCGAGGCCAACGACCGCUUCAAGCUCUUCAUCUUCGAAGCCAGAAACAUCACCGACGAUUUCUUCUCAUUCUCCAUCUUCUCCGACUCUAUCUAUCCAGAAGCACGAACCUUCGAGCGGCGGAACUCCCGACGGAAGAAACGAAAACCGAUCGUGAGUGGAGAUCAACUCCGGAUCUUAGUACCGGAAACGACAAGCCAAAGCAAUGGUAGAAACGGAGGAUGCGACGGUUGGUGACCGGAUUGCGGUAGCGGCGGCGCGCGAAUCGAAUCUCCGCCGCGAUGGGAAGAACUUGAAGAUUUGGGAUCGGAGUCGAGUGCAGAGAAAGAGAGAAAGCUUGACGAUGGAGGAUCCUCGAUCUAGGGUUUUCUUGGUGUGGUGGAGGAGACCGGAAAGAAAUCGAGAUCGAAAGAGAGAAAACCAGAAAAGCCCGCGUCCCCGAGCCUCCCCCAGAGAUCUUCCGUUCGAGCCUUUUAGAGAGAGAGAGAGCGUGAGAGAGCGAGAGAAAACCGUUUGAGAGCGAGAGAAAAAGAGAGCCCCUUUUCUAUUAUUUUUUUUCUUUCUUUUAUUUUUUUUUCUCUCCUUUUUCUUUUUCGUUUUCCUUAUUUCUUAUUUUUUUUCUCUUUUCAUUUCAUUUCAUUUUUUUUCUUUUUGUUUUCUUUUUAUUUAUUUAUUUAUUUUUGGCUCUUUAUUUUUUUAUAUUUUUGCAAAAUGGAUGAUUAAAAUGUCGACGAAAAUUUCCGGUGUCAACAGUGGAUCCAAAUGAGAUUUGCCUUUUGGUUCCAACACCUAAUAUCUUUUAGAUUCAAUGACUCUACCUUCCAUGUCUUCUUCAUUUCAACAUUAGUGGGCUAUUUUUAGUCUGUUCUACGAGCACACGGCUAGAACCGAUAAAGAUAACAAGAGAAUUUCAUCACUAAUGAGUUUGGAUUUUUCCUAUCGACUCUUGAUAUAUCCUAGGUCAAUAAUCUUAACUUACAACUUCUUAAAGAUCCAUUGAGGUUGUCUUGGGACAUAUUUUCGCCAAAAAUAAAGAGCCAAGAUUUUUGGGUAUGCAAGAUUCAACUUUGUGAUCUUUAGAUAAUACCAAUAAUUCUCAAUAACCUCAGAUUUUCCACAUUCAUUAAUCAACAUUGAUCCAAGCAUAUAGAUUCAUCAAAUUCAAUAGAGGAUAGAAAGCUUGUUCGGGUCUUAUUUGGUCCCUGGAACUGCUCACACAAUUAACAAAAGUUCAAGCGAUCUAACGCCCCCCCCCCCNNNNNNNNNNNNNNNNNNNNNNNNNNNNNNNNNNNNNNNNNNNNNNNNNNNNNNNNNNNNNNNNNNNNNNNNNNNNNNNNNNNNNNNNNNNNNNNNNNNNGAAAUUCGGUUAACCAAUCUUAGAAAACAUGAUAAAAUUAAAUGCAAAGAAAUAUGAUUGAGAAAGUAACCAAGUUAAUUUCUAAGUAGGAAAAAAAAUGACGAGGUUGAUUUUAUUUUUAAUAAAGAAAUGGACGGGGAGGGGGGAUCAUCAGGUGGCUCUUCUGUUAAUUGUAAUGUGUAUUGUGCGCCAUAUUCAUGUAUGGCGAAGGUAAGGGUAUAUUUUCAAACUUGAACUAAUAUUUGAUAUCAAUCAAUUUUAUUUUAAUUUAUAGUCAUUUUAAUGAAUGUCUUGAGUACUUGUUAAAUAUUUUUAUGAAGAGAAUCUUCAAUCUCCGAUGUGUCAUUGAGUAUAUUAUGAUGACAAUCAAUGUAUUGGGAGUCACCAUAUUUUUUUAUUUAAUUGCUUAAUAAGUGUUUUUGAGGUACUUUCUUAGUAAAUCUUUUUUAUGUCAAGUCCUUAUGCUCUUUAAAAAGAAAAAAAUUCUAAAUCUUUGACUAUACCAGCGAAAGGUAUUUUUUUUCGAAUACAAGAGGAAAGAAGAAGAAAGAUAGGCGAAUGCGUCACGCAUGUGUAGGCGCCGCAAAGGGAAGAUUAGGAUAAACACCUCUAAUCGGACCGGUUGCUUUUGGCCUUUCUUUUUUUUUUUUUUCUUUUUUUUUGCGUUUGGGUAAAGACGCGUACUUCGUUUCUUGUUUGACGGGUUGCAAGUCUCUUCAUCCAACCCAAACCACCAAAAAGAAACAAUUAAAAAAAUUAAAGGAAGAUUGCAAGUCUCUUCUUGAUGCUCGACAUGCGUAUCACGCUGGAAUGCAUUCCAUUCACUUUAUUGAGAGAACUUCCUGUGCAAUUUUCCUGUUUCGCUUUCAUCUUGACUCAAAGUCGCCAGUCUAUUAUUUGCAUCGUCUUCCCUCCUCUCUUCCAUUUCUCAAUCAUCCUCUGCUCAGAGUUUCACUGCAGGCCAUGGUUUUACUCUGCAGUCGCCCUUCUUUCUUCCUUUCCUUUUCCUUCGUUUUGCUAUCGCCAUUCUCAAACUUCAUUGCUCAAGCUCGAGAUUAUGAUCAUCCAACCGCCACGCUUUCAAGACAGUGGACGAAUAACGCAACAGCUAAUAACUACACCCCAUAUAGUGAUGGAUCAGUUGUGCAGAAAAUUCUAUUCCGAGGCACAGGAGUUACCGCCGGCUACUCCUGCGGCUUCUAUUGCAAAGGUAACUGCACCUCUUACCUCUUUGCUGUUCUAAUCUUCCCAGUUGUCAAUGUUUAUAAUAGGGGACUGGACGAAAGUCCACGAGUAGUGUGGUCUGCCAAUCGAAACAAUCCCAUAAAGAUUGGCGCGACAUUGGAGCUCACGCCUGAAGGCGAUUUGGUGUUGAAAGAUGCUAAUGGUACGGUUGCUUGGUCCACAAACACUUCUGCAAAGUCCGUUGUAGGCCUGGACUUGACAGAUUUGGGGAACCUCGUAUUGUUUGAUAAGGACAAUGCGACAGUUUGGCAGUCCUUUGAUCACCCAACCGAUUCACUCGUCCUCGGACAAAAGUUGAGGCAUGGGCAAAGAUUGACACAGAGUAUUUCCGAGACAAAUUGGACCGUUGACGAUAUGAUUACGUUUUCCGUGAAUGGCGAUGGUUUAUCUGCUCAAGUGGAGACUAAUCCUCCUCAAAUCUAUUUCAACUGCAAAGCUUACACUUGGGAUACAAGUAUCAAGAUUUCAUAUGUUGAACUUGAAAAUGGAAGCUUGUCUUGGUUCUCAAAUUCUACCUCGUAUGGGACCUUGUUUUCAAUCCCUUCAGCAUCUUCAACACAACACAUGACGCUAGGCUCAGAUGGGCAUUUGAGAGUGUAUGACUCUGAGGGGGUAGAAGUGGGCGAUCUUUUCAAAGGGUAUGUCGAUGACUGUGCCUAUCCGACGGUGUGUGGGCAAUAUGGAAUUUGUUCCAAUGGGCAAUGUAGUUGUCCGGCUUCAAGUGGGGGCACGAGCUACUUCCAGCCAGUAGAUGCUAGGCAGCCUCAGCUUGGGUGUUUCGAGAAUGGUCCGUUGUCUUGUGGGGCUUCACAACAACAAAGUCUUCUGGAGCAAGAAAAUAUCGCGUAUUUUAGUUUGACUCCAAAUCUCGAGCAUAUAGAUGCUUCAAGUUGUAAAGAGGCUUGUGCAAGGAAUUGUUCAUGCAAAGCAGCUAUAUUUCGAUAUGAAUCGAAUCGCACUAACGGCAGUUGUUACUUACCAACUCAGGUAUUUUCACUUAUGAACAUUGAUGAGGCAACAAGUCCUUAUAAUUCUACUGCUUUCCUCAAAGUACAAAAUUUGACCAAUGAAGCUCCUUAUACUCCAGUUGACAAUCCUAUGAGCAACCGUCUCCCCGUAAUACUUGGGUCCAGCCUUGGAGCUCUCUUUGCCAUGAUGAUUUUGAUUGUAGCCAUAGUUUUGUUUGUUCAAAAGAGAGAUGAUAAUCAAGCAGAGGAGGAUUACCUUGAUCAUGUACCUGGAAUGCCCACUAGAUUCGCAUAUGACGAUCUAAAAACCAUCACAAACGGAUUUGAUAGAAAGCUUGGCGAAGGCGGUUUUGGUUAUGUUUUUGAAGGUACUCUAAGGGAUGGCACAAAGGUUGCAGUAAAACGCCUUGAUGGUUUUGGGCAAGUUAAGAAAUCCUUUCUAGCCGAAGUUGAGACUAUUGGCAGCAUCCAUCACAUGAACUUGGUAAGACUCGUGGGAUUUUGCGCUGAGAAAUCCCACAGGCUCCUUAUCUAUGAGUACAUGUCGAAUGGGUCUUUAGAUAGAUGGAUCUUUCACAAAUCCAAUGAAUGUGUUCUCGACUGGCAACAAAGGAAGAAGAUCAUUCUCGAUAUAGCAAAAGGACUUAAUUAUCUUCAUGAAGAUUGUAGACAGAAGAUAGUUCACUUAGACAUUAAAUCCCAAAAUAUCCUUUUGGAUGAAACUUUCAAUGCUAAGGUUGCUGAUUUUGGGUUAUCCAAGUUAAUAGACAAGGACCAAAGCCAAAUCGUCACAACCAUGAGAGGAACUCCUGGUUAUCUGGCCCCCGAAUGGCUAAGUGCAGCAAUCACCGAAAAGGUCGACGUGUAUAGCUUUGGCGUGGUUAUCUUGGAGAUAUUGUGUGGGAGAAAAUCUUCGAUCUCUCAAUGAAGAAGACAUGUAUUUACUGAGCCUUUUUAAGAGAAAGGCAAAAGAGGAACAAUUGCUGGACAUUGUGGAUAAGUCUAGUGAUGACAUGCAACUAAAUGGAUCGAAUGCAAUGAAUAUGAUGAGGAUUGUCGCAUGGUGCUUGCAAGGAGACUAUAUAAAGAGGCCUCCCAUGUCCAUGGUCAUCAAGGCAUUACAGGGCAUCGUGAAAGUUCAAGAAGACUUGGAUUAUGACUUCUCUGCUCAACCUUCCAGUAGUGGAGAAGUGAGAUUCGAUCCCAUGGAUGUCGAAUUUAAUGCUACCGCUACAUUACUACCCUCAAUCCUAAGUGGUCCACGAUGACGCAUCAAAUUUAGAAUAACUUUUCUUCCCAAUAUGUCAAGUGGUAGAACAUGUGCACGAUUGAAUUUUUCGGUCCGUGAGGACUCCGACUUGUCAUUCUUUUUUUCAGGCCAAGGAAAAAGCCUGUGGCAUGAUAUCAUUUCUUGUUUUUACUUUUGCCAAAAGGAUUGAAUAGGUUAGGAUUUUGCAAUUGGGUUUUAUUGCUUAUGUAGAAACUGUCGUGCUCAAGUUUAUUGUGUGCUAGCCUAGGGAAAAAGCUGCUAGUAAUGUCUUUUGGUAACUUUACCAAAUCAUGGAUCCAAAUUUGAUUUGCUUUUUGGUUCCAACACCUAAUAUCCUUCGGGUUUAAUGACUACCUUCUAUGUCUUCCUCAUUUCAAGCUUAAUGGGCUAUUUUUAGUUUGUUUUGCCAGCGCACAAUUAAAACCGAUAAAGAUAAUAAGAGAAUUUCAUCGUUGGUAAUUUUGGAUUUUUCCUAGUGACUCUUAAUGUAUACUUGAUUAAUAAUAUUAAUUUCCAACUUCUUAAGGAUCUGUCGAGGUUGUUCCAAGGCAUAUGUUUGCCAAAGAUAGAGAAUCAGGAUGUUUGGGCAUUCAAGAUUCAAUUUUCCAUCUUAAAAAAACACUGGUCAUUCUCAAUAACCUCGGCUUUUCCACUGUCUUUAAUCAUCAUGAUCCAAGCAUGCUGAGAUGCUUGUCCGGGUUUUAUUUGGUCUCGGAACUGCUCGCACAAUUAAUGAAAGUUCAAAGCUAUCUGGCCCGCUGCCAUGCCAUGGCACCUCUCGAUUGGAUCUUCUCGUGGCAGGUCAACAAACCAGAGCCCACGUGGAGCUCAUCCAUUGGCCCGAGCUACGUGUAACCUCUUGCAAAUUGCUCCCUCUUCCCUGCACAAACUCACUAGCGACGGAACUUCUUCGCUCGGAGUCGCGAUGGUAAGUUAUCACGAAUCGCACAGAGAAACGAUAAUCAGUACAUAAUAUCCCCAAAACGUAAAAGACAAGACAAGAAAACCAAUGCGAUUAUGAAAAUAAAAAAGAUACGCACGUAGAAAGAAGGCUGAGAGGAAGAAAGAAGAUGACAAACGGUACAUGACUUCCCGAGACAUCUCGAGCAUAACAUAAGACCGUUUGCAAUGCAAAAGCAGCAGAAAUACAGCAUAUUCAAUAUCAAUAAACAGUGAUCCAUUUCUUUCUUUACAGUAGCCCAAACUGGAUCCAGCUCAUAAACGAGGAGUUAACUCUUUUUUCAGAGUGUCAGCUCGCCAUGCGAAAAUACAAGAGUGUAAAGAGACGCGGCAGCAUUCUUUUCUUCGCUUGUUUCCCCCUAAAAGAUGUCAAGGUAGUCUCCAUAUAACUAUGAAGCUCAAAGUAAGAGACAAUUACGUAAUGCUGUAACAUUUUCUUCCCGAUAGUUCAUGCAACAGAUANNNNNNNNNNNNNNNNNNNNNNNNNNNNNNNNNNNNNNNNNNNNNNNNNNNNNNNNNNNNNNNNNNNNNNNNNNNNNNNNNNNNNNNNNNNNNNNNNNNNGGUUGAGGGCUAAGCCCUCGCUACCGUCACCUCCUCGCCGUCGCCGGGAAGGGUCAGUGAAGGUGGGGGGAGGGUUGACUAGGGUCGUCGGUGUGGCAUCCCAAAAUUCAAGUCACCCUCUAGAGGAAUUAAAGCCUAUAAUUAGGUAAUGAAAUUACCUAUGGUCUAUGUGUUAGCCAUUAGUUUUCUUAAGGCUAUGUGUUAAUGUGCUUGUGUUUAUGAGAUUUUAAAUUUGAUAGAUUAAUGAUAAUAAUCUAUGCUUGACCAUGCACCUUAUAGAUUAAAUUCCUAUAAAUAAAAUGUCACAAGACUUUGGCCAUGUGGAAUUUAAAAUUUAAAAUUUGUAGAAGAAAUUAUAAAAGGAGAAAAUUUAAUUUUUUAUUUAAGUUGGGCCUUAGGCCCAUUGGCCUAAGCCUUAGUGGGCCAAGCUGGUCGGCCCAAUUAGGCCCGCGAAAGGGGGCUGUCGCCGGCCCAAAAAGAGACCCAAGAAAAAGAAAGCCCAAGCCCAUGCUUGUGUUGUGACAAGUGGCAAGAGGAGAUGGCAUGCAUUGGCCAAUUGAAAGGCAAACUAAUCAUUGCAAAUGAUUAGGAAAUGGGGGAAUAAAAGGGAAGAGGAGAGAGAGAGGUGGCCGGUUGAGCUACCGCCCAAAGAGAGAGAGAGAUUGUGCGAGAGAGAGGGAGAGUGAGGCCGAGAGGGAGGAGAAGCCAAGAGGAAGGAGUCGCCGCCCGUUCGCCGCCGUGUGCUGCCAUGUUCGCCGCCAUGUGCCGCCGUUUGUGUGGUCUAGAGGCAAGUUGGGAAUCCACUUUCUACUCUUGCACCAAUGUUUUGCAUGUAUGGUCGGAAUCUAGGAUGUUUGGAGGCAUGGGAGUGAAGCAAGUGUGGUUUGUUCUUGAGUUGCAUGCUGUUUUCGCAUGAACAGUUUGAGUCAGAACUUUGUGAGAGCUUGCAUGCAUGUUUUGAGUUCGAUUUUGAUUUUGAUUUCUUCAUGAAAGUUGUAUAUAACAUCUUAAACUAUAACAUAAUAAAAUUUGGUGUAAAAUGAUGGAGAUUUGAGGGGUAAAACUCUCAUCCUACGGAGACAUCAGAUCUGGAACUAUUUCACUGACCUUUCGGUGGAUUUGUGGUUGCAUGUUGAUUUUUACUAAGAAUAUCUCUUCGAUUUCUUCUUUAAAGUUGCAGGGGGAAUCUUAAAAUACAACAUACUCAAAUUUGAAGUAAAAUGAACAAGUAUAACCUAGUAAAUCGACUCACUCUUGAAGACGGUAAAUCUGGAGACGUGGUACAGGACACCCGAGACUUCAUGGACCCAAAUGAUGACUAUACUCUAGAUAUUUGACUUAGAUCCCUUCAUGAAACUUGUAUAGAAAAUCUUGAAGUAAAACAUAUCCAAAUUUCAGAGGAAACGAAGAAUAAUAGGUAGGUGAAGACUCAGUAUUUCGGAGAAGCAUGCACUGGACAUUUCGAUGUUAUAUCCAGAAGCUUCGUGUGACUGUAGAAAAUAAUAUAAAAAUAAUUUGGCCUAGAAGUCUCCAUGAAAAAUAUACCUUAGUGUCUUGGCAAUAACCUGGUAAAAUUUCGUAAUUUUCGGAGAUCGUUUGGAUAUUUUAAUUAAAUUAUUUCGGAAACUGUGCAUUCUGUUUUUAUCCGAAGUUGUAUGCUGUGAUGGUGUGAAUGAUAUCUUUUGUGUGGAAUAUUAUUGGCCAUGUGUCUUUCAUAAAACCAUUAUCUUAUUGUCUUGGUUAUCACAUGCUUUAAUUUCAUGAUUUUUGGGAAUCAUAUGGAUAUUUAAUUUAAAUAUUUUUAAAAAUGGUACAAGCUGGAAUUUAAAUAAAUUCCAAAAAGGCAUAAUAAAUGGAUUAUUCUAAAUUGUAUGAAUUCCAUAAACUUUAUUUUUCAUCCUGUGGCAUGUAUAAUGAUGGCUAAUGAUGCAUGUAUGAAUCAAAGCAUGAAAGUGAUCUUGUUUGCCAUUGCAUCAUGUGCCGUGCUGAGUUGAGACAUAAAUUGGUAACCAUGAAUAAAAGAGAUAAAUGAGGAGACUGUUGUGGUAGAUGAUAAUGCCCUGGGAGUGUCAAGAUGUCCGGGAUGGGGGGUGCCGAAAGCCGGAUUGUAUUGAGAUACAAGGCCGGAUUGUCCUCGGGAGUUUCGAGAUGCCCGGGAAAUGGGGGUGCUGGAAGCCCUGGAGGUUUGUGCCCAGGGGGAUGCCUCGUGACGCCAGUUGGGGUGCGAGAUGCCCGGCCAGGGAGUGUAAAUGCCGGAAGCCUCGGAGGUUUUUGCCCGAGGGAUGCCUCGUGAUGCCAGUUGGGAUGCGAGAUGCCCGGAAUAUGGGGGUUCGGAUGCCCGGUGGUGUAUGCCGGAGGUUUAUCUUGUGAUGCCAGAUGUGGCGAUCGAAUUGAAAGAUAAAAGUGAAAAUGAUGGCAUGCAUAUAUGAUGUGAAGAUGAUAACCUAUGGCAUGAUGGCAUGCAUAUAUGAUGUGAAGAUGAUAACCUAUGGCAUGAUGGCAUGCAUAUAUGAUGUGAAGAUGAUAACCUAUGGCAUGAUGACAUGCAUAUGUGGUGUGAAGAUGAUAGCCUAUGGCAUGAUGACAUGCAUAUAUAUAGGAUAUGAUGAUGAGAUGUGCAUGGAUGCAUGGUAACUAUGCAUGAUGAUAUGCAUGUAUGAGAUGAUAUGAUGAUGAUCACUUAUGGCAUGAUGAUAUGCAUGUAUGAGAUGAUAUGAUGAUGAUCACUUAUGGCAUUAUGAUAUGACAUGAUAUGAUAUGAUGAUGAAGAUGUAUGAUGGUAUAUGCAUGGCUUCAAGGUAAGUACGCAUGGAUGCAUGAAUGGCAUGUAUGAUGUUGUGAUUGUAUUGUAUGAUGCAUUGAGUGGCUAUCGGAUUCUUUUACCUGCUGAGUGGUUGUACUCACCCCUUUGGGGACCAACAUUUCAAAUUAGCAGCAUGCCGCUCCCUGCUGUCACGCAGGGUGUGUUUUACGGUCUACCAUCCAAUGUAGAGGUCAAGUGCGAGGAGUUUGGCUGUCCCUCUGUUCCUGGAUUGACAUAUAUUCGAGUGCGCUGUUUAGUCAUGUACGAUGUAGGCCUGACUGGGGGCCCUGUUGUCCAGGAGUUCAUAUCCGUCCACAUUCGUCGCGACGGUGUGAUGCGUGGGAUGUUGCCGCCGCCACCGCCUGAUGCACCGGGUUGGGUGUGAGGGCCCGUGCGUGAUGAGUAGGAGCUGGAUCUUUUUGGGGAUAGUUAGUCGACACUGAUGAUGGGGAUUUAGCACGUGAGUUGUAGCGGGUCGAGGGUUUCUUUUUGGGGUUUUAGGCCGGGCGUGGCUGAGUCCUGGCUUUUCCUUUUGAUGUACCAACCCAAGAAAUCCCAUCUUGGAGAUAUGUAAAUAAAGUGUCAUGGCUUGUCUUUUAAUCAUGAUGAUUAGUGGUGUGUAUUUGUAUCAUGGUUGAUGGAGGGGGAGAUGGCGAUGUUUUAUUUUGCUUCCGCUAAUGAGUCACGCUGGGACCGCUUUAAAAAAAAAUGUCUAUGAAUUACGACGUUUCUUCUAAAUAAAUGUAAUAAGGUGUAACGUUGGUGUCUGUGGCGACCUGCGAAGGGUUCGGGGUGCCACAGUCGGGCCCUGGCCACGGGCCAGCAACCCUUGCUAAUCGGUGGUGAGGGCCCACGAGCCCUCGCCCCAAAUCUGGGUGAGGGUCGCGACCUUCACCAGAUCUGGCGAGGGUCGCCAACCCUCGUUGGAUUUGGGGGAGGGCCGUGACCCUUAGCCUGGCCGUGUGAGGGCUGUGACCCUUGCCCAAAUCUGGGGCGAGAGCUCACAAGCCCUCGCUACCUGUCGGCCAGGGUUGUCAGCCCUUUGCUAGGGCCGGGUGACCCUGGCCGACCCUCCCCCCAUUGUCGCCGGCCCUUCUAGUGGCGGCGAGCAAGCAGUGGCGGUGAUGAGGACUCAGCCCUCAGUCGCCUUCUUUCUCUCUUGGCCUUUUUUUUUUUUGGAAAUAUUUGUAUUUGUAUUUUUAAAUGAUUUAAAUAAAUUUAGUUUUAAAUUUAAAUUUAAUUUUUUACCACGUCAAUAGCAAAAUGACAUCGUUUUUGCAUUGUCUAGCCAUGUCAGUGUGCAAAAUGACACCGUUUUGCACAUGCUUCGCCAAAAAAUCGUCACGUUAGCAUUUUGGCCGGAUUUUUUUGCCGUUGGCACUUAAGUGAUCAAUUUUGUUCUGAUUUUAGCACUUAAGUGAUCAUCUGAUUUUAGCACUUAAGUGAUCAUCUGAUUUUAGCACUUAAGUGAUCCAUUUUGUUCUGAUUUUGGCACUUAGGUGUCACUUUCCUAACUUUUGGCACUUAAGUGUCCCUACGUGCCAAGUUUUGGCACUUGAGGUGUACUUCUUCCCACUCUUCCUAUCACAACUCACUAGCGAUGGAAGUAUUGAGAUAGCUAGUAUAAGCACCUAGAGGAGGGUGAAUAGGUGCAAAAACAAUUUCUCGUGAUAUGUGAGCAAUAUUAGACAAUGAGAAUGAAGCUCGCCUUUUUGAUAUCACAAGUAAUUAUGAUCAAAGUAAAACNNNNNNNNNNNNNNNNNNNNNNNNNNNNNNNNNNNNNNNNNNNNNNNNNNNNNNNNNNNNNNNNNNNNNNNNNNNNNNNNNNNNNNNNNNNNNNNNNNNNNNNNNNNNNNNNNNNNNNNNNNNNNNNNNNNNNNNNNNNNNNNNNNNNNNNNNNNNNNNNNNNNNNNNNNNNNNNNNNNNNNNNNNNNNNNNNNNNNNNNNNNNNNNNNNNNNNNNNNNNNNNNNNNNNNNNNNNNNNNNNNNNNNNNNNNNNNNNNNNNNNNNNNNNNNNNNNNNNNNNNNNNNNNNNNNNNNNNNNNNNNNNNNNNNNNNNNNNNNNNNNNNNNNNNNNNNNNNNNNNNNNNNNNNNNNNNNNNNNNNNNNNNNNNNNNNNNNNNNNNNNNNNNNNNNNNNNNNNNNNNNNNNNNNNNNNNNNNCCAUCAAUCAUGUUCGCCCAUACAAUCAGGAUCUCGGUUUCCAUAAGUAGAACCUUCCAAGUAUACUUCACCAAUCAUCAGAUCCUUAAUCAAUCUUGAUUUGAGUAAAGGAUUCCGUUAUGUCAUAUCCAGCCAAGAGAUCUUCGUCAGUCGAUAAGAUCAAAUUCUUAACGAAACAUCCAGUCCUGGAUAGACCUUCUUCGACAAACUAGAAACUAUUAAUGAUGAUAGACUUUGAGUCUUGAGUCUGGUAGUUCGAAGGUCUUCAGACUUUAAAUAGUAGAGUCUGCAAAUCUUCAGACUAAACUGAUGGAAACGUUUUGUCAGCUUCAAAAUACUUCAUGAAGAUUUCUCCAACAAUCUCCCCCUUUUGAUGGUGACAAAACUUUCCUGCAGAUUUAAAUAACUUUGACCUACAAAACAUUACUCAAACAAAUAUGGAUAUCUUAUAAAGAUAAAUGGCUUACUAGAAUCUGCAACCAUAGAAAAUAAGUUAGUCUUUCAUGAGAGUAAAGCCAUUCAUAAGAUAUCAGUAGUACUUAAUAUGAGCAGUCAAAUCCAAAUCCCAAAUUCAGUCCACAUCCAGACACAAGUCAAGUCAAAACAUCAAACAUCAAAACAAAUUAAAAGUUCAACAAGUUCAAGAUCAAAGUUUUAAAAUCUCGCAUCUCUCCCCCUUUUUGUCAUCAGAAAAAAGGUUGAGAUGGAAAUAGAGUCAAGAUUGCUUGGGAACACGAACAAGCUGGAAAUCUCCCAUAGACUGAGCGAUGCCUUCUAGCUUUUUCAAUUCUUCUUUCAGUUGAGCUACAUCUUCACCCUUAGCAUUUGCUUGAAUCUGAAGAGCAAGGGCUUGGAUCUGAUCAUUCACAGAAACUGAAGAAGCUUGGCUUGCAGUCUGUAAAUUCUGUACUUCGUAACCCAAAGCAUAUAUCUGACCCCGCAACUCCAAGAGAACAUCGAGAAUUCUGCGAAAAUCUGCUGAAUUAUCAGUCUGCGUACUGGCUUCUGCUCGAUCAGAUGGAGUAAAGGCAGAUGAUGGCAAAUCAGCAUAGUUAUGCGGAUUGGGCGAUGAAACACCAUGUCCCUCCUCAGGAAAUUGAGAGGCAUAAACGUCCUCUGGAUCUGCUGGAGAGCGACUGACUUCUUCACUGGUAGCCGGAUAUGAGGACAUAUCUCUUUUCUCACAAUCUCCCCCUAUUUCCAUGCCUUCAGGUGGAGAAGAGUGUUCCUCAUACUCUCCUUCCUCUUGAUCUCCUUUCUCUCCUUUCUCUUCUUCUUCUGCUUCAAUUCUUUCCUCCUCAGCAUCUCUUUCUUAUGCUUCUCUCUCCUCUGUUUCUUUUUCCUCUGCUUCUUCUCGUUCUUCAGUCCUCUAUUAUGAGUCUUUCUCUUGAUGUUCCGUUGAUUCUGGAGCAGAACGACUCAAGUUCUUCAAGGCCAUAGCAGAAAUGGUGAUAUCAUCCUCAUCAUCUUCAUCCUCAACGAUGAGAGCUUUUCUUUUCUUGGAUGAAGCAACCAUGGGCUCCUUCCCUUUUCUUUUUGCUGCAGAAGAGAUUUGAUGAGGCUUGGCAGGAGUUGACUCCUUGAAUUUCUCCAACGUCUUGUUUAGUUCCUUCAGACGCAUUUUAGACACCAUUUUCAAUCCUACCACCAUGUGAUCACACGAUCGAACACAGAGAAUUCGUGGAGGCUGAAUAUUCAAAUGUCUGAAUAACUUUAUCACAAGAGCUGGAUAAGGAAGUUGACCCAUGUCCUUCACCACUGCUCUAUACAUGUGGAACAAAAUAGUGUGAGGAAGAGAAAACUUUUUCCCUGCAUUGAUGGCGUACAUCAGCUUUGCCUCUGAAUUGGAAACAUCAGUUUUUGAAGUAGACUUUGGCCUGAGGCAAUUAAUCACAAUCUUGUGAAGCAGAAUGUUGAACACACGUAUCCUUAAGUAGGAAAUCCUUCCCUCUGUCCUUCUAUCUUUAACAAGUUCCAAUGUGGUGCAACAGACACAUUGAUAGGUUGAUAUCUCCCUCUCUCAACCCUAAUCACAUCAGCCAACAUGUCUACAUCCACCACAUAAUCCUGAUCUCGAACACUAAACGAAAAUCUGUUCGCGUCCAGGAAACUGAGAUUUGAAUAGAAGUAUGCAGUGAGUUCAGCAUAGGCUUCUAUAGGUUCAGAACAAAAUUGCUCAAGUUGAAGAAGACUGAAUUUUUCCCUCAAAUUGACGUUCACAGAGUCAAGGAAAUCAAAGUCUACACUUCUAGGGUUUAUCACCCCACGCUUCAACAACUUAGUGUAAAGAUUCUUGUGUUCUUCCGAAUGGAACAAUUCUAUCCUUUUGCUCCGAAUACUUGCUGCAACACCCAUUCUCGGUUGAAAUUGACUGUACAACUUGUCAUCAUCAUUUUCGUCUAGCUGAUUCACUCCUCCAACACGCGGAUCACUUGGGAUGUUUGCAAGGGUUUCUUCUGCCAACCCUUUAGGGGCAAUUCUCAAACGCUCCAUAUUUUUUAAAAAGAUGUACUCAUUACCAUGCCCUUUGUCCUUGAGAAACUCAUCGAUGUAGUUCAAUGGAGUACCGGUCUUCUUUAAAGCACGAUAAAGCUUAUAAAUAAAGGAGGGCUUUUGAAUUCUUACAGGAUCUGCGCCUUCAACGAUUUCUUCCUCUUCUCUAUGACCAACAUCCUGUGGGCUAGACAGUGGAGAAUGACGCGGCUGAGAAUGUUGUGGGCUCUGCUGCUAACUGGGAGUCUCUUCUUCCUCGGUGAGAUCAAAGUGAGUAGGCCCCUCACUCAUUCUCUGCGGUCCCCUGCUUGCGAUUCUCGAAGACUUCCUUUGAGACGACAUCUUUCACAGUUUUCGGAAGAUUCCAAACUUGUUUUUCCCAAGAAAGAUGACAACUUUUUGAAGAUUAAACAAGAGAAGAAGACGCAAGUGGAAGAUCGAUGCCUUUUAGGGUUUUGGAGUAAGACGAAGAAGAACCGUUCGUAUAUAGGACAGUCGAAGAGAGGCAUCCGAAGCGUCAUAAAAGAAAGUAAAAAGAUGCCUUUUAAAAAUAACUGCCUUUUUCAAAAAUUAGAUAACUACCAUUUAAGACUAACUUCAUUUUCGAAAAAGAAAGAUAGCGAUAAUCACGGAAAUAGCAAAAAUCAAUUAUGGACAGAUAAUCGUACCUUUUCGAAAUUUAUUCUGAGAGAAAGAAUAACUUACAGUAAAGAAAACUCGAUUGACUGAGUCUGAGAGUCUCUAGACUUUAACCUCUUCAGACUUCAAGAUGUUGAGUCUGGAACGAAUAACUUCAAAUUGAUUUUUCUCCAAAGGCUUUGUAAAUAUAUCCACCAGUUGGUUCUUUGAGUCAACAAACUGAAUCGAAACUUCUCCAUUUUGAACAUGAUCUCUGAUGAAGUGAUGUCGAAUCUCUAUAUGCUUUGCUCUUGAGUGAAGAAUUGGAUUCUUGGUCAGAUUGAUUGCGCUGGUGUUGUCACACUUAAUCUCCGUGCAUGAAUCUUCAAUUCCAAAGUCUCUUAGCUGUUGUUUUAUCCACAUAAUUUGUGAGCAGCAACUUCCAAGAGCUACAUACUCUGCUUCUGCUGUAGAAAGAGCUACUAUAUUUUGCUUUCUUGAAAACCAAGACACUGUCCUACUUCCAAGUAGUUGACAAGUACCCGAGGUGCUCUUUCUAUCAACUCUGCAACCGGCUAGGUCUGCGUCUGAGUAUCCAAGAAGAGUAAAGUCUCCAUUUUUAGGAUACCAAAGACCAAGACUUGAAGUUGAAGCAAUGUAUUUGAUAAUACGCUUUGCAGCACUUAGAUGAGAUUCUUUAGGGUCUGCUUGAAAUCUAGCACAAAUACAAACACUAAACAAAAUGUCAGGUUUAGAAGCAGUAAAAUAAAGAAGUGAACCAAUGAUACUCCUGUAUAGCUUCUGGUCAACUUUCUUUCCUCCUUCAUCUUUGUCUAUCUUCAAAGAACUUGACAUUGGUAUGUCAGUCUUUUUGCAAUUUUCUAGUCCAAACUUUUUGACAAGAUCAUUAGCAUAUUUUUCUUGAUGAACAAAAGUUCCUUCCUUCAACUGUUUCACUUGAAGCCCGAGAAGAAGGUUAGCUCACCCAUCAUGCUCAUUUCAACUUCGUCCUGCAUAGACUUAGAGAAUUUCUUGCACAAACUUUCAUUAGAGGAUCCAAAAAUAAUAUCAUCUACAUAUAUUUGAACAAGUAGAAAACUUUUGUUUUCUCUUUUAAUAAAAAGAGUAGUGUCUACUUUACCUUUUACAAAUCUGUUUUGAAUUAAAAACUUACUCAACCUAUCGUACCAAGCUCAAGGUGCGUGUUUUAAACCAUAUAAUGUCUUUUUCAGUCUGAAUACUGAGUCUGGUUUCCUUGGGUCUUCAAACCCAGGUGAUUGUUCCACAUAGACUUCCUCAUGAAUGAAUCCAUUCAGGAAAGCGCUUUUGAUGUCCAUUUGGAAUAACCUGAAAUUUUUAUAACAGGCAAAAGCAAGUAAUAAUCGGAUUGCUUCUAACCUUGCUGCUGGUGCGUAAGUCUUGUCAUAGUCUAUCCCUUCUUCUUGCGUAUAUCCCUUGGCCACGAGUCUUGCUUUGUUUCUUACGACUUUUCCUUUCUCGUUCAUUUUGUUCCUGAAAACCCAUUUAGCUCUAAUAACAGAUUUACCUUUUGGUUUAGGAAUUAAUUCCCAGACAUCAUUAAUACUGAAUUGUCUGAGCUCUUCUUACAUAGCUUCAAUCCAGCUUUCAUCAGACAAAGCUUCUUCUAUGCUUUUGGGUUUUAUUUCAGAGACAAGAGCCACAGCACUAGACUCUUCGCGCCUUUUGGAUCUUGUGCGAAUUCCUUCUUUAAUGUCGCCAAUAAUGAGAUCUUUGGGAUGAUUGGACUUAUGCUUCCAGUUGCUGGUUGAAUUAUCAGGUUGAUGAUCACUUCCUUCAUUUGAAUCUUUAACAAUCAUUUGUUGCCGAUAUUUAGAAGUCUGAGCUGCUUCUUGAGAUUUAGACCUUGUAGAGUCUGGAGCAGGUUCAGAUUCUUCAAGAUGAGUCUGAAUAGAUUCAUUUUGCAUGGAAUCUUGAAAUCUGACAUUCAUUGAUUCUUCCACAGAUUGAGUCUUUUUGUUGUAGACUAUGUAGGCUUUGCUUGAGGUUGAAUAUCCAAGGAAGAUGCAUUCAUCUGACUUUUCUUCAAACUUGCCAACUCGAUCAUUUGCAUUUUUUAAUAUAAAGCAUUUACAUCCAAAUACAUGAAAAUAUGAAAUAAUAGGCUUCUUUUCUUUGAAUAGCUCAUAGGGGGUUUUUUCUAGAAUAGGCCUUAGAAAAACUCUAUUAAUAAUGUAACAUGCUGUAGAAACUGCUUCGGCCCAAAAACGUGAAGAAAUAUUACUUUCAAUUAAAAGAGUUCUAACCAUUUCUUGAAGCGACCUAUUCUUUCUUUCCACAACUCCGUUUUGCUCUGGAGUAUAUGGAGAGGAAAACACAUGCUGAAAACCAGAUUUUAUCACAGAAUUUUGUAAAAUCUUGAUUUUCAAAUUCACCUCCAUGAUCUGUUUUUAUGCUUGAAAUAACAUACCAUUUUUCAUUUUGAACCUUUUUAGCGAAUUUUUCAAAGUAAGAAAAGGUUUCAGACUUACUUGCCAGAAAAUAUACCCAAGUAAAUUGUAACUAGUCAUCCACAAUUACUAGGCAAUAUUUCUUACCUCUAAUACUCUGAGUUCUAGUUGGUCCAAAGAGAUCCAUAUGCAGAAGCUGCAGUACACGAUUAGUGGAAACUUGAUUUAUUGGUUUAAAGGAAUUUCUUACCUGUUUUCCCAAUAUGCAUGGUGUACAUAGAUCAGACUUUUGGUAUGACAGAUUGGGUAAACCACGAACAAGCUUUUUUGUUGAAAUUUUGGCUAUCUGCUUCAUAUUAACGUGCCCAAGCUUUCUGUGCCAUAGGUUUGCUUCGUCUUGAAUUGAGAUCAGACAUUGCGAUUCAUCUGGUUUCACAUCCAAGAGGUAGAUAUUUCCAUGUCUUCGACCCAUGAAUGACUGAGUAUAAUCUUUACUAGUUCCUGAACAUAUUCCUUCUUGAAAACUGAUUUUGAAACUGGUAUCGCAUAGCUGACUGAUACUGAGUAAAUUGUAGUUAAGUCAUUCCACUAAGGAAACAUUGCUGAUUGUGAGGUUUCCAAUCUUUACAGUUCCAAAUCCCACAAUUCUUCCUUUGCUAUUUCCUCCAAAUGAGACUUUUCCACCAUUUACUUGAACAAGCUUUAUGAAGCAAUUUGAAUCUCCUGUCAUAUGUCUUGAGCAUGCACUAUCCAGAUACCAUUUUACCUUUUUCUUGAUAGUGACCUGCAUUUAGAAAAGAGACUCAAGCUUUCUUUGGUACCCAUAUUUUCUUGGGUCCAUUUGUGUUAGUAUGAUAUGCAGUUUUAGCCCAUACUUUCUUAACAGGUUUCCAAACCAUAGGACAUUCUUUCUCAAAAUGAUCUAAACUAUUGCACUUAGAACAUCUGAGAGCAUUACGACCUACUGGUUUUACAAAAACCUUUUUGAAAUGAUUUUUGUAAGCAUCCCUUGAGGGUCUUUGCUUAAUUCUUUCCUUCACUUUAGGAAAAUCAAUUAAAUGAAUGGUUUUUGCUGUUAUUCCCAAACCAGAUUUAUUGAAAUAAGGUCUUUGUACUGAAAGAAUUUUCUCAAGUUUCUCAGAUCCUAUUGAAAAUCUUUUUGAAAUAUUUGAUAUGUCCUUUUUUAGAAAUUCAUUUUCUUUUAGAAGAUUAUCUUCACUUUCUUUAAGAGAAGAAACAUUUGUGUCUAAACAUUUAAUCUUUUCUUUCAAAACAUUUUCCUAUUGUUUCAAUGCAGAAUUAUCCUUUUUGAGUUUAGAAAUCCUUUUAAGAGAAGUCUUAAGACUAAAACAUAACUCAUCAAUGUAUUUAGAAACUUUAACAGGGAUUUUGAAGUUACUCACCUCGAAUUCACUGUCUGAAUCUGAGUCUGUCUCAAAGUUUGAAUCUGAAUCCGAUUGUGCCAUUAAACAUAUAUUGGCAUAAUCAUCAUCACUUUCUUCACACUCUGUAUCACUCCAGGUCUCUGCUUUGAGAGCCUUUCGAUACUUUUUAGCUUUUCCUUUCUUCUUCCUCAGAAGCGGACAGUUGGGUCUGAUGUGUCCCUUUUUCUUACAUUCAAAGCAGACUACAUCUUUGUUUGAUUCAUCAUCCUCAACAGACUUAGUCUGUUGGUUUUGAAAACUUUGUUUCUUUGGAUUGAAUCUUCUUCCUUUUCUGUUUAGCUUUCUGAAUCUUCUUAUCAUGAGAGCAAGCUCCUCAUCAUCCAUAUCAUCUUCAAAAUCUUCAAAAUCAUCAUUGGAUUUUAAUGUAAUGGAUUUCUUACCUUUAGGAUCUUCGUCUUCAUUGAUUCGCUCCACUUCAUAAGACUGAAGAGUCCCAACCAACUCAUCGACAGAUAGUGGCAUGAUUCUUUGUGUCUCUCUUAUUGAGGUCUUUAUGUGAUUCCAACCUUGGAGAGUCCAUGCAGUAGCUUGUUUACCUUCAUGGGAUCAUAAAUUGGUUGACCUUGAUUUUCAAGACCAUUCACGAUUUCUGUAAAACGACUAAACAUGUCAAUUAUAGAUUCUCCCGAUUUCAUUUUGAAGGCUUCGUAUUGACCGAGGAGAAUGUUGAUUCUGGUCUCUUUCAAUCGAUCUGUUCCUUCAUAGGUAAUAUGUAAUCUAUCCCAGACUUCUUUCGCUGUAACACAAGAAGAUAUUAUGUUAUAUUCAGUAGGUGACAAAGCACAAUAUAAAGAAUAAAUUGCUUUUGUAUCAAGAGCUUGUCUCUUGAUUAUCUCUUCCUGAGUCAUUUCACUAGACUCAACAGCUUCUUUUCCUCUCUUUGAGACAGGUGCAGCUUUAGGAAUAAUUCCCUUUUUUACAACGUCCCAGUCCAGAGGAUCCUUUGACCUUAGAAACGCCUUCAUUUUGUUUUUCCAUAUGUUGUAUUCUUUUCCAUCAAAGUAAGGUGGUUUGGUAUUGCUUUGCCCUUCUACCAACCCUGGAGCUAACAUACUAGCCAUGGAUCUUUAACUCUGAAGUAAAACACUUCAAACAAAGUGAGUACACAAGCUCUGAUACCAAUUGAGAUAGCUAGUAUAAGCACCUAGAGGGGGUGAAUAGGUGCAAAAACAAUUUCUCGUGAUAUGUGAGCAAUAUUAGACAAUGAAAAUGAGGCUCGCCUUUUUGAUAUCACAAGUAAUUAUGAUCAAAGUAAAAGAGAGUAGGGAAGAGAAAAUGAACACAAGGUUUAUAGUGGUUCGGCUUAUUUCAAGCCUAUGUCCACUCUUCCGCAUUGACAGCCCACCGCUGGAUUUCACUAUGAACAAAAGAGAUUUUACGGCAAUGUUCUCCCUUGAUUCCACAGUGUAGAUAUUCUACAACACUUCCUCAAGGUUUCUCACGAAUAUAGACUCUCUUUUGCAUACAAGAUUUCGCUCAGCAAAUGAAUUGACUAAGAACAAGGAGCUUCAGACUUUGGAAUUCUUCUAUUGUACACACCCUCGAACAACUGGAACGUCUUCCUUUUAUACUCCUUUAUGCCAUCAUACCCGUUGGCACUUACCAAAGGAAUUCCUCAAAUCUACCCGUUGGACAGAAUCAAUUAGGAAAAUCAUUCGAGUUAUUUAAGAAACAUGUCGAUAGCCCAUCAAUCAUGUUCGCCCAUACAAUCAGGAUCUCGGUUUCCAUAAGUAGAACAUUCCAAGUAUACUUCACCAAUCAUCAGAUCCUUAAUCAAUCUUGAUUUGAGUAAAGGAUUCCGUUAUGUCAUAUCCAGCCAAGAGAUCUUCAUCAGUUGAUAAGAUCAAAUCCUUAACGAAACAUCCAGUCCUAGAUAGACCUUCUUCGACAAACUAGAAACUGUCAAUGAGGAUAGACUUUGAGUCUUGAGUCUGGUAGUCCGGAGGUCUUCAGACUUUAAAUAGUAGAGUCUACAAAUCUUCAGACUAGACUGAUGGAAACGUUUUGUCAACUUCAAAACACUUCAUGAAGAUUUCUCCAACAAGUAUUUCUAUUUGUACUUCUUUCCACUCUUCCUAUCACAACUCACUAGCGAUGGAAGUAUUUCUUUUUAUUCUUCCAAUUCUGUGCUGUGUGCCUUUUGCCUUCUCCUCUUCUUGAAGUCUCCGAAUCGGAGUCACCAUAGUAAGUUAUCGCAAAUCACGUAGAGAAAGGAUAAUCUCGCGAUGAAUCUGUCUAUCUUCUCCUCGACCAUGGAAGGCAUUGCGUGGUGAGGAUGGAUCUACACGUUGUGCAUCCUGCACUUCGUGUUCGCUUGCCAGUUCCUUCACCUUCAGCCUCUCGUCUCUACCUUAGGUACAUCAUUCUAGAUAGGGGUGAGCAUCGAUCUAGGGUCAAUCUUGAACCAGCCCUAAACCGGCCCAACCCUGCUGAUCCUAAUCCGUUUCCCAGUGACAUUGGAUUGGUCUUUGGUCUUGGGAUUCCUAGACCAGCACUGUACGGGUUGGUCAUCGGUUCUGGGAGUUUAAAAUUGGUCCAACCCGAACCAACCCUAACUCUAUAUAUAUUGUAUAUCUAAUAUAUUAUUUAUAAUUUUUUAUGAAGAAAAAACCCUAAAAUAAACGGUGUCAAUAAUAUUAAACAGCUCAUUAGUGAGGAGUUCAAGUAAUUUUACACCGUUCUUUAAUAACUUAUAUUUUUAAUGCCUUUUACGGCGUCAAUAACCAUAAUUUACAAAGGAGAAAAACAUUUUUAUAAGGAAUCCUUAUGGCGUCCAAAAUGGUAUAAAAAGCUUCUCACAGCAUCUUCCUUUAGUACUUGUUCUCUUCUAUUUUAUAUGUUCUCUUAGUCUUCAAUUUGCUAAAAUCAAAAGAAACAGCUUCUCUACUUGCCACUUGACACUCGUUUUGCUCGCUUUGUGUCACUCAUGCUGCUCGUCGCUUGAUGCUCAACAAGCUUGUUGCUCUCCGCUCUUUGCUCAAUGCUCACCCCACUCGACGCUCGCCGCUCGCCUCUCUUAGCUAACCUCGCUUGUCACCAAGCCCAUUGGAUCAGUUCGGUCUCCGGUCGCCUUUUCAGGAAAUACAAUACUAAAAAUGAAAUUAAAACUUAUUGGUUGGUCCAGGGUUAACCUUGGAAUUAGACCGAACUCAUUAGGUCGGUCCGGUUAUCGAUCGUCUUUUUAGGGAGUACAAAAAAUGAACUAAAAAAAUUAUUGGUCUUGGGUUGACCUUGGAACCAGAUUGAAUCCACUAGGUCGGUCCGAUCCUCGGUCUAGAGCUCAAUAAGGUUGGUUCUUGAUACUAAAAAUUGAGAAUCAGUAUUGUGCGGAUUGUUCUUAGGGUUAGGGGGUGGACCGGCUUAACUCAGAUCAUGCUCACUCCUAAUUCUGGAUUAGAUCUAUGAACUCAUUGCCUGAUGGAGACUUUGAGAGGUUACAGUGUGCUUUAAAGCUUGAGCAACUGGUUUUCUAUUUGAGUAAUUUAUUGAUCAUCGUGGCCAUUGAUUUUGCAUAGAGACACCGAAAAGAGAAUGUUAGAUGAAGAAAAUUAGAAUGAAUAGUACUAGCUGUGUUAAUCCAUGCAUUUUCAUUUUUGCCAUCAUAUUACCGAUUUGGAAGAAAAUUAGCUGUCCUUGUCCCCCCUUCUUUCAAUCUUCAUUGUAGCGUCAAUUGACCCAGAAUGUUCAGUUUAAACAUUGCAUGACAUCUAAAUCGAUCAUUGCAUAACGCAAUCCUAUUGAAAUGUUAAAUCCCCCCCCCCCCCACAUAGAAACCUUCCCGGUAUCAAUAAUUUGCUAUCCUGACUACAGCUUAAAGAUAGAGCCAGAGAGAGAGAGAGAGAGAGAGAGAGAGAGAGUUUUUGUCCGGACAGACGGUGAUUAUACCAGAUGGGCGCCUUGCAAAGAUGACUUCAAAAAAUAUGAGAAAAUUUGUUGCCCUGCCUAGACGUUAUCGUAUUUUGCUGUUUUGGAUAGGUAUCCAAAUACUUUUCUUGCUUUUUGAUAAGUAAGUGAAUUUGAUUAGAAUAAACUGCGAAAAAAAUAAAAUUAGCUUAGAUUAAAUUCAAUAUGUAACAUGACUCAUGCUCUUUAUCGAGUAAAAAAUUGUAUGGAUUUUCACUAUUUUUCGUAAGAGAAAAGUUAAAAAUAAUUUGUAUAACCAUCAAUAAAAUAAUAAUUGACAUUAUUAUAUUAGAGAAUUCAAUUAACUAACCUUAGAAAAUGCAAUAAAUGCUAAGAAAAAGAAGGUAGCAAAGUUAAUUUCUGAGCAAGAAAAAAAAUCAUGAGUCAAUUUUUUUAUUUUUUGAAAAAAAAAAUAAAAAGGGAAGGGCGAUUGCCGAGUGGCCCUCCCCACUCUAUCAAUUGUGAUGUGUCUUGUAUGGGUACCAUGUACAUAUAUGGCAAAGGUAAGGAUGUAUUUUCUAGCUACAACUCGUAUUUGAUAUCAAUGAACUAUAUCCUGAUUAUGGACAGUUUAAUGAAUUGUUAAAUAUUAUUUUAUUGAGGGGAUCUUUGAUCUUCGGUGUAUCAUUGGGUAUGUAAUGAUGAUAAUCAACGUAUUGAGAAUCGCAAUAUAUUCUUAUUUAGUUGCUUAGGAAUUGUUUUUGAGACACUUUUAAAAUAAAUAUUUUUGAUAUUACACUUUACUGCCCCAAGUAGAAUAAUUUAGAAUACAAAAGGGCACCCUUCAAAUGAUGCAAAUAUAUUAUUGUCCAAAAAUUGUAAUUGCGAAGCUUGUUCAUAAGGAAAACUCAUUACUGAACAUUUUAUAACAAAGGUUAAUCUUGAAUGCCCUUUAUUCCUGCAAAGAAUUCAUUGUGAUAUUUGUAGAUCAAUGUAACCACCAAGUGGACCGUUUCGAUAUUUUAUGGUAUUAGUGGUGUAGAUGAUCCCAUAAUUGUCUAUUAUCUAUGCACAAUAUCACUUUUACAUGUUUACUUACGCAGAUUAUAAAACUCCGGACACAAUUCACUAAUUAUCCAAUUAAAAGCAUAAGGAUGGAUAAUGCUGGUGAAUUUACAUCAAAGAGUUUUGAUAUCUAUUGUGCUUCAUUCGAAAUCGAGGUUGAGCACCCAGUCGCAUAUGUUCAUAUCCAAAAUGGAUUGGCAGAAUCAUUGAUUAAACAUAUCCAAAUUAUUACCUGAACUCAAUUAGCCAUAAUGAAUCUCAACGAUACAGCAUGGGGUUAUGCAGUUUUGCAUGCGGCAGACCUAAUAAGAUUGCACCCCACAUCUAGUCUUUUACAAUCUCUCAUUCAAAGCAUUCUUGAUUAUGAACCAGACAUUUCACAUUUAUGCACAUUGAUUGUGCAGUAGAGGUGCCUGUAGCACAAAGAACAAAAAUGGGUUCCUAACGCCAUUUGGGCAUUUAUGUUUGUUGGGUUUAAUUCACCAUCCAUCAUUAGGUUCUUAAAACCAACUAUUGGUGAUCUUUUUACUGCCAAAUUCGUCGAUUGUCAUUUCGAUGAGACUAUGUUUUCAUCAAUUAGGACACCUACAACUCCUAUGAUUACAAAACAAAACCAGUUAAGCUUUUCUCCCGGAAUAAGAAAAAUUUAUUUCAAUUAGAUCCAAGGACUCCUAAGUGCAAAAACGAGGUGCAUCGCAUAAUCCAUUUACAGGCUAUAGCCAAUAGACUUCCUGAUACAUUUAAUGACGUUACUAAGAUAACGAAGUCUCAUAUUCCAGCUACAAAUGCUCCAACUAGGAUAGAUGUUGUCGAAGGAUAGGCUAAAAUGGAUCAAACCCCCCCCCCCACUUGAAGCGUGGUAGACCGAUAUGAUCAAAAGAUACUGUUCCUCGAAAACAAAGAUGAAAGAAUCAAGAAUCCGCUCCAGAAGAACCUGGUGUUGUGCUUGCUCCCAAAGAGCUUAUUGCCCCUAAAGAGGCACAAACUCAUGAAAGGAACACCAACCCGAGGAAUACUAAGAAUUCCAUUACAUAUUAUAAUGAGAUUUGUGAUCAAAAUGAAAUUAUCAUCGAUAAUGCUUUUGCAUUCUCAGUUGCUCAUAAAAUUAUGGAUAAUGAUUGUGAAAAAAUGAGCUUACUUUUUGUCAUAGAUAUAGAGUGAUAUAUUAGAAAUAAAAUUUUCUCCUAUGGUUUUCUCUACUAUAUUUGGUAUUUAUCUGCUUUCUUUACUCAAUCUCUCUAUUAUCUCUAUUAUAUAUUUGCAACGCAAUAUUAUACAAUACGACACAGCAUUUUUGUUUUCCUCUUGCAUUUCGUACCUCGUGCCGUAUCAAAUUCGAGUGUUCAUCGAGCGCAGUCUUUGGGUGUUUUUUUUUUUCUUUCUUUCUUUUUUAUAAAUAUUGCUAAGAGGAGAGAAUAAUGAAGGUGGAUGCAUGAAGGGGCAAUAGGAUAAAACCGCCGGUUGCACCGGUUGCUUUUGGCCUUUCUUCUUUUCUUUUUCUAAGUGUUUUGUAUGUAAAGAGAGAUACUUCGUUCCUUGUUUGACGAGUACCAGAUCUCUUCCAAUCCAAACCACCAAAAAAAUUGAAAAUAAAAAUGAGAGUUGCGAGCCUCUUUUUGCUGUUGUUUGACGCGGUAGAAACAAGCGAUGUUUCAUUAGAUAGGCAGUCAGCCUAAUAGGAGAGUUGGGGGUGGGGGGACAGUACGGUAAUGCUAAUCCCAAAUUGAUUUUAUAGUUGGGAUGCAUUUAUUUAAUGAAAAAUAAAUGAUUUGAAAAAUAUUUUCCUAAUAAUAAUUGCUUAUAUUACUUACAUCUUCCACAAGAAUAUUUAUACAUAAAUUGUUGUUGAUAAUGAAAAAUAUUUUUAAUUGACUACUUAUUUCAAGUAAUGUAAACGAUGAAUUUUUAGGGAAUAUUUCCAAAUUAGUCUUUUUUUUUUUUUACGAAAUAAAUAGAACAUUCAUGAGCCUUAAAACUUAUUUUGGGCCGGCUUGCCCCUUUGCAUAAGAUUACAUGCAUUAGUUUGGCUCGAAUUGUGCAGGGCCAUGGAUUAUGAGUCCAAUUAUAACCACUCUAAGAACACUCGACUAAUACACUAUAAAAUUCAAGAGCAAAUUUGUGUGUUUUAAUAGCGUCCGUUCUUCCAUUUGUGGGAAAUUAGUACACAUAUAUUUCAGCAUAGAUUUUUUUCGCAAAAUUGUAUCAUAUUUCAAAUAAAUCUCCCUAUCUAGAAUAAAACAAAGGCAUAAUUCUUAGUUCAAAUGAUGUGUUAAUGUAAAAUAUAAGACUUGAUAACAAUUAGGAAAUUGUUAAUUUUUGUUAUUAUAUGACGUAGGGAGAUUCAUAUGUAAUUAACGAAACUAGUGUAAAUUUGAGAGAAAAUAAUAAAAAUCUUUCAAGGAACUUGACAGGUUGAGUUGAAACAAAAUGUAAGAAUUUUCAACAAUCGCUAAUUUGCAACGUUAAAACUCAUUAAAACUAAUUCCUUUUCCUUUUUGUUGAACAAAACUUGUGUUAUUGAAUGAGGCAAAGUACAAAUUUUGGUUGAAAGAAAAAUGAGUGGAGAGUGCAAAAAAGAAGUCCUUGAAUGGAGAGGGAUCCAUUCCAAUUUAGAGUUAUGGGAUAAUUCCACUAAAAAUUAUAAAUUUCAUACUCCAUGACAUAGUUAUUUAAACUAAUUUUGUUUUACAAAAAAACCCAAACUGCAUACCCUAUGACAAUUCACCCAAAAUUAAUUUUCAUCUCACAUAAAAUCCCAAACUAAUACCUCAUGAUAUAUUUGAUGGUUUUAUUAAUAUUGUGAUGGGCCUAAGUUGGCCUGUCCGCCCAUGUUGGGCCUAAAAGCCUGGCCCACAAAAUUAGGGCCCAUGGAUGGAGGGAUACGUUGAAGAGUUGUAACUUUUGGGGGACGUCUUUUGCUGAAGGGACAUGUCUUUUGGAGAAGACGUAUUUAAGGGGAGAAAAGAAAAAAGAAAAUGCACCUUUUGGACGUACGCGCACUUUUUCUUUUCCCCUCUCCCAAAAACCAAUGUAAGUUUUCUCCCCUUUUGAACCAACAGUAGGCUCCUUGGUAGACCGGGAUCAGAUUCUUCCUCGAUCUUCAGCAUUGGUGUUUAAUAUGUGGUUAACAAGGUACGCUCGAUUACGUGGUGUGCUUUAAGAUUGGUGAUACAUGUUCUUUCUAGGCUUGUCUUCCGCAUUCGUUUCAGGGGUUCAAUUUAGUGUCGAAUCCGGUUUUUUGGGAAUUCGACAAUCCCAACAUUGGUAUCAGAGCCCUAGUUCAUGUUUUCCCGUUCCCUUUCAUGUUUAUGAAUGAUUUACUGAUUGAUUUUUCGUGAAAUUAAUCGGCCGACACCGAUCGGGGAGGAAAAACCCGACACCCGAGCACUGUUCACCCAUUUUUUUCGAUUUUUUGUAAGUCAAAAUUUUUUUUCUAACAGCGUAGGAUCGAAGCCCUGUCGAGACGAGAAAAACGAGUGGCGGAUUGACGACGGGGGCCGUCGGACGCGCCGCCACGCGCGACCGGAACGAGGAGGGGUCGUCAGCGCGUGCAACGCACGCACGAAAGCCUGGCGCAUGCCGCGCACGCGCAGAAGCCUAGCGCGUGCCGCGCACGCGCCAGCUGACUCUGCGUGACGUCAGCCCGCCCAUGUACAUGGCACGUGCCAGUCGGUUUACCCGACUAGCUGACCGAGCUAGCCGGUUCGACCUACCGCCGUUAGGGGUGUGCAUGGUCCGAGCGGGCGGUUCCCGACCUAGAACCAGGAACCGCCCGCUAAGGACCGAUUCCGAAAAAUUGGAUCCGGGAUCCACCCGUUUGUUGCAUGGAUCCACCCGGGAACCAGACCGCCGGUUCGGUCCGGUUCCCGGGUGGAUCCACGGAACCGAUCUUGACGUGAAAAAUCGACUCAAUUGGACACAAAAAAUUCAAGAAUUAGAGAAAUCUCGCUCGGCUAUUCUAUCACCAAAACAGGUAGUGCUAAGAGGGUUCGUGGGGAAGAGUUUCAGUCAUAAAAACCCCUACUCGGCUCGAAGACGGCGGCGCGAAGGCCAGUUAGAGACGAAUCGAACUUCAGUCAGCCGGGAACGAACGGUUUGAACCAAAAGGAAACUCACCGGAAAUGCUGAGGUUUGGGAACGAGAAGUCUUCUGCUCGAGGUCGGCGAUUGGCGUCGAGGAUAGGCGAGCAAUGCUCGACGUCGAUCCACUUCUCCCUCACUGUUGGUGUGGUGGUCGACGCGGAGGCGAGUUGUGGAGUCGCGGGUCACUGCUGGGCGGAGCAGAGGCUAUGGCGAGUGGUAGCCGGUGCGAGGGGGCAAACAACAGCAGUAGCCGGCACGAGGGGGCGAACACGCCGAACAGCAGUCGCGGCCCGCGGGUCACUGCUGGGCGGAGACAAUCACCGAAGAACCGAAGAAGUUGAAGAAGUCGAAGAAGUCGAAGAAGAAGAGAGACAGAGAAGAGAGACAGACAGUCACAGAACAGAAGAACCGAAGAAGUUGAAGACAUUGGACAGAGGAGAGAAGUCUCGGUUAGGGUUUGUUUUAUUUUAGUAAUAUUUUAAUAUUAAGAAGGUUCUGGUCCGGUCUGGGUGGGCGGGCGGGCGGAUCUGCCCAUGGAACCGGGAACCGGACCGGUUCCCUCAAGAACCGUCGUUUCCGAGUGGUUCCGGUCCGGUUCCGGGCGGUCCGGGCAGUUCCCGGGUAUUUUGCACACCCUUAGCCGCCGUGACUCANNNNNNNNNNNNNNNNNNNNNNNNNNNNNNNNNNNNNNNNNNNNNNNNNNNNNNNNNNNNNNNNNNNNNNNNNNNNNNNNNNNNNNNNNNNNNNNNNNNNGCUCUCUCUCCUCCCCUCCCCUCCCCCACGCCACAACCAGCUCCCCUGCCCCCUCAGUUUCUUCCUCACAAUCUUCUCAACUCUUUCGGUCGUCUCAUCGCUGUCGCCUUCGGCCCUUCCUCCUUCGCAGCAGCUGCAGCCUCGCCGCCGGCCCUCCAUCGCAGCCUCGCCUCAGUUUAUGCUCUUUCUCUCGCUGUCGCGGCCUCAUCUCCGCUUCCUCGGCCUCUUCCUCGCCUCACCUCUACCCAUCAUCGUCUUUUUCAACAAUUUCUCUCUCGGACACUCGUGUCGACAAAAGUUGACCAUGUGUCGGAUUUCUCGACCGCGUGUCCGAGCGUAUCGGACACGUCGACAUAUGUCGGACACGACAUGGAAGCCUCAACGUGUCCGUGCCUCAUAGGUUGCGACUCUCUUCUUGUUGUUUGUCAUGGUAGAAAGCGGAGAAUAGGGAUUAGAUAGUUGUUUAUUGCGAUAACAAGGGGGAAGACACCCUGUAGUUAUGCUAAUCACGUGUUGAGUGACUUAAGGCAAUUCAGAUGCUAUUCAUCGAAAGGACAUCACUGCAUUCCAUUCAAUUAUUGAGAGGACUUCCUGUACAAUUUUCCUCUUUUGACUCAAAGUUGACCAUCGCUCUCUUUUGCAUCUUCUUCCUCCUCCUCUUCCUUUUCUCAAUCAUCUCUCUGCUCAGAGUUUCACUACAGAGUCACUAUAGACCAUGGUUUCAUUCUGCAAUCUCCUUUCUUUCUUUCUUUCCGUAUCCUUCAUUUUGCUAUCGUCAUUCUCCAACUUCAUUGACGCUCAAGCUCAUGAUUAUGAUUCAAUUGCCACGCUUUCAACACGGUGGACGAAUAAUGCAACAGCCAAUCACUUCACCCGACAUAUCGAUGGAUCCAUCGUGCAGGCAAUUAUACUCCGAGGCAAAGAAGAAGUUUUGAACCUUACCUAUGCCUGCGGCUUCUACUGUAAUGGUACCUGCAACUCUUCCCUCCUUGUUGUUUGCAUGGUCCGACUUAACGAUAGUGGCUUAAUUUCUGAGUACACCAUUCAACAAAUAGUGUGGUCUGCCAAUUGAAAUAAUCCUGUAAAGAUCAGUGCGACGUUGGAGCUCACGUCUGAAGGCGAUUUGGUGUUGAAAGAUGCCAAUGAUACGAUUGCUUGAUCUACAAUCACUUCUGGAAAGUCCGUGGUAGGCUUGAACUUGACAGAUUUGGAGAACCUCGUGUUGUUUGAUAAGGACAAUGAAACUGUUUGGCAGUCUUUCGAUGAGCCAACCGACUCACUUGUCCUCGGACAAAAGUUGAGGCAGGGACAAAGAUUGAUGGCGAGUGUUUCCAAGACAAAUUGGAACAAUGACUAUAUGAUUUCGCUUUCCAUGGAUGGUGAUCUUUUACGUGCUCAAGUGGAGACUAAUCCUCCUCAAAUAUAUUUUGAGGAUAGAGGUCCAACUUGGAAUGCAAGCAUCGAGUUUCCUUAUGUUGAGUUUGUAAAUGGAAGCUUGUCUUGGAUCUUAGAUUCUACCUCAAAUUAUACGUUUAGAUUAGUCACUCCGGUAUCUUUUGCACAAUACAUGAAGCUGGGCUCGGAUGGGCAUUUAAGAGUGUAUGAUUAUGAUGAGUUCGGGAGGUGGGUAGAAGUGGACGAUCUUUUUGGAUUGGAGGACUGUCUUUGGGCCCGUUUGGUUCGGCUUUUGGGGAAUGCAUUUACCAAAAUGCAAAUACCUUUGGGUGAAUGGGAUUUUCCGAAAUGCAAAUAUCGUUUGGUAAAAUUUGCAUUUGUAAAUUACUUUUAUUAAAUUAAAAAAAAACCAAAAAAAAAUCUAUUUUUCAUUUUUUGAAAUCCGACCACCGGACCGCCGGAUCCGGCGACCGGACCGUCGGAUUUGGUGGCCGGACCGUUGGAUCCGGCGGCCGGAUGGCCGGAUCUGGCCGCCUGGGUCGCGCGACCUCAGGCGACCGUCACCUGGGGUCGCACGACCUCAGGCGACAGUCGCCGGGGUUGCGCUGGCGGCCGGAUGGCCAGAUCUGGCCGCCUGGGGUCGCGCGACCUCAGGCAACGGUCGCCGGGGUCGCGCUGGCGGCCGAAUGGCCAGAUCUAGCCGCCUGGGUCGUGCGACCUCAGGCGGCCGUCGCCUGGGGUCGCGCGACCUAGGCGACGGCCGUGCGCGACCUAGGCGACCGUCGCCUGGGGUCGCUCGACCCCAACAACUGUCGACUGCCUGAGGUCGCGCGAUCCAGGCGGCCGACCCCUGGGUCGCGAGAUCCGGACCUCGCCUGAGGUCCGGCGACCCCAGGCGACGGUCGCCGGGGUCGGGCGACCCUCAGGCGGCGGUCGCCGGCGCGCGCCAUCCCUUCGCCGGUGGUCGUCGGCUUCCGAUCAGCAGCUUGGAGAGGUUGGAGAAGAUAAACAGUAACCGAGCUACUUGCAUUCCCAGGAUGCAACUUGCCAAUGCACCCCAAGAGCUCCAUUGGGCUAAAGGUCUUUAGACUCCUUUGGAGAUGCAAUUGCAUCUUGCCAAAGUCGCGCAAAAAUACGAACCAAACGCAUUUGCAUUUUGCCAAAGGACUUUAGAGUCCAAAUGAGCAUUUGCAAUGCUGAACCAAACAGGCCCUUUAUCCGACGGUGUGUGGGCAAUAUGGAAUUUGUUCCAAUGGGCAAUGUAGUUGUCCGACUUCGAGUGCGGGGACAAGCUAUUUCCAGCUUGUAGAUGAUAGGUAGCCUAAUCUUGGGUGUUCCGAGAAUCUUCCAUUGUCUCGUGGGGCUUCACAACAACAUUUCCUGGAGCUCAAAAAUAUCGUGUAUUUCAAUUUCACUCCAAAUCUCAAGGACAUAGAUGCUUCAAGUUGUAAAGAGGCCUGCGCAAAGAAUUUUUCAUGCAAAGCAGCUAUAUUUCAGUAUGAAUCGAAUCGCACUAAUGGCAGUUGUUACUUACCAACACAGGUUUUUUCACUUAUGAAUGUUGAUGAGAUAAUGAAUUCUACUGCCUACCUUAAAGUACAAAUUAUGGCCACUGAAGCUCCUACUGCUUUGGUUGACAAUCGAACGAGCAACCGUCUCCCUAUAAUACUUGGUUCCAAUCUUGGAGCUCUAUUAGCCAUGAUGAUUUUCAUCGUAGCCAUAGGUUUGUUUGUUCAAAAGAGAGACAAUAAUCAAGCAGAGGAGGAUUACCUUGAUCAAGUACCUGGAAUGCCCACUAGAUUCACAUAUGACGAUCUAAAAACCAUCAUAGAUGAAUUCAGUAAAAAGCUUGGUGAAGGUGGUUUUGGUUCUGUUUUCGAAGGUACUCUAAGUGACGGCACAAAAGUUGCAGUGAAACGCCUUGAUGGUUUUGGGCAGGUUAAGAAAUCCUUUCUAGCUGAAGUUGAGACUAUUGGCAGCAUCCAUCAUGUGAACUUGGUAAGACUCAUGGGAUUUUGUGCUGAGAAAUCCCAUAGGCUCCUUAUUUAUGAGUACAUGUCAAAUGGGUCUCUAGAUAGAUGGAUCUUUUACAAAUCCAAUGAAUGUGUUCUCGACUGGCAACAAAGGAAGAAGAUCAUUCUCGAUAUAGCAAAAGGACUUAAUUAUCUUCAUGAAGAUUACAGACAGAAGAUAGUUCACUUAGACAUCAAACCUCAAAAUAUCCUCUUAGAUGGAAAUUUCAAUGCUAAGGUUGCUGAUUUUGGAUUAUCGAAGUUGAUAGACAAGGACCAAAGCCAAGUCUUCACAACAAUGAGAGGAACUCCUGGUUAUUUGGCCCCCGAAUGGCUGAGUGUAGCAAUCACUGAAAAGGUCGAUGUAUAUAGCUUUGGUGUGGUAAUCUUGGAGAUAGUGUGUGGGAGAAAAAUUUUCAAUCACUCUCGAGAUGAAGAAGACAUGUAUUUAUUGAGCCUUCUUAAGAGAAAGGCAGAAGAGGAACGGUUGCUGGACAUUGUGGAUAAGGCUAGUGAUGACAUGCAACUAAAUGGACCACAUGCGGUGAAUAUGAUGAGGAUUGCCGCAUGGUGCUUGCAAGGAGACUAUAUGAAGAGGCCCUCCAUGUCGAUGGUCAUCAAGGCAUUAGAGGGCAUCAUGGGAGUUCAAGAAGACUUGGAUUAUGACUUCUCUACUCAGCCUUCCACUAGUGGAGUAGUGAGAUUUGGUCAGAUGGACGUCGAAUUCAAUGCUAUUACUGCAUUGCUACCCUCAGUUCUAAGUGGUCCACGAUGAUGUAGCAAAUUUAUAAGAACAUUUCUUCCCAAUAUGUCAAGUGGCAAAACGUGCAUGCGAUUAAAUUUUUCAAACUGUGAGGACUCUAGCUUGUCAUUCUCUUUUCAAGCCCAUAAAAAGGCUUGUGACAUGAUAUUAUUUCUCGUUUUCACUUUGCCAAUUAGUGAACUUUGCUAUAACUUGGCAAAGGAUUGAGUUGGUUAGAAUAUUGCAAUUUGGUUUUAUUGCUUAUGUAGAAAUCGGUCAUGUUCAUGUUUGUUGUGUGCUAGUCUUGGGAAAGGAGGAAACUAUUGAGUCAUUUGUGUAAAAAGCCGCUGCAAGACUAGUCAAUUGCUGGUAAUGUCUUUUGGCAGUUUUACCAGUCAUGGAUGCAAAUCUAAUAUACUUUUGGGUUCCAACACUUGAUAUCCUUAGGAUUUGAUGACUCUACCUUUCAUGACUUGCUCAUUUCAAGGUUAUUGAGUUAUAUUUAGUUUAUUUUGUGAGCGCACGAUUAAAACUAAUAAAGAUGAUGGGAGAAUUCAUCACUAGUGAGUUUGGAUUUUUCCUAACGCCUCCUAAUGUAUCCUAGGUUAAUAAUCUCAACUUCCAGCUUCUUAAGGAUCCGUUGAGGUCGUUUUGAGACAUAUGUUUGUUAAGAAUAAAGAACCAAGAUGUUUGGGCAUUUCAGAUUCGACUCUCCGAUCUUUAGAUAACAUUGAUGAUCCUCAAUAACCUUGGUUUUGCCGCUGACUUUAAUCAUCUUGAUCCAAGCAUGCUGAUCCAUCAAAUUUAACCGGGGAUAAGAAGCUUGUUUGGGUCUUAUCUGGUCCCGGAGCUGCUCGCACAAUUAACGAAAGUUAAAAGCAAUUUGAUGUGGCUCCCCCGGCCAUGCCGUGGCACCUUUUGAUUGGGUCUGGCCACGGCAGACCAACAAACCCGAGCCCACAUGGAGCUUAACCAUAGGCUCGAGCUAUGUGUAACCUCUCGCAAAGUCCUCCUCCCUCUUCCCGGCACAAACUCACUAGUGACGGAACUAUUUCUUCUUCUUCUUCCAACGCCUCCUCUUCUUGAAGUCUCCGAAUCGGAGUCGCCAACUGUAAGUUAUCACGCAUUGCGCGGGGAAUCGAUAAUCUCGCGAUGAAUCUGUCAAUCUUCUCCUCGGCCAUGGAAGGCAUCGCGUGGAGGGGAUGGUUCUACACGGUGUUCAUUCUGCACUUCGUGCUCGCUUGCCAGUUCCUCCUCCUUCAGCCUCUCGUCUCUGCCCUAGGCACGUCGUUCGCUUAGAUCUGCGAACGGGUGCUGGAUGGAUAUUCUUUGAGGGGUUGUGGCGUGCUCUAAUCGUUCGCGUCUCGAGUCGCCAAUUAGAGACUGGCGAUGAAUUGGUGGAUUCUUUUGUAGGGAUCCCGUCGGGAUAUUCGAGACUAGGCAGGUGUUUGUGCAGGAAAGACGAGAUGAGAUGGACUGAAGAAUCUUGAAAUGUCCCUGCUGGAUCAAAACUCUAGUUUCGGAGGGAUACUUUUGGCUUUUACGUGAUGCGUAUGUUGUACGAUUGAUGAAUUAUUGCCAGCGUGGGGACCGGGGAGUUCUAUCUAAUUCCAGUUCAUUCUCGUCCUGAGGGCGGCGGCAUCGUGGGACUUUUCCAUCGGUUGCUUUUGGCCUCUCUUCUUUUCCCUUUUGUAGCGUUACGUAUGCAAAAAGAGAUACUUUGUUCCUUGUUCGACGAGUAGCGAGUCUCUUCCAAUCCAAACCACCAAAAGAAUAUAAAAAUAAAAAUGAGAGUUGCGAACCUCUUUCUGCUGUUUGACAGUGGUAGAAAGAAAGAAGUGAUGUUCUUUUUUUUUGUUGGGGGGUAGAAGACACCAUUCCGAUUUGAGUUUAUAGUUGAGGAGUGUUUAUUUAAUGAAAAAUAUAUGAAUGAUUUGAAAAAUAUUUUCCAAAAAAUAGUUGCUUGUAUUAUUUAUAAAAAUAGAUUAAUGAAAAACAUUUUUAUUUUCCAAGAAAAAAUUUAGACAUAAUUUGUCGUUGAUCCCUUUUUUUAGUGAAUCAAGACAGAAAAAGUUUAAAUAUUAGAAAAGGCCAAGCCACACUAAAAAAAGCCUUUGCUGUUUUAGUUAUGAGUGAAUCGAGGUUUACGUGUAAGAUUUCAACUCAGUGACUAUUUUUUUAUUUCUCUGGAUUCUCUGGAGAGCUAAGCUAUAAAGUAACCUGAUAAUGGAAUCGACAAACUUAUUACAAGUUACAUAGAGUAUAACAAAAGUUCCAAAUGCUGCUCACAAUUUCAUUCCCUGUAAAAUCGGUACAUCUAUUCUCCAUGAGAAGCACAUAGUACGUGUCCCUCCAUUAUUGGCAAAACAACCAUAAAAAAACCCCCCAGCAGAGCCAGGGUGAUCACUAUCUUUCCUUCAAGCGUCUGUGUUUACUAAUACAGAGAGAGAGAGAGAGAGAGAGAGAGAGAGAGAGAGAGAGAGAGAGAGAUUCCCAGAAUGUGGGAGCUUUGUGAACAUGGUCAACUGGACUUACUGGAUAAAAUCAUCGUCAAGCUAAGAGGAAACGCCCCUGAAAGAUUAGUUUAGCCAAAAUCUGAUGAACCGUUAGACCCAUGUUCUGAGAAGUCAUAGCUAGACAAUUGGAUAUAUCCUACAAUCAAGACCCUAUGCAUAUCCAUAGAGGGUGAUAACUAUCUCAUCAUACAACGUCAGGUCCCUUGAUUUUGAAUUAAUGAUCACACGAUGCAAAAGCCUAUUGCUCAUCGGAAACUCAAUUGGAUCUCCCAAGGCCCUCUAAUAGGGAGCAUAACGGGGAAGCAUUAUUCCACUUCUUGUUAAAGGGUUGCUAACUCCCAGUCCUCAGCACUACAGGAGAGUGUCGCCACAAUAAAUGGAACUUCCACAGGAGCGCACGCAAAUCUAAGGACCAGAGCUAGUCAGUAAAAUCUUCAAUACUCAUUGUAAUAGGCUUUCCUUCGAAUAGCAGACAGUAGGAAUGUACAACUAGAACCCUGUGGAAAAGUUGAGUCGAGUUGUGGAGGAGAUCUAUAUUGAGAGGAAAUAGGAAAGUCCUACAAUAAUAAAGAUCAAUUGAUAUCCCAGGAACCAGACGCCAUUGAAAAACAAAAGGAAGCACGGCACCAUAAAGUCUAGAAGAUGGGAUCACACAAUCAAAUUAGGUAGCUUCUUCAACCACCUGAUAAAUCAGAAAAAGGGCCAUCAUCACCAUUUGCAGUUCAGAAUCUAUAUAGCAAAGGCUAUGACUAGGCUAAAAUUAGUCAUCAACAUCUAACUAAACAAAGCCCCUCUAAAAUAACUACCAGAAGACUACAUAACCUGUUUUAUUCUGGAAAAAUGAAGAGAAGGCUACAUAACCUCUUGAGCACCUGUAUUUAUCAACUCAAACAUGACUGAAAAGGGGACUCACAUGAGAAUUUCCCAGAGAGAAGAGAGAGAGAGAGAGACACUCAUGUAGGUGGAUGCCACAGGAUCCGGCCAUCCUUACCUGCAUACGAAGACAUGUCCUUCCAAAUUCUCGAUUUAAUAAAAGUCAAGCAAGACAAAUCAUACCAGCCGUACCCAACAAAACCUGCACAACAGAAACAGGCAAACCUAGUCGAUGAAAGGAUAUUCAAUUUAACUGAAGGUCCCAGUGAUAUCAAGCCAUCAUACUUGCAACAUUAGGGCUGGGAGAUACUAUAAGCCUAGUGUUAGACAUAAAAAUUCAUAUGCAGAAGCCAGGAUCAAUUGAAGACAAACCUCCGGUCAUUGUUCUUGUUCGCAUUCGUAAGAAAAACCUGAAAUCAAAGAAAAUUGGGGACACGCUACUACCCCAAUUCACUCUCGUACUGAUGGUGUAUUCUGAAUGAGAGAGUUUGAGUUAGACCUUGUCAUCACCCGUCAGAAAUGAACGUACGUUCCUUUUAUAUCCCGUCUCCCAUCAAAACGGUUACCAAAUGGGCGGUUGUCACAAAAGGGUACGAAGCGUGGAAAAACUUUAUGUCGAACAGUUGCAACUUUAAGAGAAAAUGUAGGUCUAAAAUGUGGGAUCACAAAAAUAAAUAACAUUCUCCCACUUGAUCCCAUCAUUUUCAUCAUACGGAUUAUUCAACUAAUUCCACAAAAACUUUAUGCUUAAAGAAAAGAAACAAAACACAUGGAUCAUGGCGACAUGUCCUCUAAGAGUGAGUAAUAUCUUCCAUGUAUCACAAUGCACCUUAUUUCUUUAAUGUUAGCCUAUAUGUGACAACAAAUCUUAAUGAAUAAACCCCAUGUUUAUUCCAAAACCAAGGAUAAAUGUUAUUCUCAUAAACAACAAAAUGUGUACACAAAAAUUGAGAAUCAACAUUACAACUGAAUAAGAGUUUCAUACAACAAAAAUCGUUCAUAUGACGACAAAUUACAUGAUGGGACCUAUUCGCAUACUAGUUACAUGAUCCUUAUACUUCAUUGGUGGCAUGCCUUUAGUUAAAGGAUCGGCUAUCAUCAAUUCAGUGCUAACGUGUUCAAUGACCACUUUAUUCUCCUUAACACGUUCCCUUAUGGCUAAAUACUUAAUGUCGAUAUGCUUACUUCGACUGCCACUUUUGGCAUUUUUAGCCAUAAAAACCGCAGCUGAAUUGUCACAAUAUAUUCUUAAUGGCCUAGAAAUUGAAUCAAUAAUUCUAAGCCCAGCAAUGAAACUCUUCAACCAUACACCAUGCGAGGUAGCCUCAAAACAAGAAACGAACUCAGCCUCCAUAGUGGAAGUAGCAGUCAAAGUCUGCUUGGCACUUCUCCAUGACACGGCUCCGUCAGCUAACAUAAAAAUGUAUCCAGAUGUUGAUUUUCGUGAAUCAACGCAGCCCGCGAAGUCCGCAUUCGAAUAACCGAUCACUUCCAGGUUGUCAGUCCGUCUAUACAUAAGCAUAUAGUCUUUGAUACCUUGACGGUAUCUCAUCACUUUCUUUGCAGCUCUCCAGUGGUCUAAACUUGGAUUACUCUGAUAUCUUCCCAACAUUCCCACAACAAAAGCGAUGUCAGGUCGAGUGCAAACCUGAGUAUACAUCAAGCUUCCAACAGCAGAAGCAUAUGGAAUGUUGUACAUUUGUUCCCUUUCUAGAUCGUUCUUCGGGCAUUGGUUCAAAUUGAACCUGUCACCCUUCACAAUGGGUGCUAUACUUGGUGAACAAUCUUUCAUCCAAAAUCUCUCUAGGACCUUAUUGAUAUAGGUUUCUUGAGAUAGUUCUAAAAUGCCUCGAGGUCUAUCUCUAUGGAUCUUAAUGCCAAUGACAUAAGAUGCCUCACCCAUAUCUUUCAUGUCAAAACUCUUAGAGAGAAAUUGUUUCACCUCAUGUAGCAACCCCUUAUCAUUGGUUGCAAGUAGUAUAUCAUCCACAUACAGUACAAGGAAACAACUUUUGCUCCCACUGACUUUCUGGUAUAUACAUUGAUCCAUGACAUUCUCUACAAAACCGAAUGAAGAGAUGACUCCAUGGAACCUUAAGUACCAUUGGCGGGAUGCUUGUUUCAAGCCAUAUAUAGAAUUCUUAAGCUUGCACACCAAAUGCUCACCUUUACUAGAGGAGAAUCCUUCAGGUUGUUUCAUGUAAACCUCCUCAUCUAGUUCUCCAUUGAGGAACGCCGUUGUCACAUCCAUCUGAUGUAAUUCCAUAUCAAAAUGGGCAACCAAUGCCAAAACAAUACGAAGAGAAUCUUUCUUAGAUACAGGAGAAAAAGUCUCCGUGUAAUCGAUUCCUUCCUUUUGAGUGAAUCAUUUGGCAACAAGUCUAGCUUUAUAUCUUUCAAUGUUACCCAAUGAAUCUUUCGUAGUUUUGAAGACCCAUUUACAACCAAUGGCCUUCGUACCAUUAGGUAACUCAACCAAAUCUCAGACUUUGUUAGAUGCCAUAGAACUCAUCUCUUCCUUCAUGGUAUUGUACCACAAAUUGGAUUUAUCACUAUCCAUGACUUGUGAAAACGUUUUAGGAUCAUUCUCAGCUCCAAUAUUGUAGUCAGACUCUUGUAAAUACACGAUAUAAUCACUAGGAAUAGCCGAUUUCUUUAUUCUAGAAGAUCUUCUCAAUGUUGCAUCAACAUUCUCUUGAGGAGCGUGUUGCUCAACUGGUUGUUCAACAGUUUCUGGUAAUUGCUGAACAAUUGGAUCUACUAGAUCAAUAUCAGCAGGUUGUGGAACUUCAACAAUUGAUUGUUCAAUAGCCGGCUGAACUGAAGGGGCAUUAUGAGCAACAACCAAUCUUAAACUUGAGGUGGAAGGUUGAGUAUUUGUAUGAUCUUUCUUAGGAUCAAGGUCCUUCGAUCGAUCGCUCCUGAUCAAGUCAUUUUCAAGAAAUUUAGCAUUUCUUGAUUCCACAAUCCUAGUGGUGUGAGAUGGACAAUAAAACCUGUAUCCCUUAGACCUUUCGGCAUAUCCAAUGAAAUACCCACUUAUGGUCCUUGGGUCCAACUUCUUUUCUUGUGGAUUAUAAACUCUCACUUCAGACGGGCAUCCCCAAACGCGCACAUGAUGCAAACUCGGUUUCCAACCCUUAAAUAACUCAAAAGGUGUCUUUGGGACAGCCUUGGUCAGAACUCGGUUUAAUAUGUACACUGCCGUCUUAAGUGCUUCAGUCCAUAAGAAUUUAGGAAGUUUGGAGCUGCUAAGCAUACUACGCACCAUGUCUAAUAAGGUCCGAUUUCUUCUUUCCGCUACGCCAUUUUGGUCCGGAGAACCAGGCAUAGUAUAUUGGGCAACUAUCCCAUGCUUUUGAAGAAACCUUGCAAAUGGACCAGGUGCUUGUCCAUCUUCAGUGUAUCUACCAUAGAAUUCUCCACCCCUAUCUGAUCUCACGAUCUUAAUUUGCUUAUCGCAUUGUUUCUCUACUUCCGCCUUAAAUACCUUAAAAGGCAUCUAAUGCUUCAUACUUAUUAUGAAUCAAAUAGAGAUACAUGUAACGUGAGUAAUCAUCUAUGAAAGAGAUGAAGUAUUUUUGACCACAUGAGUCCAUAUCCGGACUACAAAUAUCCGUGUGUAUGAUUUCUAAUAUUUAUGUACUCCUCUUGGCACCUUUCUUUGUCUUGUUAGUCUGCUUUCCCUUUAUGCAGUCCACACAAGUAUCACAAUCAGUAAAAUCUAAAGUAUCGAGUACUCCAUCAUUUACUAAUCGCUUAAUUCUUUCUAUGGAGAUAUGUCCCAAUCUUCGAUGCCACAACAUAGAGGAAUGUUCUUUCAUAACACAUCGUUUUAUACCAGCUUUAUCAUGAACAUGCAUCGCAUCAUAAUAGGCAUUGUCUUAUAAAUUAAUUUGAAAAAGACCAUCAGACAAAGUACCACUCCCGACAAUUUCAGAUUUAAAUGAUAAACAGAAGUUUGAAUCUGAAAAGUUAAAAGAGUAUCCCAAAGGUACAAGUCUUGAAACUGAAAUUAAGUUUCUAGAAAAACUAGGAACAUAAAAGGUCUUUUCCAAAUUUAAAACAAAACCACUAUUGAGAACUAGUCUAUAUGUCCCAAUAGCUUCCACAUGCGAACGCAUCUUGUUUCCUGAAUAGAUGCUUUGUUCACUUCCCACUGGCUUCAUGUGGUUUUGAAAACCCUGCAAGGAAUUCGAAAUAUGGAUUGUAGAUCCAGAAUCAAUCCACCAAGUGUUGUGACUUACAUCAGUCAUAUUAGAUUCAUAACAAACACAAGAGAUUGGAUUACCUUUCUUCUUGAGCCAAGCCUUAAAUUUGACACAAUCCUUCCUUAUAUGCCCAUUCUGUUUACAAAAGAAGCAUUUGGAUUCUUUCUUAAUGUCAGCUUGGGGAGGUAUUUUACCUUUUCCCUUAUGCUUGCCAUAGCCUUAUUCUUUCCUUGUGUUGCCAAAUGAGCACUUUCUCCCAAUUCCAUAACCAGUCUUUCUUCCUCUUGAACACACAUGGUCAUGAGUUCAUUAAUAGACCAUUUAUUCUUAUGUAUGUUAUAAGAGAUCUUGAAAGGUGCAUACUGUUGUGGGAGAGUGUUCAGAAUAUAAUACACAAGGAAGGAUUUAGAUAUCUCAACCUCAAGGUUCUUAAGCUGAGCUGCAAUGUUCCUCAUUUGCAUGAUGUGCUCACGCACACCUCUAACACUAGUGAGCUUCAAUGAUGAAAACUUCAUAAUCAGGGUCAUGGCAUGCGCCUUCUUAGAACUUUCAAACUGCGCAUCUAUGGCCUCCAAUAAAGCCUUAGCAUUGUUAUGCUGAGCAACCGAACCAUGAAUACUAGGAGAUAUCUUAGCUCUUAUAAACAUGGCACAAACACGGUUGGACCGCUCCCAUUGGUUAUAAAGAGCUAUCUCAGCUGGAGUGCUCGAAUCAGUAGGAGCAGGUGGUUCGUCUUUCCUUAUAGCAUAGUCAAUGUCCAUCCACCCCAAUUGAAGAAGAACUGACUCCUUCCAAACUUUAUAGUUCUCACCAUUCAGUAUAGGAACAUCAAACUUAAAUUCAGAGAAAUUCACAGGUUGCGAAAUUGCAUAUCAAAUAAUCAUGCUUAUACAAAAUUUGAGGCAAAUAUAAAUAAAUCAUGUUUUACCAAUGUAAACAUGUCACAAUAUGAAUCACAUAACAUAAAAACUACAUGUGGGCUAAGUUUUUAAUUUAAAUAGAUUCAUAAUUACUUCAUGAAAAAACUACCAUAUUAUAUGCAUUUUCUUAAUCCCUGUGGGUAAAUUAAGAAAAAUAAUAUGAUAUUUCAUCCUAAUUAAUCAUAUUAAUAUAAUGAAAAUUCCUGUGGGAUAAAAUUCAUCAUAUUAAUAUAAUUAAUUACAAUCAAUGUCCAUUUCUAAAUAUGAUCCGGAGGCUUUUAAUAUAUAAUUUAAUUAAUUAAAGAUGCUGUGGCCACUCCCUAAUUAAUUAAAUAUAUGGACCAUUGGACAUUUAAUUUCAUGCACAAAAUAUUCAUAAAAUACAUGAAAUGACAAAAUAGUAAAUAAAAACAUCGAAGGGCAGAACAUUAAAUAAAUCGGCCAAGGGCAUGAUUGCAAAAAUUUAAAAUGAAUGGGGCAAAAAGGUAAAAGCAGCAGCGGGUGGGAGUAGGGGUGAGCAUGGUCCGGGUUGGUCCGGGCCACCCCCUAACCCUAGGACCAACCCGUACAGUGUUGGUCCUCAAUUUUUAGGACCGAGGACCGACCCUACUGAGCCUGGGACCAAGGACCGGACCGACCCAAUGGGUUCGGUCCGGUUCCAGGGUCAACCCGGGACCGAUCGAUAAUUUAUUUCAUCUUGUUUUUUAUACUCCAUAAAAAAGUAAACCUACAAAUUCAAAUUACACAUCCAUCGAUAAUGCGGCAUUGUGCAACUAAACUAUAAAUACCAAUACAAGAUCUCAAAUGAAGUAGAUAUCACUAGUCAAGUUGUGUUUGGAAAGCAAGGGCAAGCUGAGCAUUAGGGUUUCUAAUUAGGGCUUCUUCUUUUUUCCUUUUGAUUUACUCGGCGAUAAGUGAGGCGACCGGCGCGAGUGGCGAGCGCAAGCGUCAAGUGUCGAGUGGGGUGAGCGUCAACUGGCAAGCGGCAAGCGUUUAGUGAGGCCAGGGGCAAGCGGCGAGCGUUGAGCGAGACUAGCGGCGAGUGUUGAGCGAGACUAGCGGCGAGUGGUGAGUGGCGAACGGCAUGAGCAGCGUGCACGGUCAAAGGUGAAAGGCGCGGGCAACCAGAGGCGAGCGGGAUGUUGCUACUUUUGAUUUUGGCAAAUUGAAGAACAAAGAAGACAAAAUGGAAGAGAACGUAGUUUAGGGAAGAAAGCCAUGAGGAGAUUUACGGCAUAAACUUCGCGCCAUUUUGGACAUCGCGAGUCCAUGACUAUGAGGAGUCCUUGGUCCUCACGGUGAAGAAUGUACUCUGGAGUCUAGACUGUGGAGGAGGAGGCCGUGAAGACCUUUACAGCGUAAACUUCACGCCUUUUGGAAUUGGAUGCCGUCUGUCCAUGACUGUGAGCAUGAGGAGUCAACAACUUUAACAUCAUUUUACUUAGGUUUGAAUACAUAAAAAAAUUAUAUAUAAUAUAAUAUAACAUAAAUUUUACUUAGGUUUGAAUAUAUAAAAGAAUUAUAAAUAAUAUAAUAUAAUAUAAUAUACAGGGUGGGUCCAGGGUUGGACCGAGGACCAACCCGCACAGUGUUGGUCCUGGAAUUUUAGGACCAAGGACCGACCCAGUCCCCUUGGGAACUGGACCAGGACUGGCAGGGUUGGGCCAGUCCAGGGUCGGUCUAGGGUUAACCCUAAACCACUGCUCACCCUUAGGUGGGAGACGGCGGGCGCGUGCCGAGCACGCGCGCGUCCAGCGCUCAGGCGCGUGCCGAGCACGCACCAGAAUCCGCGGGGCGCGUGGAUUCCACGCAUGCAGCGGUUGAGCGCGCGUGAGAGCGCGUGGCGCAUGGGCUCCACGCUCCUGCAACCGCAGCGCGGGCGUGGGCUCCAUGCACCUUCUUCCUCGCGCGAACAGAAGCUUUUCCGUCGGUUUUUCGCCAUUUUCAGCCGCGAUUUCAGCCCCUUUUCUUCUCCGGCAGCCCAUCCCAGACAGAAAUAAAUAAUGGGUUUUGAAGAGCAUGCCGGCACAACUACAUGGGUUCAAGUUUCGGCGAAAAUGAGCAAAAAUUGGCCCCAAAAUCAGACGAAAAUAUCCCAAAACACAAUUCCUUUGACCACCGCGACUUCCGCUGCCCGAUUAGCCUCCGGCGAACACCGAUAUACCGGAAAAACUCAUGGCUAAUGUUCCUUAUGGCGGUGCGGCUGUGCGGGUCCGAAAUCAAGGGGUGGGUCGCCGGAAUUUGCCCGGAAUUUGGGAGUUUCUCUGUUGGCCUCAAAAUCCGAAUUACUGUUCAUCUCUAAAAUGCCCGAAAAACACAUCAAAAAUUCGAGAAAAACAAGGCAGAGGCACUAGACUUGCUCUGAUACCAAAUGUUAGACAUAAAAAUUCAUAUGCGGAAGCCAUGAUCAAUUGAAGACAAACCUCCAGCCAUUGUUCUUGUUCGCAUUCGUCAGAAAAACCUGAAAUCAAAGAAAAUUGGGGACACGCUACUACCCCAAUUCACUCUCGUACUGAUGGUGUAUUCUGAAUGAGAGAGUUUGAGUUAGACCUUGUCAUCACCCGUCAGAAAUGAACGUACGUUCCUUUUAUAUCCCGUCUCCCAUCAAAACGGUUACCUAAUGGACGGUUGUCACGAAAGGGUACGAAGCGUGGAAAAACUUUAUGUCGAACAGUCGCAACUUUAAGAGAAAAUGUAGGUCUAAAAUGUGGGAUCACAAAAAUAAAUAACACCUAGUCCACACACCAUGACAUCCUCUGUGUUUUUCUUUUCAAUGACUUUAGUAUUUUUUACAAUGGAGACCCCUUGAUUUCGAAAGGAUCGAAAAAGGUAUCACCGAACGUAUUCUCACGACAGGUGAUCGGAGCCGGAUAAUCGAGAAUUCCGCGGCACGCUAUCAUGAUCGGACCGACUACGCUACCGAAUGAACACGCACACCGAAAAGAGAAGGCCGACAAUCUUAAAGGCGAUGAUCGAUCGAUCGAAGCGAGUCAAAAGAACUUCUGUGGGAAGAGAGAGUAGGGGUCGAUUCGAUCGCCUGUAGCCGCCGUGCGGAGGGACAAUCGCCGAGAGCCAGAGCAAGCGAGAGAGAGAGAGAGUUUUCCGUCCCGACAAGACGGUGAUUAUACAAGCAGCCGGGGGGCGUUGCGGAGCUGACAAUUUAAAAAAACAAGAGAAGAAAAUUUGUUUGCGCUGCCGAGAUGUUAUCGUAUUCCCUCUUCUGGGGUACGUUGGGGUACGUAGGGGUACGUAUCCGAAUACUUUUCUUGCACUUUACUAAUUAGAUUACUGAAUUAGAUUAGAUUAAAUUCUCAUAAAAAGAAUAAAGGUUAGAUUAAAUUUGGAGAUUACGUAUAUAGUUCACCCUCUUUAUUGAAUAAAAAAAAAUCAUAUGGAUUUUCGCUAUUAUCAUAAAGAAUAGCUCAUGCGGCACCUAUCAACAAAAUAAUAAUUGACAUUACUUUAUUAGAGAAUUCGGUUAGCCAAUCUUAGAAAACGCAAUAAAAUCAAAUGUUAAGAAACGUGGUGAAGAAAGUAACAAAGUUAAUUUCUAAGCAGGAAAAAAAAAUGAUGAGUCUAUUCUUUAUUUAUUUUUCAUUAUAAAGAAAUGGGCGGGGAGAGGCUAUCGCGGGUGAGUCCUCUAUUAAUUGUGUUGUGUAUUGCACGGGUGUCGUAUUCAUGUAUGGCAAAGGUAAGGACACAUUUUCGAACUUUAACUUGUAUAUGAUAUCAGCACACUAUAUUUUGAUUUAUGGCCAUUUGGGCACUUGUGAAGUACUUUUAGGGAUAUGUGGACUAUAAGUCCUAAGACUUGUCGCGAAAAUACAAUUAAGUGAUAAAACAUUUAAAAAGUGCAAUUAAAUUCUAAAAUUUGUGUAAUCAAGUCCUUCCGUUAAUACCAUCAAUUUGUCUAAUGGAAAAUACUAAUGUGAUAUUUUAAAUUAAUUUAUUUAUCUUAUGUGGCAUUUUUAUUACUUUUUUCUUUAAACCUUAUUUAAAUAAUAGUAAAAAAAACUUUUAAAAAGCUAAAAAAUUUUAAAAAAUUGGAACCAAAGAAAAGAAAAAGGGCAAGGAUUGUGCUAGCACAUUGCCGUUGCCACCCAUCAUCGGAGGGGGCUAGCGACCUCAUUGGCCCUAGGUAGCGAAGGGGGCGACGGCCCUCACCAACUUAGGAGAGGCCAUGCCGGCCCAAGCAAGACACCUCAGCUAAGGCCAACACAACUCGUCUAGAUUUGGGCGACGCUGAUCCUCGCUUAGGCCUAGUGAGGGUCGCUGGCCCUCACCUAGGAUCAGUGAGGCCUUGCUUGGGCUGGCGAGGCUCGUUGGUCAUAGGGGAGGCUGGUGUCACCUAGAUAAGGGUUGACAUUGCCCAAAUCUGUGUGAGCCUCACCCGAGCCGAAGCCAAGGCAUUGUCCAAAUUUGGGUGAGCCUUAUCGGCUCUUGCCUAGGCGGGCAAUGGCCUUGCCUGGGCCGAUGAGGGUACCCUCCAUGGCGUAGGGUUGGCGACCUUGCCAGCCUCCUUUGAAAAUGGGCGGCGGCGGCAUCAUGCCCAGCACGAUCCUUGUCUUCUUCUUUUUUUCUUUGUCUCCAAUUUUUUAAAAUUAUUUUAGCUUUUUUUAAAAGUUUUUUACUAUUAUUUAAAUAAUAUUUAAAAGAAAAAAGUAUAAUAAAAUGCCACGUAAAAUAAAUAAGUAAAUUUUAAAAUGCCACCUCAGCAUAUUCCGUUAGACAAAUUGAUGGUGUUAAUUGAAGGAUUCGAUUGCACCAAUUUGAUAAAUUUUAGAACUUAAUUGUACUUUUUGUAUAUUUUCGUGAUAAGUUUUAAUACUUAUAGUUUACAUAUCCUAUAUUUUUUUGUUAAGGGGAUCUUUGAUCUUUGAUGUGUAAUCGGGUAUAUUACGAUGACAAUCAAUGUAUCAGGAGUUGUGAUAUUUUCUUAUUUAAUUGCUUAGUAAGUGUUUUUGAGGCACAAUUUAACUAAAAUCCUUUAAAUAUCGGGUCUUCAUACUUUUUUAAGACAUUUCGUUGCUCCGGCUUGGAUUAGUAAGUUUUUUGAAGGAAAAACCUAGUGGAAAUUUCUAAGUAUUAUGCAAAGAAUGCUCAUCAAUUUCUAAAUCUUUCUUAAAGAGAAAGUUCAACGAGAUCCUCCCAUCAGAAAUUUGCCACCAUUGCUAUAAAAAAUCGCCUAAGUGCCUGUAUGACGAAUUAAAUAAGGUGUGACCGAAAGAAUUUUCUGAUACUCUUUCUAAUAAAAAAUUUCGAGAUUCAACUAAAUCAAUGAAAGGUUUAAAGCUUGAUUGCAUUUUUCGUGUAAGAUUAUGGACACAGUAUUUUUCUUUUUCGUCAUCGUAUCGUACCAAGUACAAGAGGAAAGAGAAGAAAGAUAGGCGGAUGCGUCACGCAUAUGUAGGUGCCCGUGACAUGUACGUGCCCAAAGGGAAGCUUAGGAUAGGCAUCACCGGUCGGACCGGUUGCUUUUGGCCUUUCUUCGUCUUUCUUACUUUUGUUGCGUUUGUGCAAACAUGUACUUCGUUUCUUGUUUGACGAGUUCCAACCCAAACCACCACUUUUAAAAAAAUAAUUAAAGAAAGAGUUGCGAGUCUCUCCUAGCUGUUUGACAUGGUAGGAAUGGUAAUAUGGAUUAGUAGUUGUUUAUUGUGAUAACUAAGGGGGAAAGACACCCUGUAAUUAUGCCAAUCACGCUUGACUGCGUUCCAUUCACAUUAUUGAUAGGACUUCCUGUGCAAUUUUCCUGUUUUGCUUUCGUCUUGACUCAAAGUUGCCGGUCUCUUAUUUGCAUCUUCUCUUCUCUCUUCCUUUUCUCAAUCUUCUCUCUGCUCAAAGUAUCACCGCAUGCCAUGGUCUCGCUCUGUAGUCUCUCUUAUUUCUUUCUUUCCCUUUCCUUCGUUUUUCUAUCGCAAUUCUCGAACUUCAUUGACGAUCAAGCUCAAGAUUAUGAUUGUCCAACCGCCACGAUUUCAACUCAGUGGGUGAAUAACGCAAAAGCUACUCACGUCACUCGACAUGUAGAUGGAUCAAUCGUGCGGGCAAUUCUACUCCGAGGCAAAGGAGGUUCUGGCCCUGCCUAUGCCUACGGCUUCUAUUGUAAUGGUACCUGCAACACUUACCUCUUUGCUGUUUUCAUCGUCACAGUUUACGGUAGUGGCGUAACUAUUGAAUAUAUUGUUCCAUAAGUAAUGUGGUCUAUCAAUUGAAACAAUUCCGUAAAGAUCGGAGUGACAUUGGAGCUCGCGUUCGAAUGUGAUUUGGUGUUGAAAGAUACUGAUGGUAUGGUUGCUUGGUCCACAGAUACUUCUGAAAAGUCCGUCGUAGGCUUGAACUUGACAGAUUUGGAGAACCUCGCUUCAUUUGAUAAGGAAAAUGUGAUUGUUUGGCAGUCUUUCGAUGAGCCAACCAACUUGCUUGUCCUUGGACAAAAGUUGAGGUGGGGGCAAAUAUUGAUGUCGAGUGUUUCUAAGAAAAAUUGGAUCAUUAAUGAUAUGAUUUCGCUUUCCAUGAUUGGCGAUGUUUUAUGUGCUCAAGUGGAGACUAAUCCUCCUCAGAUAUAUUUCGAGCGUGAAGGUUCAACUACGAAUGCAAGCAUCGAGUUUCCAUAUGUUGAGUUUGUAGGGGGAAGCUUGUUUUGGAUCUCAGAUUCUAAAUUUUUUGUCUUAAUGUCAUUCCCUUUACGAUCUUCCACACAAUACAUGAAGCUGGGCUCGGAUGGGCAUUUGAGAGUGUAUGAGUACAAUUGGUAUGGCGAGCAUAAAGAAGUGGCCGAUCUUUUCACAGGUGAGGUUAUGGCGAGGACUAUGUCUAUCUGAGAGUGUGUGGGCGAUAUGGAAUUUGUUCCAAUGGGCAAUGUAGUUAUCCGACUUCGAUUGGGGGAACGAGCUAUUUCCAGCAAGUAGAUAAUAGGCAACCUAAUUUUGGGUGUUUUGAGAAUGUUCCAUUAUCUUCUGGGACUUCAAAAAAUCAAAGUCUUCGGGAGCUCGAAAAUGUCACAUAUUUUAGUUUCACUCCAAAGCUCGAGAACAUAGAUGCUUUAAGUUGUAAAGAGGUCUAUGCAAAGAAUUGUUCCUACAAAGCAGCUAUAUUUUGGUCUCAUUCUGAUCGCACUAGCGCCAGUUGUUACUUACCAACUCAGGUGUUUUCACUUAUGAACAUUGAUGAGAAAAUGUUUUCCUAUAAUUCUGCUGCGUACCUUAAAGUACAAAAUGUGGCCAAUAAAGCUCCUUAUACUCCGGUUGACAAUCGUAUGAGCAACCAUCUCCCUGUAAUACUUGGGUCUAGCCUCGGAGCUCUCUUUGCCAUGAUGAUUUUUAUCGUAGCUAUAGUUUUGUUUGUUCACAAGAGAGCAAAGGAGGAUUACCUUGAUUAAGUACCUAGAGUGCCCACUAGAUUCAUGCACAAUGAUCUGAAAACCAUCAUAGAUGGAUUCAAUAAAAAGCUUGGCAAGGUGGUUUUGGUUCUAUUUUCGAAGGUACUCAACAUCACAAAAGUUGCAAUAAAACGCCUUGAUGAUUUUAGGGCAGGUUAAGAAAUCCUUUCUAGCCGAAGUUGAGACUAUCAACACUCAUCACGUGAACUUGGUAAGACUCCUGGGAUUUUGUGUUGAGAAAUCUCAUAGGCUCCUUAUCUAUGACUACAUGUCGAAUGGGUCUCUAGAUAGAUGGAUCUUUCACAAAUCCAAUGAAUGUGUUCUCUACUAGCAACAAAGGAAGAAGAUCAAUCUCAAUAUAGCAAAAGGACUUAAUUAUCUUCAUGAAGAUUGCAGACACAAGAUAUUUCACUUAGACAUUAAAUCCCCAAAUAUCCUCUUGGCUGGAAAUUUCAAUGCUAAGGUUGCUGAUUUUGGAUUAUCUAAGCUGAUAGACAAAGACAAAAGCCAUGUCGUCACAACCAUGAAAGGAACUCCCGGUUAUGUGGCCUUGAGUGGUGGAGUAAAGCAUUCACUAAAAAGGUCGAUGUGUAUAGCUUUGGCAUGGUAAUCUUGGAGAUAGUGUGUGAGAGAAAAAUCUUGGAUAGCUCUCUAGAUUAAGAAGACAUGCAUUUACUAAGCCUUUUUAAGAGAAAGGCAUAAAAGGAAUGAUUGCUAGACAUUGUGGAUAAGUCUAGCAAUGACAUGUAACUAAAUGGACCGUAGGCAGUGAAUAUGAUGAGGAUUGCUGCAUGGUGUUUGUGAAAAGACCAUACAAAGAGGCCCUCCAUGUCUAUGGUCAUCAAGGUGUUAUAUGGCGUCAUGGAAGUUCUAGAAGACCUGGAUUAUGACUUCACUGCUCAGGCUUCCACCAGUGGAGAAGGGAGAUUCAGUUGGAUGGACGUGGAAUUCAAUGCUACCACUAUAUCACUAUCCUCAGUCCUAGGUGGUCCAUGAUGACACUACAAAUUUGUAAGAACUUUUCUUCCCAAUAUGUCAAGAGGUAGAACGUGCGGGUGAUUGAAAUUUUUAGACUGUGAGGACUCCAUCUUCUCAUUCUCUUUUCAGGAUAAAAAAAAAAAAAAAAGGCUUGUGGCGUGAUAUCACUUCUCGUUUUCACUUUGCCAAUGAGUGAACUUUGCCAUAACUUGGCAAAGGAUUAAGUUGGUUAGGAUAUUGCAAUUUGAUUUUAUUGCUUAUGUAGAAACCAAUUGUGCUCAAGUUUGUUGUGUGCUAGUUUAGGGAAAGGGGGAACCUGUUGAAUCAUUUGUGCAAAGAGCUGUUAAAGACUAGUCAGCUGCUGGUAAUGUCUUUUGGUAGCUUUGCCAUGUUGUGGAUCCAAAUCAGAUUUGCCUUUUGGUUCCAACACUUGAUAUCUUUCAGAUUCAAUGACUCUACCUUCCAUGUCUUCCUCAUUUCAAGAUUAAUGGGCUAUUUUUAGUCCGUUCUGCAAGUACAUGAUUAAAACCGAUAAAGAUAACGGGAGACUUUCAUCACUAGUAAGCUUGAUUUUUCCUAGCGACUCCUAAUGUAUCAUAGGUUAAUAAUCUUAAUUUACAGCUUCUUAAGGAUCCAUCAAGGUUGUCCAGCGACAUAUAUUUGCCAAAAAUAAAGAACUGAGAUAUUUGGGCAUUCAAGAUUCAAUUUUGCGAUCUUUAGAUAACACCAAUCAUCCUCGAUAACCUCAGUUUUUCCACAUUCAUUAAUCAACAUUGAUCCAAGCAUACAGAUUCAUCAAAUUUAAUCAGGGAUAAGAAGCUUGUCUGGGUCUUAUUUGGUCCCGGAACUGCUCACACAAUUAAGAAAGUUCAGAGCGAUCUGACGUGACCCCCCCUGCCAUGCCGUGGCACCUCUUGAUUGGAUAUGAUCAUGGCCGGUCGAAAAAAAAAGUCCCCUGGAGCUCAUCCAAAGGCCCGAGCUACGGUAACCUCUCGUAAAGUCCUCACUCUUCCCGGCACAACUCACUAGCGACGGAAGUAUUUCUUCUUAUUCUUCCAAUUCCUCUGCUUUGUGCCCUUCGCCUUCUCCUCUUCUUGAAGUCUCCGAAUCGGAGUUGCCAUAGUAAGUUAUUGCAGAUCACGUGGAGAAAGGAUAAUCUCACGAUGAAUCUAUCUAUCUUCUCCUCGGCCAUGGAAGGCAUUGCGUGGAGAGGAUGGCUCUACACGGUGUUCAUUCAGUACUUCGUGUUCGCUUGCCAGUUCCUUCACCUUCAGCCUCUCGUCUCAGCCCAAGGUACGUCAUUCUGGCUUAGAUCUGCGAACUCGUUGUCGGAUGGAGGCUUUGAGAGGUUGUAGUGCGCUCUAAAGCCUGAGCAACUAGCUUUCUAUUUGAAAAAUUUAUUGAUCAUCGUCGCCAUUGAUUUUGCAUGGGGACACUAGAAAGAGAAUGUUAAUGAGGAAAAUUAGAAUGAGUAGUACCAGCUGUGUUAAUCCAUGCAUUUUCAUUUUUGUCAUCAUAUUACGGAGUUGAAAAUUAAGAUACAUAGAGCAAGAGCUGUACUUGUCCCCCCUCCUUUCAAUCUUCAUUGUAGCAUCAAUUGGCCCAGAAUGUUCGAUUUAAACGUUCCACGACAUCUAAAUUGAUCAUCGCCUAACGCAAUCCUAUUGAAAUGUUAAAUCCUCCCCACAUAGAAACCUUCCUACUAUUAAAAAUCCGCUACCCUGACUACAGCUUAAAGAUAGAGCCACAGAGAGAGAAAGAGUUUUUGUCCGGACAGACGGUGAUCAUACAAGCAGUUGAGCACGUUGCAGAGAUGACUUCAAAAAAUAAGAGGAGAAAAUUUAUUGCUCUGCCCAGACUUUAUCGUAUUUUGCUCUUUUGGGUACGUACCCGAAUACUACGAAGAAAAUUUCUUGCUUUUUUGAUAAUUAAGUGAAUUUGAUUAGAAUAAACUGUGGAAAAAAAAUUAAAUUAGCUUAGCUUAGAUUAAAUUCGACUAUGUAACACAGUUCACGCUCUUUAUCGAGAAAAAAAUUGUAUGGAUUUUCACUAUUUUCGUAAAAAAAAAUGGUAAACAUAGUUUGUACAACUAUCAAUAAAAUAAUAAUCGAAUUAUUAUAUUAGAGAAUUCGACUAACUAACCUUAGAAAAUGCAAUAAAUGCUAAGAAAAAGAAGGUAGGAAAGUUAAUUUCUGAGCAGGAAAAGAAAUGAUAAGUCGAUUUUUACUUUUUCUAAAGAAAUUGGUAGGGAGGGCCGAUCACCGGGUGGCUCUCCCCCCUCUAUCAAUUGUGAUGUGUCUUGUAUGGGUGCCAUACGCAUAUAUGACAAAAGUAAGAAUGUAUUUUCUAACUUUAACAUGUAUUUGAUAUCAGUGAACUUUAUUUUGAUUAUGGAUAGUUUAAUAAUUAUCUUGAGUAUUUGUUAAAUAUUUUUUAUUGAAGGGAUCUUUGAUCUUCGAUGUAUUAUUGGGUAUAUCACGAUGAUAAUCAAUGUAUUGAAAUUCACCAUAUAUUCUUAUUUAGUUGCUUAAGAAGUAUUUUUGAGGCACUUUUAAAAUAAAUCUUUUUGAUAUCAGGUCUUUAUACUUUUUAAAGACACUUCACUGCUCCAAGUAGGAUUAGUUAGUUCUUUAGAAGGAAAAUUCUAGUGGCAAUUUCCAAGUAUUAUGCAAAGAAUACAAUCGGCCAGUAAACUUUCCGAUUUGGUCCGACCAAUUUCUAAAUUUUUUAUAAAAAGAAAAGUUCAACAAGAUCCUCCCAUAGGAAAUUUUCCUUUGUUAUUAUAAAAAAUUGCUUAGGUACAUGUAGGACGAAUCAAAUUAGUAAUAAUCAAAAGAAUCUCCCAUUGCUUUUUUUUUUUUUUUUUGGAGAGAAUUCAAGACUCGGCUAAACUAUAGAAAGAUAUAGAGCCCGAUUGCAUUUUUCUCGUAUAACAUUUCGGACAUGGCAUUUUUUUCUCUCGCAUUCCGUGCCUUGUGCCGUAUCAAAUUCGAGUAUUCAUCAAGCACAGUCGUUGGGUGCCUUUUUUUUUUUUUUUAAAUAAAUGUCGCCCGAGGAGAGAAUAAGGAAGCUAGAUGCGUCACGCAGAUAAUGUAGCUGCGCAAAGGGGAAGCAAUAGGAUAAACACCGCCGGUUGCGCCGGUUGCUUUUGGCCUUUCUUCUUUUCUUUUGAGUGUUUCGCAUGUAAAGAGAGAUACUUCGUUCCAUGUUUUUUUUUUUUUUGUCAAAAGGUGAAUUUUCAUUUAUCAUAUAAGCGGAAAACUGUGGUGGCCCGCUACCGGGGCGUCGAUACAUAAAAGAGCCCAGAGGCUUGAGGGAGGGGAGGCCCACCAAUUCGGAGGAAGGGUCUUCAGGCGUUGGUUACGUGCGGCCCAAUCCGCAACCUGGUUUGCUAAGCGAGGACAGAAAGCGAGGCCCACUCGCGGCAUCCGCUAGAGAAGAAGUCGACAAAUCCUCACCGCCCCACGUGCGUUAACUUCAGUUCCCGUUCGUGCUUCAAGCUGGAUAACACGAUUCUGCUGUCAGUUUCCAAGAUAGCUUCGCAGAAGUCUUUCUCCUUAAAAAACUUUAGGGCUUCAAGGACCCCUAGGGUUUCAACUUGCACGCUUGAUUCCGCCCAAACAUUCUUCGAGAAUCCAUCUAAUAGGGUGCCGGAGGAGUCCCGCACGACGCAGGCCACCGCUCCCUCCGUCGAUCCUUCCCCUAACGAUCUGUCAACGUUCAGCUUGAGGCAGCCGAGCUUCGGAGCUCGCCAGGUGGGUUGGAUCUCCGGUUCUUUGGUUUUCUUUGCUGGUUCAUCUCCAGAUCCCCACUUUUGGUAGCUGAUUUGCUGAGAUCUUGCUAGAUCUAUCACUUUGCAGGCCUCUGGUUUGGUUCCUCGGAAGAUGAAAUCAUUUCGGCCCUUCCAUACCUGCCAUAGGAGAGUGCCGAUUGUCUCUAGAGAGGGGAGGUGCGGGUCUUUGCUUGUAAAUUUUGUCAGCUAGUCAUCUAUGCGUUUGACUUCUUGUGCGUCGGUUUUCUGUUUUAUUUCCAAGCGAUUCCAUACCCCUGCAACCCAAGGGUAGAGGAGAAGAGUAUGUUCGAUUGUUUCCACCGUGGCUUUGCAUAGGUCACAUAGCGGGUCAGGUGAGAUCUUUCUUUUCCAUAGAUUCUCUUUAGUUGGUAGAGCGUUUUGACAAGCCCGCCAUAUGAAAAACUUCACUUUCGGGUUGGUUUUCAUGUGCCAAAUUGCGUUCCAUAAUGCUGUUGGGGUUUGGUAUGAGGAGGAAGGGUGCCGAUUGGCUGUGUUUUCUGUGAUGUUGUCUCUCAGCAAGUUGUACCCAUUCUUGAUUGUGAAUGAUCCAUGUUGUGUGCCCGUCCAUACUAGUUCAUCAUUAAAAAAAAGGACCAUUUAUUGGUAUUGCAAGAAUUUCCUGUGUAGUUUGAUCAUCAAACAGAUUUCUUACCAAUUUCAUUCCACGCUUGUGUGUCCGGUAAUAUUAACUCUGAGACUUUCUUGGGAUCGUUUCUGUUUGCCGGCCCUCCUAUUAAACCUCUUCUCAGCCAUUUAUCUGUUCUGAUGUUAACUGAUUCUCCGCUUCCGAUCGACCAUCGGACUGAGUACGCAAUAGCCUCUCUUCCAAUUAGCAGACUUUUCCAUCCCCAUGAAGGGUUACAACCAGAAUCAGCAUGCCAAAACUCUGAGCGAUUGAAAUAUAGCCCCUUCAUUAAUUUGCCCCAUAGCGCAUUCGGAUUUUUAACCAUCCUCCAGGCUUGCUUCCCCAAUAAGGCUUUAUUAACAGUAACCAGAUCUCUGAAACCCAUUCCUCCUCUAUCUUUUCUCAUCUUCAUGAUUUCCCAUCGUUUCCAAUGCAGACUAGCCUGAGCAUCAUUGUUUUUCCACCAUAAAUUUGCUAUUUUUUUUCUCUAUCGCCAUACAAAUUGACACGGGGAUUUUAAAAACUGACAUGGCAUAUUGUGGUACCGCCUGCACCACUGAUUUCAAAAGAAUUUCUUUACCUGCCUUUGAUAUGAGUUGCUCAUUCCAGCCCUCCAGUUUCAUGUUGAUCCGAUUCAGCAUCCACCCAAACAUUUGCUUUUUUGAUACUCCCCAAUCAGAUGGUAGUCCCAGAUACUUCCUGUUCGUUNNNNNNNNNNNNNNNNNNNNNNNNNNNNNNNNNNNNNNNNNNNNNNNNNNNNNNNNNNNNNNNNNNNNNNNNNNNNNNNNNNNNNNNNNNNNNNNNNNNNCCUUUCACCUUCAUUGUAGCAUCAGUUGACCCAGAAUGUUCGGUUUAAACAUUCCAUGACAUUUUAAUGAUCAUCGCGUAAGGUACUCGUAUUAAACCCUCCCCACAUAGAAACCUUCCCGGUAUCAAUAAUCCACUACCCCGACUUCCACUCUAACACAGAGCCAGAGAGAGAGAGAGAAAGCGGAACUUGUAACUGAUGGUGUAACUUCUUAAGUAUUCAUAACAGCGAAGCUCUAGCGUAUAGCCUAGGAGAAAGAUGGAAACAACAAGGUAAACGAUCCUAAAUGCCAACUUCCAUGACCAAUAAAGUACCGACAGACACUGUUUAGAAUCGUCAUCCAUGUGACAAAAUAGGAUCAACCGACCUCGGCCCAGCGAUCCAACUCAGUGGGAGGAAAAACUUCUUAUGAUGCAUGAAACGAUCAAUUAGACCCGGGCUUGGGGGGGGGGUGUGUGGAGGUGGGCGGGCGGUGAUCGAUUGAAUAGAGUUAAAAGAGAGUAUUAUCGAAGAGCAAGAAAAGUAUUCGGAUAUCUUCGAGGUCGAUUCGAUCGCAAGUUGCUGCUGCGCUGAGGAAGCAAGCGAUAGAGAGAGAGAGAUUUUGUCCGGCCAGACGGUGACCAUUUAAGCAUUUGGGUGCGUCACAGAGAUGACAAUGAAAAAACAAGAGUAGAAAAUUUGUUUGCUCUGCCGAGACGUUAUCGUUUUAGCUCUUCUAGGCACGUAUCCGAAUGCUUUUCUUGCUCUUUAAUAAGUAAUAAGUGAAUCCUUUUUUUUUUGGGGUCAAAUAUAAGUUUAGUGAAUAUGAUUAUAUUAGAUUAGUAAACAGGAGAUUAUGUAACAUAGCUCACUCUUGUUAUCAAGGAAAAAAAUCGUAUGGAUUUUCACUAUUUUUGAAAAAAUAGCUUACUCAACCAUCAACAAAAUAAUAAUUGACAUUAUCAUAUUAGAGAAUUCAGUUAACCAAUCUUACCAAAUGCAAUAAGAUUAAAAGCAAAGAAACAUGCUGAAGAAAGUAACAAAGUUAAUUUCUAAGUAGGAAAAAAAUGAUGUGCUGAUUUUAUUUUCAAUAAAGAAAUGGGCGGGGAGGGAUGAUCACCGGGUGGCUCCUUCGUUGAUUGUGAUGUUGUAUUGUAUGGGUGUCAUAUUCAUGUACGGGAAAGGUAAGGGUAUGUUUUCGAACUCGAACUCGUAUUUGAUAUUAGCAAACCUAUACUUUGAUUUAUGGUCAUUUUAAUGAACAUCCUGGGUACUUGUUAAAUAUUUUUAUUAAGGGGAUCUUUGAUCUUCCAUGUAUAAUCAGGUAUAUUAUGAAGACAAUCAAUGAAUUGGGAGUCGCAAUACUUUUUAUUUAUUUAUUUGGUUGCUUAAUAAGUGUUUUCGAGGCACUUUUUAAGUAAAUCUUUUUUAUAUCAGGUCCUUAUGCUAUUUAAAAAAAAAAAAAAUUCACUGCUUCGGCUCGGCUUAGUAAGUUCUUCGAGAAGAAAAACCUAGUGGAAAUUUCCAAGUAUUAUACAAAGAAUGUAAUAGACCGGUAGACUUUUUGGUUUGGUAUGAUCAAUUUCUAAAUCCUUUAUAAAAAGAAAAGUUCAAUGAAAUCCUCUCAUCGGAAAUUUGCCGUUGCUACUAUAAAAAAUCGCUUAAGUACGCGCACGUCAAAUCAAAUAAGGUAUAAUCGAAAAAAAUUUCAGAUACUCUUUCCAAUAAAAAAAAUUUCAAGAUUCAACUAAUCCUAGAUUUUGAGCGUGAUUGCAUUUUUCGUGUAAGCUAAUGGACCCAGUAUUUCCCCCCCCCCUCUUGCUUUCCGUCCUCCUAUCAACCAAUUUCGAUAACAAGAGAAAAGAAGGGAAAGAUAAGCAGAUGCGUCACGCAUAUGAAGGUGCGGCAAAGGGAGGAUUAGGAUAAACACCUCCCGGUCGGACCGGUUGCUUUGGCCUUUCUUCUUUUCUUUCUUACUUUUUUGCAUUUGGGCAAAGACGAGAACUUCGUUUCUUGUUUGACGGGGUGCAAGCCUCUUCUUCCAAUCCAAAACACCAAGAAAAGAAAAAGUUCAAAAUUAAAGGAAAGUUGCAAGUCUCUUCUUGCUGCUUCACAUGCGAAUCACGCUGUACUGCAUGCCAUUCACAUUAUUGAGUGGACUUCUUGUGCAAUUUUCCUGUUUUGCUUUCAUCUUGACUCAAAGUCGUCGGUCUCUUAUUUGCAUCUUCUUCCCUCCUCUCUUCCAUUUCUCAAUCAUCUCUCUGCUCAGAGUUUCACUGCCGGCCAUGGUUUCACUCUGCAGUCUCCCUUCUUUCUUCCUUUCCUUUUCCUUCGUUUUGCUAUCGCCAUUCUCAAACUUCAUUGAUGCUCAAGCUCAAAAUUAUGAUAAUCCAACGGCCGUGCUUUCAACACGGUGGACGAUUAACGCAACAACUACUCCCUUCUCCCGCAAAGAAAAUGGAUCGGUCGUGCAGGAAAUUCUAUUCCGAGGCACAGGAGUUACUGCCUACUCCUGCGGCUUCUAUUGCAAAGGUAGAUGCACCUCUUACCUCUUUGUUGUUUUAAUCGUCGAAAUUUUCAGUGAUUUAAUGCCGGGGAGGGACAGAAAUCCACGAGUAGUGUGGUCUGCCAAUCGAAACAAUCCCAUAAAGAUUGGCGCGACGUUGGAGCUCACGCCUGAAGGCGAUUUGGUGUUGAAAGAUGCUGAUGGUAGGGUUGCUUGGUCCACAAACACUUCUGCAAAGUCUGUUGUAGGCCUGAACUUGACAGAUUUGGGGAACCUCGUAUUGUUUGAUAAGGACAAUGCGACAGUUUGGCAGUCCUUUGAUCACCCAACGGACACACUUGUCCCCGGACAAAAGUUGAGGCAUGGGCAAAAAUUGACGCAGAGUAUUUCUGAGACAAAUUGGACUGUUGAUGAUAUGAUUACGCUUUCCGUGAAUGGCGAUGGUUUAUCUGCUCAAGUGGAGACUAAUCCUCCUCAAAUCUAUUUCAACUACGAAUUUGGAAAUGAGGAUGCAAGUAUCAACAUUUCAUAUGUUGAGUUUGUAAAUGGAAGCUUGUCUUGGUUCUCAAAUUCUACCUCGAAUGGGACCUUGUUUUCAAUCCCUUCAGCAUCUUCAACACAACACAUGACGCUAGGCUCAGAUGGGCAUUUGAAAGUGUAUGAGCCUGGGGGGGGUAGAAGUGGCCGAUCUUUUCGAAGGGUAUGUCGAUGACUGUGCCUAUCCGACGGUGUGUGGACAAUAUGGAAUUUGUUCCAAUGGGCGAUGUAGUUGUCCGGCUUCAAGUGGGGGGGACGAGCUACUUCCAGCAAGUAGAUGAUAGGCAGCCUCAGCUUUGGUGUUUCGAGAAUGUCCGUGUCUGUGGGGCUUCACAACAACAAAUUCUCUGGAGCACGAAAACAUCGCGUAUUUAGUUUCACUCCAAAUCUCAAGCACAUAGAUGCUUCAAGUUGCAAAGAGGCUUGCACAAAGAAUUGUUCAUGCAAGGCAGCUAUAUUCCAGUAUGAAUCGAAUCGCACUAACGGCAGUUGUUACUUACCAACUCAAGUAUUUUCACUUAUGAACGUUGACGAGCAAACAGGUCUUUAUAAUUCUACUGCUUUCCUCAAAGUACAAAAUUUGACCAAUGAAACUCCUUAUACUCUAGUUGACAAUCAUAUGAACAACCGUCUCCCUGUAAUACUUGGGUCUAGCCUUGGAGCUCUCUUUACCAUGACGAUUUUGAUCGUAGCCAUAGUUUUGUUUGUUCAAAAGAGAGAUGAUAAUCAAGCAGAGGAGGAUUACCUUGAUCAAGUACCCGAAGUGCUUAAUAGAUUCGCAUACAACGAUCUGGAAACCAUCACAAACGGAUUCGAUAAAAAGCUCGGCGAAGGUGGUUUUGGUUCUGUUUUCGAAGGUACUCUAAGUGACGGCACAAAGGUUGCAGUGAAACGCCUAGAUGGUUUCAGGCAGGUUAAGAAAUCCUUUCUAGCCGAAGUUGAGACUAUUGGCAGAAUCCAUCACGUGAACUUGGUAAGACUCGUGGGAUUUUGCACUCAGAAAUCUCACAGGCUCCUUAUCUAUGAGUACAUGUCGAACGGGUCUCUAGAUAAAUGGAUCUUUCACAAAUCCAAUUGUGUUCUUGACUGGCAACAAAGGAAGAAGAUCAUUCUCGAUAUAGCAAAAGGACUCAAUUAUCUUCAUGAAGAGUGCAGACAGAAGAUAGUUCACUUAGACAUUAAACCCCAAAAUAUCCUCUUGGAUGGAAAUUUCAAUGCUAAGGUUGCUGACUUUGGAUUAUCCAAGUUGAUAGAUAGGGACCAAAGCCAAGUCAUCACAACUAUGAGAGGAACUCCUGGUUAUUUAGCCCCUGAGUGGCGCAGCGCAGUAAUCACAGAAAAGGUUGACGUGUAUAGCUUUGGCGUGGUAAUCUUGGAGAUAGUGUGUGGGAGAAAAAUCUUCGAUCGCUCUCUAGAUGAAGAAGACGUGUAUUUACUGAGCCUUUUUAAGAGAAAGGCAGAAGAGGAACAAUUGUUAGACAUUGUGGAUAAGUCUAGUGAUGACAUGCAACUAAAUGGACCACAUGCUGUGAGUAUGAUGAGGAUUGCCGCAUGGUGCUUGCAAGGAGACUAUAUGAAGAGGCCUUCCAUGUCCAUGGUCAUCAAGGCGUUAGAGGGCAUCGUGGAAGUUCAAGAAGACUUGGAUUAUGACUUCUCUGCUCAGCCUUCCACUAGUGGAACAGUGAGAUUCGGUCCCAUGGAUGUCGAAUUCAAUGCUACCACUGCAUUAUUACCCUCAAUCUUAAGCGGUCCACGAUGACGCGGCAAAUUUAUGGAAACUUUUCUUUGUAGAACAUGCAAGCGAUUGUAUUUUCAAUCUUUGAGGACUCCAGCUUGUUAUUCUCUGUUUUAGGCCCUGAAAAAAGAGUGGGAUGAUAUCAUUUCUCGUUUUUGCUUUGCCAAUGAGUGGACUUUGCCAUAACUUGGCGAAGGAUUGAGUUGGUUAAGAUGUUGCAAUUAAGUUUUAUUGCUUAUGUAGAAACUAAUCGUACUCAAGUUUGUUGUGUCCAAGUCAUCUAUGUAAAAUGCUGCUAAAAGACUAGUCAGCUACUUGUAAUGUCUUUUGGCAGCUUUACCAUGUCAUGGUUCCAAAUCUAAUUUGCUUUUUGGUUUCAACACCUAAUAUCUUUCGGAUUCAAUGACUUUACCUCCGUGACUUCCUCAUUUCAAAAUUAAUGAUCUAUUUUUUAGUCCAUUCUACGAGCGUACAAUUAAAACCGAUAAAGAUAACAGGAGAAUUUCAUCAUUGAUAAGUUCGAAUUUUUCCUUGUGACUCCUAAUACAUCCUAGGUUAAUAAUCUUAACUACCAGCUUUUUAAGGAUCUAUGGAGAUCGUUUCGAGGCAUACGUUUGCCAAAAAUAAAGAGCUGACAUGUUUGGGCAUUCAAGAUUCGACUUUCCAAUCUUAAAAAACGCUGAUCAUUCGCACUAACCUCGGCUUUUCCAGUCUUUAAUCAUCAUGAUCCAAGCGUGCUGAUCCAUCAAAUUUAUCCAGGGAUAAGAAGCUUGUCCGGGUCUUAUUUGGUCCCGAGCACAAUUAACGAAAGUUCAAAGCGAUCUGACAUGGCCCCCUGCCAUGCCGUGGCACCUCUUGAUUCUCUUGAUUCGAUCUGAUCGCAGCAGGUCAACAAACCAUAGCCCACGUGCAGCUCCAUUGGCCUGAGCUAUGUGUAACCUUUCGCAAAGUCCUCCCUCUUCCUGGCACAAACUCACUAGCGACGGAACUAUUUCUUCUUCUUCUUCUUCUUCUUCUUCCAGUUCCUCUGCAUUUGCGUCCUUCACCUUCUCCUCUUCUUGAAGUCUCCGAAUCAGAGUUGCCAUAGUAAGUCAUCGCAAAUUGCACAGCGAAACGAUAAUCAGUACAUAACAUCCCCAAAAAGUAUAAGACAAGACAAUAAAACUGAUGUGAUUAUAAAAAUAAAAAAUGUACGCCAGCAGAAAGAAGGCUGAGAGGAAGAAAGAAGACGACAUAUGGCCUAUGACUUCCUGAGACAUCUCGAGCAUUACAUAGGACCGUCUGCAAUGCAUAAGCAUCAGAAAUACAGCAUAUUUAAUAUCAACAGCCAGUGGUCCAUUUCUGUCUUUACAGUAGCCCAAACUGGAUCCAGCUUAUAAAAGAGGAGUUUACUCUUGUUGCACAGUGUCAGCUUGCCAUGCAAAAAAGCAGAAGUGUAAAGAGACACCGCAGCAUUCUUUUCUUCGCUUGUUUCCCCCUAAAAGAUGUCAAGGUAGUCUCCAUAUGGCUAUGAAGCUCAAAGUAAGAGACAAUUACAAAAUGCUGUAACAUUUGCUUCCUGAUAGUUUAUGCAACAGAUAUUGGACAAAUGGAGAGCUAGAAGUGCAUACAGCCACACACAGAGGGCUCAUUAAUUCAUUAACAUUAAGGAACAGAAUAUCAAGACAGAAAAAAUAUAAAUAUUAGAAAAUGCCAAGCCACACUAAAAAACCCUUGCUGUUUUAGUUAUGAGUGAAUCAAGGUUUACCGUGUAAGAUUUUGACUUAAUGACUACUUUUCCAUUUCUCUGGAGAAGUAAGCUGUUAAGCAACCUGAUAAUGGGAUUGACAAACUUCUUACAAGUUACAUAGAGUAUAACAAAAUUUCCAAAUACUGCUCACAUUUUCAGUCCCUGUAAGAUUGUUUACAUCUAUUCUCCAUGAGGAGCACAUAGUAUAAAUUACAUGUCUCUCCAAUAUUUACAAAACAACCAUAAAAAAGCCCACCAACAGAGCCAGGGUGAUCACUAUCUUUUCUUCAAGCAUGUGUGUUUACUAAUACAAACAGACGGAGAAACUCCUAGAAAGGCGGAGCCUUGUGAACAUGGUCAACUGGACUUCCUGGACACAACCAUCAUCAAGCUAAGAGAAAACGCUGCUGCAAAAUUAGUUUAGCCAAAAUCUGAUGAACAAUGGUUUGAGAAGUCAUAGCUAGACAAUCGGAUGUAUCCUACAAUCAGGACCACAUGCAUCUCCACAGAGGGUGAUAACUAUCUCAUCUCACAACAUCAGGCCCCUUGAUUUUGCAUUAAUGAUCACACCAAUGCAAAAGCCAAUUGCUCAUUGGAAACUCAAUUGGAUCUCACAAGGCCCUCUAAUAGGGAGCCCACCAGGAAAGCAUUAUUCCACUUCUUGUUAAAGGGUUACUAACUCCCAGUCCUCAACACUACAGGAGAGUAUCGCCACAACAAAUGGAACUUCCAUAGGAGUGCACGCAGAUCUGAAGGACCAGAGCCAGUCAGGAAAAUCCUCAUUGUAAUAAGCUUUCCUUCGAAUACCAGACAGUAGUAAUGUACAACUAGAACCCUGUGCAAUAAGUUGAGUUGUGGAGAUCUAUAUUGAACAGAGGAAAUUGAAAAAUCCUACUAUAAUAAAGAUCAAUUAAUAUCCCAGCAACCAGACCAUCGAAAAACCCUCCAAGGAAAAAGAGCACCAUAAAGUCCAGAAGAUGGGAUCACACAAUCAAAUUAGGUAGCUUCUUCAAUCACCUGAUAAAUCAAAAGAGGGCCUGCAUCGCCAUUUGCAGUUCAGAAUGUAUAAAGCAAAGGUUAUGACUAAGCUAAAACUAGUCACCAACAUCUAACUAAACAAAGCCCCUCUAAAAUAACUACCAAUUGAAGUAAAAUGAAGACUACAUAACCUGUUUUAUUCUGAAAAAUGAAGAGAAGGCUACAUAACCUCUUGAGCACCUGUAUUUAUCAACUCAAACAUGACUGAAAAGGGGACUCAAACGAGAAUUUCUCAGAGAGAGAGAGAGAGAGAGAGAGUCAUGUAGGAGGCUACCACACGAUCCAACAAUCCUCACCUGCAUAUGAAGACGUGUCCUUCCAAAUUCUCCAUAUAACAAAAGUCAAGCAAGGAAAAUCAUACCAUCCGUACCCAACAAAACCUGCACAACAGAAACAAGCAAACCCAGUCGAUGCCAAAAGUAAUUCAAUUUAACUCUAGGUCUCAAUGAUAUCAAGCCAUCAUGCUUGUAACAUUAGGGCUGGGAGGUACUAUAAGCCUAGUCUAUGCACUAGGACACCCUCUGUGAUUUUCUUUUCGAUGACUACCGUAUUUUUUGCAAUUUACAUUCAUCAGGCAUAAUGAAAACUAAAUCAAAUGUACACUAUCAUGUGCAUCAUAAAACAAUGAUUAAGUAAAAACUAUGUCCACUUGAAUUGACAUGAAAUUGGUACAUAACNNNNNNNNNNNNNNNNNNNNNNNNNNNNNNNNNNNNNNNNNNNNNNNNNNNNNNNNNNNNNNNNNNNNNNNNNNNNNNNNNNNNNNNNNNNNNNNNNNNNUGGUUGGUAAAUGUGCCUUCAGAUUUCUUAGAUAUUUUGACUGAUAAAUUAGAAGAGACAUUUCCUAUUUAUUUCUUAGAUUAGUUAUAGAUGUUUUUGGUGUAAAUAUCUCUUUUUAUGUUGAUGUUUUCCUCUGUAUAUAUUACUUAGUGUAGUGGAUAGUUGUAUUAUAUGAAAGCAUUAUUAUUCUAUUGGAUGUCAAAUAUUAUUUGCUUUCUGUUAAUUGUUGACUGCUAUGAGUAGUUCAUAGAAGUUUUUUGUAACUUCAUAGAAUUUAUUUUGCAUAAGACAAUUAUAUUAAUGAUAAUUUUAAGUUAAGAUUUUUGGAGGAUGAUUGGAAACAUAGUGACCUUUUGAUUCUGAAACCUUAUCUGAAAUUGUUCAUUGAUAUGAUGGGUCUGUGCAAAGUGGAUGCAUAAAUGAUAGGCAUUAAUUAUUUGUACAUAUAUGUCUGAUGUGUUCAGAUUGAUGGUUUCAGCAACUAAGAACGUAAUUGCUGAUAUGAACGACAACAAUUGUGAAAUAUUGAAUAUGAAGAUUCAAUAUGUGUUGGAAAAGCAAAAAGCACUAGAAGCUCUUGACCAUAUUAUGGAAGAUCUUGAGGAUGUCGUGCGCCACCUUGAGCUAGUAGAGGACCGCCUAACAGCAUUUGAGCCGAAAAUGGACAUUUGCAAUGCUGGUUCUAGCUCAGAAAGGGCUUUGAGCUCUAAGCGCAAGCGUAUUGAUUCGUUCAAUAUGUGGAAAUGCAAAGGAUCAAGUCCUUAUUACAAGAAAUCAAGAGUUAACCAACACAAGAGAGGAAAACGUCAUCAAGUGAAGAAAAUGUCAAUGGUGAGGUGUUACAAUUGUGACAAGAAAUGUCACUAUGCUCGCAACUGUUGUGAGCCGAAAAAGGUAAACAUCUUUUGUACAUUUGAGAACUUUGCUUAUGUGUCAAGUUCUGUAUUAUUGGCUGAAUCCAAUCAUUUGUGGACUGUAGAUUCAGGAGCGACAGACCAUAUAGUGAAGGAUAGAGAAUCCUUCGUGGAAUUCCGACGAUUCCAACUGGAACUAAGUGGAUCUAUGUAGGAAAUCACUCCAGAGCUGAAGUUAGAAGGAUUGGCACAUGCCAAUUGAACAUGCGUGGUGGACGCACCUUGUUCCUACAUGAUAUUCUAUAUGCUCUGGAGAUUCGUCGAAAUUUAGUGUAUGUUUUGGUAUUGGUUAAACUUGGUUUUUAAUAUUAACUUCCAUAAUAGAGGUGUGGAUUUGUAUUUGGAUACAAGCUACUAUGGUUGUGGUUAUUUUCUGGAUGGUUUCAUUGUAUUAGAUAUUGACUAUGUCAAUGCAAAUGUUUGUAUUCCCUUCUCAUUCUCCUACUCAUAUGAUAUGAUGUGGAGUGGGUGGGCAUGCUAGACUUUGUCAUAUUNNNNNNNNNNNNNNNNNNNNNNNNNNNNNNNNNNNNNNNNNNNNNNNNNNNNNNNNNNNNNNNNNNNNNNNNNNNNNNNNNNNNNNNNNNNNNNNNNNNNNNNNNNNNNNNNNNNNNNNNNNNNNNNNNNNNNNNNNNNNNNNNNNNNNNNNNNNNNNNNNNNNNNNNNNNNNNNNNNNNNNNNNNNNNNNNNNNNNNNNNNNNNNNNNNNNNNNNNNNNNNNNNNNNNNNNNNNNNNNNNNNNNNNNNNNNNNNNNNNNNNNNNNNNNNNNNNNNNNNNNNNNNNNNNNNNNNNNNNNNNNNNNNNNNNNNNNNNNNNNNNNNNNNNNNNNNNNNNNNNNNNNNNNNNNNNNNNNNNNNNNNNNNNNNNNNNNNNNNNNNNNNNNNNNNNNNNNNNNNNNNNNNNNNNNNNNNNNNNNNNNNNNNNNNNNNNNNNNNNNNNNNNNNNNNNNNNNNNNNNNNNNNNNNNNNNNNNNNNNNNNNNNNNNNNNNNNNNNNNNNNNNNNNNNNNNNNNNNNNNNNNNNNNNNNNNNNNNNNNNNNNNNNNNNNNNNNNNNNNNNNNNNNNNNNNNNNNNNNNNNNNNNNNNNNNNNNNNNNNNNNNNNNNNNNNNNNNNNNNNNNNNNNNNNNNNNNNNNNNNNNNNNNNNNNNNNNNNNNNNNNNNNNNNNNNNNNNNNNNNNNNNNNNNNNNNNNNNNNNNNNNNNNNNNNNNNNNNNNNNNNNNNNNNNNNNNNNNNNNNNNNNNNNNNNNNNNNNNNNNNNNNNNNNNNNNNNNNNNNNNNNNNNNNNNNNNNNNNNNNNNNNNNNNNNNNNNNNNNNNNNNNNNNNNNNNNNNNNNNNNNNNNNNNNNNNNNNNNNNNNNNNNNNNNNNNNNNNNNNNNNNNNNNNNNNNNNNNNNNNNNNNNNNNNNNNNNNNNNNNNNNNNNNNNNNNNNNNNNNNNNNNNNNNNNNNNNNNNNNNNNNNNNNNNNNNNNNNNNNNNNNNNNNNNNNNNNNNNNNNNNNNNNNNNNNNNNNNNNNNNNNNNNNNNNNNNNNNNNNNNNNNNNNNNNNNNNNNNNNNNNNNNNNNNNNNNNNNNNNNNNNNNNNNNNNNNNNNNNNNNNNNNNNNNNNNNNNNNNNNNNNNNNNNNNNNNNNNNNNNNNNNNNNNNNNNNNNNNNNNNNNNNNNNNNNNNNNNNNNNNNNNNNNNNNNNNNNNNNNNNNNNNNNNNNNNNNNNNNNNNNNNNNNNNNNNNNNNNNNNNNNNNNNNNNNNNNNNNNNNNNNNNNNNNNNNNNNNNNNNNNNNNNNNNNNNNNNNNNNNNNNNNNNNNNNNNNNNNNNNNNNNNNNNNNNNNNNNNNNNNNNNNNNNNNNNNNNNNNNNNNNNNNNNNNNNNNNNNNNNNNNNNNNNNNNNNNNNNNNNNNNNNNNNNNNNNNNNNNNNNNNNNNNNNNNNNNNNNNNNNNNNNNNNNNNNNNNNNNNNNNNNNNNNNNNNNNNNNNNNNNNNNNNNNNNNNNNNNNNNNNNNNNNNNNNNNNNNNNNNNNNNNNNNNNNNNNNNNNNNNNNNNNNNNNNNNNNNNNNNNNNNNNNNNNNNNNNNNNNNNNNNNNNNNNNNNNNNNNNNNNNNNNNNNNNNNNNNNNNNNNNNNNNNNNNNNNNNNNNNNNNNNNNNNNNNNNNNNNNNNNNNNNNNNNNNNNNNNNNNNNNNNNNNNNNNNNNNNNNNNNNNNNNNNNNNNNNNNNNNNNNNNNNNNNNNNNNNNNNNNNNNNNNNNNNNNNNNNNNNNNNNNNNNNNNNNNNNNNNNNNNNNNNNNNNNNNNNNNNNNNNNNNNNNNNNNNNNNNNNNNNNNNNNNNNNNNNNNNNNNNNNNNNNNNNNNNNNNNNNNNNNNNNNNNNNNNNNNNNNNNNNNNNNNNNNNNNNNNNNNNNNNNNNNNNNNNNNNNNNNNNNNNNNNNNNNNNNNNNNNNNNNNNNNNNNNNNNNNNNNNNNNNNNNNNNNNNNNNNNNNNNNNNNNNNNNNNNNNNNNNNNNNNNNNNNNNNNNNNNNNNNNNNNNNNNNNNNNNNNNNNNNNNNNNNNNNNNNNNNNNNNNNNNNNNNNNNNNNNNNNNNNNNNNNNNNNNNNNNNNNNNNNNNNNNNNNNNNNNNNNNNNNNNNNNNNNNNNNNNNNNNNNNNNNNNNNNNNNNNNNNNNNNNNNNNNNNNNNNNNNNNNNNNNNNNNNNNNNNNNNNNNNNNNNNNNNNNNNNNNNNNNNNNNNNNNNNNNNNNNNNNNNNNNNNNNNNNNNNNNNNNNNNNNNNNNNNNNNNNNNNNNNNNNNNNNNNNNNNNNNNNNNNNNNNNNNNNNNNNNNNNNNNNNNNNNNNNNNNNNNNNNNNNNNNNNNNNNNNNNNNNNNNNNNNNNNNNNNNNNNNNNNNNNNNNNNNNNNNNNNNNNNNNNNNNNNNNNNNNNNNNNNNNNNNNNNNNNNNNNNNNNNNNNNNNNNNNNNNNNNNNNNNNNNNNNNNNNNNNNNNNNNNNNNNNNNNNNNNNNNNNNNNNNNNNNNNNNNNNNNNNNNNNNNNNNNNNNNNNNNNNNNNNNNNNNNNNNNNNNNNNNNNNNNNNNNNNNNNNNNNNNNNNNNNNNNNNNNNNNNNNNNNNNNNNNNNNNNNNNNNNNNNNNNNNNNNNNNNNNNNNNNNNNNNNNNNNNNNNNNNNNNNNNNNNNNNNNNNNNNNNNNNNNNNNNNNNNNNNNNNNNNNNNNNNNNNNNNNNNNNNNNNNNNNNNNNNNNNNNNNNNNNNNNNNNNNNNNNNNNNNNNNNNNNNNNNNNNNNNNNNNNNNNNNNNNNNNNNNNNNNNNNNNNNNNNNNNNNNNNNNNNNNNNNNNNNNNNNNNNNNNNNNNNNNNNNNNNNNNNNNNNNNNNNNNNNNNNNNNNNNNNNNNNNNNNNNNNNNNNNNNNNNNNNNNNNNNNNNNNNNNNNNNNNNNNNNNNNNNNNNNNNNNNNNNNNNNNNNNNNNNNNNNNNNNNNNNNNNNNNNNNNNNNNNNNNNNNNNNNNNNNNNNNNNNNNNNNNNNNNNNNNNNNNNNNNNNNNNNNNNNNNNNNNNNNNNNNNNNNNNNNNNNNNNNNNNNNNNNNNNNNNNNNNNNNNNNNNNNNNNNNNNNNNNNNNNNNNNNNNNNNNNNNNNNNNNNNNNNNNNNNNNNNNNNNNNNNNNNNNNNNNNNNNNNNNNNNNNNNNNNNNNNNNNNNNNNNNNNNNNNNNNNNNNNNNNNNNNNNNNNNNNNNNNNNNNNNNNNNNNNNNNNNNNNNNNNNNNNNNNNNNNNNNNNNNNNNNNNNNNNNNNNNNNNNNNNNNNNNNNNNNNNNNNNNNNNNNNNNNNNNNNNNNNNNNNNNNNNNNNNNNNNNNNNNNNNNNNNNNNNNNNNNNNNNNNNNNNNNNNNNNNNNNNNNNNNNNNNNNNNNNNNNNNNNNNNNNNNNNNNNNNNNNNNNNNNNNNNNNNNNNNNNNNNNNNNNNNNNNNNNNNNNNNNNNNNNNNNNNNNNNNNNNNNNNNNNNNNNNNNNNNNNNNNNNNNNNNNNNNNNNNNNNNNNNNNNNNNNNNNNNNNNNNNNNNNNNNNNNNNNNNNNNNNNNNNNNNNNNNNNNNNNNNNNNNNNNNNNNNNNNNNNNNNNNNNNNNNNNNNNNNNNNNNNNNNNNNNNNNNNNNNNNNNNNNNNNNNNNNNNNNNNNNNNNNNNNNNNNNNNNNNNNNNNNNNNNNNNNNNNNNNNNNNNNNNNNNNNNNNNNNNNNNNNNNNNNNNNNNNNNNNNNNNNNNNNNNNNNNNNNNNNNNNNNNNNNNNNNNNNNNNNNNNNNNNNNNNNNNNNNNNNNNNNNNNNNNNNNNNNNNNNNNNNNNNNNNNNNNNNNNNNNNNNNNNNNNNNNNNNNNNNNNNNNNNNNNNNNNNNNNNNNNNNNNNNNNNNNNNNNNNNNNNNNNNNNNNNNNNNNNNNNNNNNNNNNNNNNNNNNNNNNNNNNNNNNNNNNNNNNNNNNNNNNNNNNNNNNNNNNNNNNNNNNNNNNNNNNNNNNNNNNNNNNNNNNNNNNNNNNNNNNNNNNNNNNNNNNNNNNNNNNNNNNNNNNNNNNNNNNNNNNNNNNNNNNNNNNNNNNNNNNNNNNNNNNNNNNNNNNNNNNNNNNNNNNNNNNNNNNNNNNNNNNNNNNNNNNNNNNNNNNNNNNNNNNNNNNNNNNNNNNNNNNNNNNNNNNNNNNNNNNNNNNNNNNNNNNNNNNNNNNNNNNNNNNNNNNNNNNNNNNNNNNNNNNNNNNNNNNNNNNNNNNNNNNNNNNNNNNNNNNNNNNNNNNNNNNNNNNNNNNNNNNNNNNNNNNNNNNNNNNNNNNNNNNNNNNNNNNNNNNNNNNNNNNNNNNNNNNNNNNNNNNNNNNNNNNNNNNNNNNNNNNNNNNNNNNNNNNNNNNNNNNNNNNNNNNNNNNNNNNNNNNNNNNNNNNNNNNNNNNNNNNNNNNGGUACUCUUACUUCUCUCUUCAUGUUUUCCUUUAAUAACGGUGGACAGUCUUUGCUGAAGAAUAUCCCUGAUUUAUUUAAGUUGACAGCUUGUCCUGAAGUAUAACAAUAUUGGUUAAUGACAGAUUUUUUUUCCGACUCUCAUAAUCAAAACAUAUCAAAUUUAUUAGCUCUUGAGAACUGAACUCCACUUCCACCUCCAUUUGCUCAUCCCAUAAUACCGCCAUCCCCCCCCCCCCCCCCCCCNNNNNNNNNNNNNNNNNNNNNNNNNNNNNNNNNNNNNNNNNNNNNNNNNNNNNNNNNNNNNNNNNNNNNNNNNNNNNNNNNNNNNNNNNNNNNNNNNNNNGUUUAGAGUAUAGAGCUAGGAGAAAGAUGAAACAACAAGGUAAAGGGUUCUAAAUAGCAACUUCCAUGACCAAUAAAGUACCGACAGACACUGUUAGAAUCGCUAUCCACGCGACAAAAUAGGAUCAACCGACCUCAACCGAGCGAUCACCAACUCAGUGGGAGGAAAAACUUCUUAUGAUGAAUGAAACGAUCGAUCAAAGUGGGAGCGACGAUCGAUCAAUGCGAGUUAAAAAGAGCUUCUGCAGGCAGAGAGUACCUUCGGGGUCGAUUCGAUCACCGGUCGGCCGCUGCGCCGAGGAACAAUGACCGAGAGCCAGAGCAAGUGAGCGAGGAAGCAGUUGGCGUGCGUUGCAGGGAUGACAAUUUAAAAAACAAAGAGGAGAAAAUGUGUUUGCUCUGCCCAGACGUUACUUGUAUUCGCUCUUCCGGGAUAAGUAUCCGAAUACCUUUCUGCUCUUUAAUAAUUAGUGAAUCCUUUUUUUUUUUUUUUGGUCCCAUAUAAUUGGUGAAUUAGAUUGGAUUAUAUUAGAUUAGGAGAUUUUGUAACAUAGCUCACGCUCUUUACCAAGAAAAAAAUCAUAUGGAUUUUCACUAUUUUCAUAAGAAUAGCUUACACAACCAUUGACAUCAAUAUAUUAGAGAAUUCAGUUGACUAAUCUUAGAAAACGAGAUAAAAUUAAAUGCAAAGAAAUAUGAUGAAGAAGGUGACAGAGUUAAUUUUUAAGUAGGAAAAAAAUGAUGAGUUGAUUUUAUUUUUAAUGAAGAAAUGGGCAGGGAGGGGUGAUCACCGAGCGGCUCCUCUUGUUGAUUGUGAUGUGUAUUAUAUGGGUGUCAUAUUAUGUACGGCGAAGGUAAGGGUAUAUUUUCGAACUUGAACUCGUACUUGAUAUUAACAAACUUUAUUUUGAUUUAUGGUCAUAUUAAUGAAUAUCCUAGGUACUUGUUAAAUAUUUUUAUUAAGGGGAUCUUCGAUCUUCAAAAUGUAAUUGGGUAUAUUACGAUGGCAAUCAACAUAUAGGAAGUCAUGAAUUUUUUUUAUUUUAUUUAGUUGCUUAGUAAGUGUUUUGGAGGCACUUUUAAAGUAAAUCUUUCUUAUAUUGGGUCUUUAUGCUCCUUAAAAAAAUAAAAGACUUCACUACUUCAGCUCAGAGUUAGUAAGUUCUUCGAGAGGAAAAACCUAGUGAAAAUUUCCAAGUAUUAUGCAAAGAAUGCAAUAAACUAGUAAACUUUUCGAUUUGGUAUGAUCAAUUUCUAAAUCUUUUAUGAAAAAAAAAGUUCAACAAAAUCCUCCCAUAGGAAUUUUGCCAUUGUUACUAUAAAAAACCACUUAAGUGCGCGUGCGUCGAAUCAAAAAAGGCAUAACCCGGAAAAAAAAAAUCUGGUACUCUUUCCAAUAAAAAAUAAUUUCAUGAUUCAACUCAACCUAAAUUUAGAGCAUGAUUGCAUUUUUCAUUUAACAUAUUGGACCUGGUAUCUUUUUUCCCCUCUCGUUUUCUGUCUUCGUGUUGUACCAAUUUUGAGUACAAAGAGGAAGGAAGAAGAAAGAAAGGCAGGUGGAUGAGUCACGCAUAGGUCGGUGUGACAAAGGGAAGAUUAGGCUAGACACCACCGGUCGGACCGGUUGGUUUUAGCCUUCUUCUUUUCUUUCUUACUUUUGGUGCGUAUGGACAAAGACGCGUUCUUCGUUUCUUGUUUGACGGGGUGCAAGUCUCUUCUUCCAAGCCAAACCACCAAAAAAAUAAAAAAUAAAAUAAAAUAAAAAUAAAGAAAUAGUUGCAAGAUCACGCUUGACUACAGUCCGUUCACAUUAUUGUAAGGACUUCCUGUGCAAUUUUCCUAUUUUGCUUUCAUCUUGACUCAAAGUUGACUGUCGGCCUCUCAUUUGCAUCUUCUUUCCUCCUCUCUUCCUCUCUUCCAUUUCUCAAUCAUCUCUUUGCUUAGAGUUUCACUGCAGGCCAUGGUUUCAUUCUGUGGUCUCCCUUCUUUCUUCCUUUCGUUUUCCUUCGUUUUGCUAUCGCCAUUCUCAAACUUCAUUGGCGCUCAAGAUCAAGAUUAUGAUUAUCCAAUUGCCACGCUUUCAAAACGGUGGACAAAUAACACAACAGCUAGGGACUUCCCCCGACAUAGAGAUGGAUCGAUCGUGCAGGCAAUUCUUCUCCGAGCCAAAGAAGCUAAUAGCCCUGCCUUUGCCUGCGGCUUCUACUGUAAUGGUAACUGCAACUCUUACCUCUUUGCCAUUUUCAUCGUCCAAGUUGAUGAUAGUAUCGGCUCAAUUGCUUUGGCUAGUCCACAAGUAGUGUGGUCUGCCAACCGAAACAAUCCUGUAAAAAUCGGCGCCUCAUUGGACCUCACGUCUGAAGGCAACUUGGUGUUGAAAGAUGUUGAUGGUACGAUUGCUUGGUCCACAAACACUUCCGGAAAGUCCGUUGUAGGCUUGAACUUGACAUAUUUGGGGAACCUCGUGUUGUUUAAUGACAAUGAAAUUGUUUGGCAGUCCUUUGAUCACCCAACCGACUCACUUGUCCUAGGACAAAAGUUGAGGGCUGGACAAAGAUUAAUGCCGAGUGUUUCCGAGACAAAUUGGACCAUUGAUAGUAUGAUUACGCUUUUUGUGAAUGGUGAUGGUUUAUUUGCUCAAGUGGAGACUAAUCCUCCUCAGAUUUAUUUCAAAUUAAGUGGUCAAAAUUUGAAUGCAAGUAUCGAGUUUCCAUAUGUUGAAUUGGUAAACGGAAGCUUGUCUUGGUUCUCAAAUUCUACCUUGAAUAUGAGCUUGAUUUCAGUCCCUCAAACAUCUUCUGCACAAUUCAUAAAGCUGGGCUCGGAUGGGCAUUUGAAAAUGUAUGAUAGGUUUUAUGGGCUUGAAAAAGAACUUUUCGAAGCAGUUCUUAAAGACUGACUAUCCGACAGCGUGUGGCCAAUAUGGAAUUUGCUCCAAUGGUCAAUGUAGUUGUCCAACUUUGAGUGGGCAGACGAUCUAUUUCCGGCAAGUAGAUGAUCAGCAGCCUCAUCUUGGGUGUUCCGAAAAUGUUCCAUUGUCUUGUGGGGCUUCACAUCAACAAAUUCUUCUGGAGCUCGAAAAUAUCACGUCUCUUAGUUUCACUCCAGAUCUCACGCACAAAGAUGCUUCAAGUUGUAAAGAGGCCUGUGCAAAGAAUUGUUCAUGCAAAGCAGCUAUAUUCCAGUAUGAAAGGAAUCACACUAAUGGCAGUUGUUACUAACUCAGUCUUUUCACUUGCAAAUGUUGCCGAGUAUGGUUAUAUAAGUUAUACUACUUUCCUUAACGUACAAAUUUGCCUAAUGAAGCUCUUAUACUCCGAUUGACAAUCGUAUGAGUAGCCAUCUCCCUACAAUACUUGGGUCCAGCCUCGGAGCUCUCUGUCGUGAUGAUUUUCAUCGUAGCCAUAGUUUUAUUUAUUCAAAAGAGAGAUGACAAUCAAACAGAGGAAGAUUACCUUGAUCAAGCACCUGGAAUGCUCAAUAGAUUUGCGUACGGCAAUCUAAAAACCAUCACAAAUGAAUUCAGUAAAAAGCUUGGCGAAGGUGGUUUUGGUUCUGUUUUCGAAGGCACUCUAAGCGACGGCACAAAAGUUGCAGUAAAACGCCUUGAUGGUUUUGGGCAAGUUAAGAAAUCCUUUCUAGUUGAAGUAGAGACAAUCGGCAGCAUCCAUCAUGUAAACUUGGUAAGACUCGUGGGAUUUUGCACUGAGAAAUCUCAAAGGUUCCUUAUCUAUGAAUACAUGUCAAAUGGGUCACUAGAUAGAUGGAUCUUUCACAAAUCCAGUGAAUGUAUUCUCGACUGGCAACAAAGGAAGAAUAUCAUUCUCGAUAUAGCAAAAGGCCUUAAUUAUCUUCAUGAAGAGUGCAGACAGAAGAAGCAGGCUAUUAAGUAACCUGGUAAUGGAAUUGACAAACUUACAUAGAGAAUAACGAAAUUUCCAAAUACCGCACACAUUUUCAUUCCCUGUAAGAUUGGUACAUCUAUUCUCCGUGAGAAGCACAUAGUAUUAACUACGUGUCUCUCCAAUAUUGACAAAACAACCAUCAAAAAGCCCACCAGCAGAGUCAGGGUGGUCACUAUCUUUUCUGCAAGCGUGUGUUCACUAAUACAAAGAGACAGAGAAACUCCUAGAAAGGGGGAGCCUUGUGAACAUGGUCAACUGGACUUCCUUUAUACAACCAUCGUCAAGCUAAUAGAAAACGCCCCUGCAAGAUUAGUUUAAGUCAAAAUCUGAUGAACCGUUAGACCCAAUGUUCUGAGAAGUCCUAGCUAAACAAUAGGAUAUAUCCUACAAUCAAGACCAUAUGCAUCUCCUUAGAGGGCGAUAAGUAUCUCAUCUCACAACGUCAGGCCCCUUGAUUUUGAAUUAAUGAUCAAACUGAUGCAAAAGCCAAUUGCUCAUUGGAAACUCAAUUGGAUCUCACGAGGCCCUCUAACAGGGAGCAUGCCGGGAAAGCAUUAUUCCACUUCUUGUUAAAGGAUUACUAACUCCCAGUCCUCAACACUACAGGAGAGUGUCGCCACAAUAAGUGGAACUUCCAUAGGAGUGCACACAGAUCUGAAGGACCAGGGCUAGUCAGCAAAAUCCUCAUUGUCAUUGUCAUAGGCUUUCCUUUGAAUAGCAGACAGUAGUAAUGUACAACUAGAACCCUGUGGAGAAGUUAAGUGGAGUUGUGGAGAUCUAUAUUGAUCAAAGGAAAUCGGAAAGUCCUACUACAAUAAAGAUCAAUUGAUAUCCCAAGAACCAGACCAGUGAAAAACACUCCAAGGAAGCAGGGCACCAUAAAGUCCAGAAGAUGGGAUCACACAAUCAAAUUAGGUAGCUUCUCCAAUCACCUGAUAAAUCAAAAAAGGGCCUGCAUCGCCAUUGGCAGUUCAGAAUGUAUAUAGCAAAGGCCAUGACUAAGCUAAAACUAGUCAUCAACAUCUAACUAAACAAAGCGCCUCUAAAAUAAUUACCAAGAAAGCUACAUAACCUGUUUUAUUCUGAAAAAUGAAGAGAAGGCUACGUAACCUCUUGAGCACCUGUAUUUAUCAACUCAAACAUGACUGAAAAGGGGNNNNNNNNNNNNNNNNNNNNNNNNNNNNNNNNNNNNNNNNNNNNNNNNNNNNNNNNNNNNNNNNNNNNNNNNNNNNNNNNNNNNNNNNNNNNNNNNNNNNUGUCUAUUCCAUAUACUCCUCAACAAAAUGGUGUUGUGGAAAGAAAAAACAGAACCCCACUGGAAAUGGUUAGGUCCAUGAUGGCGCAUACUAACUUACCUAUCACUUUUUGGAGUGAUGCGUUAUUAACAGCUGCCUAUAUACUUAACCGGGUGCCUUCCAAAUCAGUUACUUCCACUCCAUAUGAGUUAUGGAUAGGUAGAAAACCGGACUUAAGUUUUCUUAAGCCAUGGGGUUGUGCUGCCUAUACUCAUGAGUCCUCUCACAAAUUUGGGAAAUUGGGUCCCAAAAGAAAUAAGAGUAUUUUCAUAAGAUACUCCGAAUACUCGAAAGGGUAUGUGUUCAUAGGUGAGUAGAAAAGUGGGAGUAUAACUUAAUUUGAAUCACGAGAUGUCACAUUCUUAGAGAAUGAAUUUUUUAAGAAGGGCGAAAUAGGGGAAGAUUACUCCUUAUUUGUAAUCUUGGAUCAAGAUAAUGAUAUUAGUGGAGUUCGUCCAAGUGGGAGUAAUAUGAGAAGUGAUGAAUUGAAUUCAACUCAUUCUCAAUUGCAACCACAUGAUGAGACGACGUCAUCAUUAUCUAAUCCUAGUGGGAGCAUAAUGGGAAAUGAUGUGCUAAGUGUACAAUCUCCCAUACGGCGAACAAGUCGCCAAAGUAUUCCCCGUCGACGUUUUGACAUUGAAGGUGAAACUUUUAUGAUUGCUCUGUAAGAUGAGGAUGAGCCAAGAAAUAUUAAUGAGGCUCUAAAUUGCCCUAGUAAGGAAAAAUGGAUUCAUGCAAUGGAAGAGGAAAUUGAGUCAAUGAAGUCAAACCAUGUUUGGGAACUGGUUGAUCUUCCAAAAGGACACAAAGCUAUUGGGAACAAAUGGGUUCUCAAAAUAAAGUGAAAAGCUGAUGGCUCGAUAGAAAGGCAUAAGGCUCGCAUUGUGGCGAAGGGGUAUAAUCAACAGGAAGGAAUUGAUUAUGAAAAAAUAUUUUCUCCUGUAGUGAGAUUUACCUCGAUUCGCAUUAUUUUGGCAAUAGUGGCUAGUAUAGAUCUUGAGUUACAUCAAAUGGAUUUAAAGACUGCUUUCCUCAAUGGAGAAUUAGAGGAAUAAAUAUAUAUGGAACAACCUGCUGGUUUCAUUAUAGAAGGCCAAGAAGGAAAGGUAUGUCGACUUUUGAGAUCGAUAUACGGCCUUAAGCAGUCAUCGAGACAAUGGUAUAUAAGUUUUCAUAAUGCCAUAAUGGCAUAUGAUUUUACAAUGAUAGAUGAGGAUCAUUGUGUAUAUAUCAAAAGAUCCAGAGAUCAAUUUGUGAUUAUAUCAUUAUAUAUUGAUGAUAUACUAAUUGCUGGAAGUAAUAUGAAGUUUGUUAAUACUAUCAAGAGUUGGUUGUCUUCCAACUUUGAGAUGAAGGAUAUGGGUGAGGCUGCAUACAUUCUUGGAGUUAAAAUUUCAAGAGAUCGUUCGAAGAGAUCGUUAUCUUUUUUCGCAAGAAACAUAUAUAAAUAAGGUUCUUGAACGAUUUCGUAUGCAAGAUUGUAAACCCAUAGGCACUCCUAUUGCAAAAGGUGAAGGAUUGAGCCAUAGACUGUAUCCAAGGACUCCACAAGAGAAGGAACAAAUGAAACAUGUUCCUUAUGCUAGUGCUGUUGGAAAGCUUGAUGUACGCUAUGAUGUGUACAAGACCUGACAUAUGUUUUGCAAUUGGAAUGGUGAGAAAAUACCAAUCCAAUCCAGGUCAAGCACAUUGGAAAGCCGUUAAGAGAAUACUAAGGUAUCUAAAGGGAAUUGCUGAUUAUACGCUGAGUUAUUAAGGAAAUGAUCUGCGACUCUAAGGCUAUUCUGAUGCUGAUUGGGGAGGAGAUUUAGAUGAAAGAAAAUCUACCUCUGGGUUUGUUUUCUUACCGAAUAAUGGUGCCAUAUGUUGGAGCAAUAAGAAAUAAACUUGUAUAGCCUUGUCCACGAUGGAAGUUGAGUUCGUGGCAUUAUCAGCAGCAGUAUAAGAAGGUGUUUGGCUUAAGAGAUUUUUGGAUCAUUUAGGUGUUAUUGGAAGUGUUGUAGAUUCAUUGUUGGUUAACUGUGAUAGCCAAGCAGCAAAAGCGUACACCAAAGAUCCAAAAUAUCAUGGCAAGACCAAACAUAUAGAUACCAAGUAUAAUCUUGUCAAAGAUAUGAUUGCACGAAAAGAUGUGAACUUAUAGUACAUAUUAUGCAUAGAAUGGUAACAGAUCCUAUGACAAAGCCAAUACCUAGAGAUGUUUUUUGUGGCCAUAUGAAAUCUCUAGGAUUGCGUAGAGGCUGAUGUACUGAAUAUUGUAAUUUCCCUAAGUGUUCACAUUUGAUGAAUUUGUGUUUUUCAUCAUUAAUGCCUAUGAAUCUUUAUUUGAUCUUUAUGCAUCUUAAUGCUCAGUGCAUUAUUUUAAGUUGAGAAAGUAUGUCGGACAUAUAUAAGAUUAGCCCACUCACACAGGUAAUCGCCUCUAUUUACUGUGUGAUAAAUAGAGAUGUGACUAUUUUUAAGCUUAUUAUCUAGGUGAUAAUCGAGAGCUCAAGCUUAAAAUACAUAAGUCGCCUUAACUGAGUGUUAAGAUGAGGACAUAAUACUUAUUAUGUCCGAAAGUAAAAUAACCCACAUAUUUUACUUUAUCUGUCUAUGAUGCCAGAUGUGAGUUCUGAUGAAUUUUGUGAAUGAGUAGAUACGUGAACUCAAGUUAGACAUUGGGUAUGUCUGAACUAUCAUCUAUACGGUAUUGAAGGUGUAAACAUACCCUCCAUGGGAAAGGAGUUAAUACCGUAAUACGUAUUUCAUACUACGUAUGCAUGAGACGACCAAUAAGAGUAGCAAAAGUUUGAUCUCAACUUUUAUGCCGUGUGAGACUCUCGAGGAAAGGAGUUCCUCAAUAUUUUAGUGCCCUCAUGACUCUACUUAUUCUCAAGAUUUCUAUUUAGUGUUUGCUAUCUUAGAAUGUUGCCAAUGGUUAUGAGUUGAUUCGAUCUAAUGGGACAUUUCUAGAAUAGCAAGCUAAACUGAAAUUUGAGAGUUUGAAGGAAGAGGAGAUCGAAUUUGGAGAUCACAUGUAAUUUUUAUUCACUGGUUAACCAAUUAUGACUGUUCUUUGGGAUAAUCAUAAUUGUGAAUACAAUAUAUAUAUAUAUAUAUAUAUAUAUAUAUAUAUAUCAUUGUUUAAAAGAGAUCAAGAGAGAUAUAAAUGUGAUCGAUCGAUCUAGGGAACUGCAUACUAAAUCUACUCAGGAUGUGAUGCCCAUUAUGAGCUGCUAUAUAUUCCUAACAGAUGUAUGGCAACGAGCUCUCAAAGUAUGAUGGUCGCACGGAUUAUUCACCUGUAUGAAUGUUGAAGAGAGGUAAAGAGAAUCCUGUUCGGCCCACCAUGUGCGAGUGGGAGAUGAUGGUUUUAUUAAUAUUGUGAUGGGCCUAAGUUGGCCCGUCCGCCCAUGUUGGGCCUAAAAGCCUAGCCCACAAAAUUAGGGCCCAUGAAUGGAGGGAUACGUUGAAGAGUUGUAACUUUUGGGAGGACGUCUUUUGCUGAAGGGACAUGUCUUUUGGAGAAGACGUAUUUAAGGGGAGAAAAGAAAAAAAGAAAAGGCACCUUUUGGACGUACGCGCACUUUUUCUUUUCCCCUCUCCCAAAAACCAACGUAAGUUUUCUCCCCUUUUGAACCAACAGUAGGCUCCUUGGUAGACCGGGAUCAGAUUCUUCCUUGAUCUUCAGCAUUGGUAUUUAAUCUGUGGCUAACAAGGUACGCUCGAUUCCGUGGUGUGCUUUAGGAUCGGUGAUACAUGUUCUUUCUGGGCUCGUCUUCCGCAUUCGUUUUAAGGGUUCGAUUUAGUGUCGAAUCCGAUUUUUUUGGAAUCCGACAAUCCCAACGAUAUUUUCCCCAACCUAAUUUUGUGUCAUAAAAGACCACAAAUGUUACUCCUAAUCCAAUCUACCUUCUAUAAAAUGUGUAGAUUUUUCACGCCGAAUCUAUCAUUCUCCAUGUCAAGUCUAUCUUGCAGUUAUCUAUUGUUGUGUUGACAUGCAUGCAUUUUAACAUAAUAUUAAACUUAAUACUGAUUGAUGGUAGAUUUGCGUCAGAGAUACCAAUUUGGUAUAUUUUGUGACACGAAAAAUAAAUUUAGGGUAAAUGUGUCAUGGAGUGCUAGUUUAGGAUUUUUAUGAGACAAAAGCCAAUUUGGGAUAAAGGUGUCAUGAGAGUAGAAUUUGGGAUAUUUAAUAGUAUUAGCACUAGUUAUGUUUAGAGACAGUUCCUUAAGGAAGAACUUGAUCUAAUAUAUUUAAAUAAAUAGGGAAGUCAUCGGGGUGAAGCUUCAUAGGAAGAAAAUUUCUUUCUUGGAUUUGGGUCCACCGAUUUGAGUUCAACAAUUUCUCUAGACGACCAUCUUCCAUCAUUUUGAGGUGAUGGUGCAUUGCAUGCUUCAAGACAAUUCCCUGCUUCGAAUGAGUUUAGAUUUAGGAUUGUAGGCAUUAGAGUGACUAAAUAUAACUUUGAAAGGAUAAACGUAAAUGAAAAAACAAGCCCUGGGAGCAAAAGAUAUUUUCGCUGUACAUAACAAUACAUGAAAUCCUCAAUCUUGGAACCUUAUGACUCAAUUCCAAGGCCAGAGUUUCUAGUUCUAGCAAGUAAUGUCACAAACCGUUGAGAAUUGAACCAUGAUUUUUAACAUGAACAAAUAACAGCAUAAGCACAAAAACAAGGAGACAUUGCGAAACCACUAGUGAAGAUUGCCACUGUAGCUAAAGAAAAUAAGCAAAAUUUGCAAUUACUAACACAAAUUUCUACAAAAAAAAAAAAAGAAGAAAAAAAAUCAUGCUCAACAUGAAUAGAAAAAUAUUGGAAAGAGAGGUGAGACCGAGGGCGGGUGUGAGAAAAUGCCACAUGAGGAAGAGAGCUUGAGGGUGGUAGGCAUGAUGGAACACGGUGUGAGGAAGAGAGCUCGAGGGCAGUGAGCAUGAGGGAAUGUGGCUUGAGACAUGGAAGAGGGAGAGUCGUGAGGCAUGAGAGAGGAGAGUGAAGAAAGAGAAGCGUUUGUAGGGUUUUUGCUCCAUAAAAAGGCAAAAAUGGAAUUACGUCUAAUAAAUGAUGGUGAGAUGGGAAGUUAAGAUAUUUUCAUUAAACCAACAAAGUAGAGUUUUGAAAAAGCUAAUUCUUAAGAAACCUCCAAUUUUUCAGUCUCUUAAAGGCAUUUGCAUAUGCUCAAAGGACUUUAGAGCCCUAAAGUCCAUUCUAAAUAUUGAACCAAACAGAGAAACUUGGGCUUAGGCUUUGCAUUGAAAAGCUCCAAGCCUUGAUGAUGAGACUUUGGGGCUGGAUUGAGCCUGGAUUCAGAAGAGCCGGAUUCGUGCAAGUUCAUCACAUCAAAAACCCUAAAGAAAUCCAGAUCCUGCAUGAAAGCUACAGGCCCAGACAAAAAGUUUUUGUAUUUGGUCCAAACCCGCUUGAUAGCAAAAGAUUUGUCCAAACCCGAUCAAAUAAUGAGUCGUCGAUUAGCAUCGGUCAUGGUGAAUCACUUCCACUUGUUCUGGUUUUAGGUCAGUCAUCGGCAAUCUUCUCUGUUUUCGACUUUAUUUGUUGCCCUGGCAAAAGGUGAUGGAAUUUUUUACCAGUGCCGUGCACGUGGGAUUGAGUGAAAAUGCGACCUCAUUUGCUGCGUCUUCCUCAAGACCGUAAUGGAACUUUUGACCAGUGCCGUGCACGUUGGAUUGAGUGAAAAUGCCCGACUUCAUUUGCUGCGUCUUCCUCGGGGACACGGAGGGCGGUCCACUUUCUCCCCAUCGGGGAAGCACUGGGACCACCUUUAUUCCUUUUUAAUUCUUUAAUCCGGGCUCUGUCAAAAGAGGGAAAAAAAUUCCAUUUUACCUCUGCUUUCUGUCUCACUCUCGGUCUCUCUCUCCCCGAGAGUGAUCGAUUCGAUCCAAUCUAGUUCCAUUUAGGAAUUAGGAAUCGAAUUGGAAGGAUUGAUUCCUAAUUUUUAGGAUAAAAAAUUAGACCGGACCGAUUUAGGAUCGAGAACUGGACCGGACCAACCGGUCUAGUCCGAUCUGGUCCCAUGAAACGAAUUACUUAGUAAGAAAAUUUAAAAAUUAAGAAAAAUACAAGAAUUUUUACUAUUUUUAAGUUUUAUUGCUAUUUUAAGAAAUUAAAAAAUCAAUUUAAAAAAAAAUGGAUUGACCGGUCCGGUCCGGUCCAUUCCGGUUCCACCCCAAAAUUAGGAACCCCAACAAUUACCGGAACUAGGAAUUGGACCAAUCCCUCUGGGAACCAGACCACACUGGCCAGUCUAGUCUGAUUCAAGCGAUUCUCGGUUUGGGCAGUCCGAUAUGCUAACCCCUAAUCUUAUCUUGUCUCCAUGACCAAAUGAAUCACGAUAACUUUACAUCAUUGAUCUCCACUUCACGUGCAAUGAGAGCCGUGUUCGGCCUGGAGCAACGAUCGUGAAGUCGGAAGUACCCACCCGCAUCGAUGUUGGAGCAGCUCUGUGACAGUGGUGCCGGUGAGCAAAACGGUAUUAGGGCGCUAAGCUUAGAGUGGAAAGUGGGUCUAGGGUUUCCUGGUGAUUGAGCAUAGCAAAGUGUUAGAAGCAUUUUGGAGAAGAAAGUCACAGUUUGAUUAAACAAAAAAAAGUCACGUGGUCGUUUCUUGUGAGAUGGAAUGUGGUACCGUUUUUAUUGAGAAAAAAUAGGGUGUUAAGAUUGGAUUAAUUUAGGAGAUUAUGUAACAUAGCUCACUGUCUUUAUUGAGAAAAAAAAAUUGUACGGAUUUUCGUUAUUUUCAUGAGAAUAGCUUACACAACCAUCGCCAAAUAAUAAUUGGCGUUAAUAUAUUAGAGAAUUCAAUUAAUCAAUCUUUAAAAAAGCAAUAAAAUUAAAUGCUAAGUAACACGAUGAAGAAAGUAACAAAGUUAAUCUUUUAGCAGAAAAAAAUGAUGAGCUGAUUUAUACUUUUUCUAAUAAAACAAUAGGCAGGGAGAGAAGAUCGCUGGGUGGCUCCUCCACCGAUUGUAAUGUGUAUUGUAUGGGUGCCAUAUUCAUGAAUGGCGUAGGCGAGGACACAUAUUUGAACGUUAACUUGUAUUUGAUAUAAGCAAACUUUAUUUCAAUUUAUGGCCAAUUUAAUGAAUAUCUAGGACACCUGUUAAAUAUUUUUAUUAAAGGGAUUUUGACCUUCAAUGUGUAAUAGGAUAUAUUACGAUGACAAUCAACAUAUUAGGAGUUGCAAUAUUUUCUUAUUUAGUUGCUUAAUGAGUGUUUUCGAGAGACCUUUUAAAUAAAUAUUUUUUAUCUUGGAUCUUUAUACUUUUUUAAUACACUUCAAUGCUUCGGCUUGGAUUAAUAAGUUCUUUCAAAGGGAAAGCCUAGUGGAUUUUUCCAAGUAUUAUGCAAAGAAUGCAAUCAAGUAUUAUGCAAAGAAUGCAAUCGACUAAUAAACUUUCGGUUGGUAAGAUCAAUUUCUAAAUCUUGUAUAAAGAGAAAAGUUUAACAAAAUCCUUCCACCAGAAAUUUGCCAUUGUUUCUGUAAAAAACUGUUUGAGUGAGCGUACGUUGAUUCAAAUAAGGUACAACUGAAAAAAAAUCUCUGAUACUCUUUCCAAUUAAAAAAAUUUCAAGAUUCAACUAAUCCUCGAUUUUGAGCAGGAUUUACAUGGCACUGUUUAGAAUCAAUAAUCCAUUACCCUGCCUUCCACUCAGACAGAGCCAGAGAGAGAGAGAGAGAGAGAGAGAGAGAGAGAGAGAGAGAGAGAGAGAGAGAGAGAGAGAUUUUGUCUAGCCAGACAGUGACUAUGGAAGCAUUUGGGUUCAUUGCAGAGAUGAUAAUUACAAAAACAAGAGGUGAGAAUUUGUUUGCUCUGCCCUGAUAUUAUUGUAUUCGCUCUUCCGGGGUACGUGUCCAAAUACCUUUCAGCUCUUUAAUAAUUAGUGAAUCUUUUUUUUUUUGGUCGAAUAUAAUUGGUGAAUUAGGUUAGAUUAGAUUAAAUUAGGAGAUUAUGUAACAUAGCUCACGAUAUAGAAAAAAUAGUAUGGACUUUUACUAUUUUUGUAAGAAUAGCUUACAUAACCAUUGACAAAAUAAUAAUUGGCAUUAAUACAUUAGAAAAUUCGGUUAACCAAUCUUAGAAAACAUGAUAAAAUUAAAUGCAAAGAAACACGAUGGAGAAAGUAACCAAGUUAAUUUCUAAGUAGAAAAAAAAAUGACGAGGUUGAUUUUAUUUUUAAUAAAGAAAUGGACGGGGAGGGGUGAUCACCAGGUGCCUCUUCUGUUGAUUGUAAUGUGUAUUGUGUGUCAUAUUCAUGUAUGGCGAAGGUAAUGGUCUAUUUUGAAACUUGAACUAGUAUUUGAUAUCAACAAAUUUUAUUUUGAUUUAUAGUCAUUUUAAUGAAUAUCUUGAGUACUUGUUAAAUAUUUUUAUUAAGAGAAUCUUCGAUCUUCGAUGUGUCAUCGAGUAUAUUAUGAUGACAAUGAAUGUAUUGGGAGUCACAAUUUUUUUUAUUUAAGUACUUAAUAAGUGUUUUUGAGGUACUUUCUAAGUAAAUCUUUUUUUAAGUCAAGUCCUUAUGCUCUUUAAAAAAAAAAAUAUUCUAAAUCUUUUACUAAACCAGCGAAAGGUAUUUUUUUCGGAGUACAAGAGGAAAGAAGAAGAAAGAUAGGCGGAUGCGUCACGCAUAUGUAGGUGCGGCAAAGGGAAGAUUAGGAUAAACACCUCUGGUCGGACCGCUUGCUUUUGGCCUUUCUUCUUUUAUUUCUUACUCUUUUUUUUUUUUUUUGGCAUUUGGGCAAAGACGCGUACUUCGUUUCUUGUUUGACGGGUUGCAAGUCUCUUCUUCCAACCCAAACCACAAAAAAGAAACAAUUAAAAAAUUAAAGGAAGAUUGCAAGUCUCUUCUUGAUGCUCGACAUGCGAAUCACGCUGGAAUGCAUUCCACUCACUUUAUUGAAAGGACUUCCUGUGCAAUUUUCCUGUUUCGCUUUCAUCUUGACUCAAAGUCGUCAGUCUAUUAUUUGCAUCUUCUUUCCUCCUCUCUUCCAUUUCUCAAGCAUCUCUCUGCUCAGAGUUUCACUGCAGGCCAUGGUUUUACUCUGCAGCAGUCUCCCCUCUUUCUUCCUUUCCUUUUCCUUCGUUUUGCUAUUGCCAUUCUCAAACUUCAUUGCUCAAGCUCGAGAUUAUGAUCAUCCAACCGCCAUGCUUUCAACACGGUGGACGAAUAACGCAACAGCUAAUCACUCCACCCAAUAUAGUGCUGGAUCAGUUGUGCAGAAAAUUCUAUUCCGACGCGCAGGAGUUACUGCCUACUACUCCUGCGGCUUCUAUUGCAAAGGUAAGUGCACCUCUUACCUCUUUGCUGUUCUAAUCAUCAAACCUGACUAUAGGGUGGACGGAAGUCCACGAGUAGUGUGGUCUGCCAAUCGAAACAAUCCCAUAAAGAUUGGCGCAACAUUGGAGCUCACGCCUGAAGGCGAUUUGGUGUUGAAAGAUGCUGAUGGUACGGUUGCUUGGUCCACAAACACUUCUGCAAAGUCCGUUGUAGGCCUGAACUUGACAGAUUUGGGGAACCUCGUAUUGUUUGAUAAGGACAAUGCGACAGUUUGGCAGUCCUUUGAUCACCCAACCGACUCACUUGUCCUCGGACAAAAGUUGAGGCAUGGGCAAAGAUUGACGCAGAGUAUUUCCGAGACAAGCAGAGUAUUUCCGAGACAAAUUGGACCGUUGACGAUAUGAUUACGUUUUCCGUGAAUGACGAUGGUUUAUCUGCUCAAGUGGAGACUAAUCCUCCUCAAAUCUAUUUCAACUACAAACUUGACACUGGGGAUACAAGUAUCAAGAUUUCAUAUGUUGAGUUUGUAAAUGGAAGCUUGUCUUGGUUCUCAAAUUCUACCUCGAAUGGGAGCUUUUCUCUUUCAAUCCCUUCAGCAUCUUCAACACAACACAUGACGCUAGGCUCAGAUGGGCAUUUGAAAGUGUAUGAGCCUGGGGGGGUAGAAGUGGCCGAUCUUUUCAAAUGGUAUGUCGAUGACUGUGCCUAUCCGACGGUGUGUGGGCACUAUGGAAUUUGUUCCAAUGGGCAAUGAACUUUGCCAUAACUUAUGUUGCAAUUAAGUUUUAUUGCUUAUGUAGAAACUAAUCGUACUCAAGUCUGUUGUGUCUUAAGUCAUUCGUGUAAAAUGCUGCCAAAAGACUUGCUGCUAAAAGACUAGUCAGCUACUUGUAAUGUCUUUUGGCAGCUUUACCAUUUCAUGGUUCCAAAUCUAAUUUGCUUUUUGGUUUCAACACCUAAUAUCUUUCAGAUUCAAUGACUUUACCUCCGUGUCUUCCUCAUUUCAAAAUUAAUGAUCUAUUUUUUAGUCCAUUCUACAAGCAGUACAAUUAAAACCGAUAAAGAUAACAGGAGAAUUCAAUCAUUGAUAAGUUCGAAUUUUUCCUUGUGACUCCUAAUACAUCCUAGGUUAAUAAUCUUAACUACCAGCUUUUUAAGGAUCUAUGGAGAUCGUUUCGAGGCAUAUGAUUGCCAAAAAUAAAGAGCUGACAUGUUUGGGCAUUCAAGAUUCGACUUUUCAAUCUUUAAAAAACGCUGAUCAUUUGCAAUAACCUCGGCAUUUCCAGUCUUUAAUCAUCAUGAUCCAAGCGUGCUGAUCCAUCAAAUUUAUCCAGGUAUAAGAAGCUGGUCCGGGUCUUAUUUGGUCCCGAAACUGCUCGCACAAUUAACCAAAGUUCAAAGCGAUCUGACAUGGCCCGCUGCCAUGCCGUGGCACCUCUUGAUUCUCUUGAUUCGAUCUGAUAGCGGCAGGUCAACAAACCAGAGCCCACGUGGAGCUCACCCAUUGGCCUGAGCUAUGUGUAACCUCUCGCAAAGUCCUCCCUCUUCCUUGCACAAACUCACUAGCGACGGAAAUAUUUCUUCUUCUUCUUCUUCUUCUUCCAAUUCCUCUGCAUUUGCGCCCUUCGCCUUCUCCUCUUCUUGAAGUCUCCGAAUCAGAGUAGCCAUAGUAAGCCAUCACAAAUCGCACAGAGAAACGAUAAUCAGUACAUAACAUCCCCAAAAAGUAUAAGACAAGACAAUAAAACUGAUGUGAUUAUAAAAAUAAAAACUGUACGCAAGCAGAAAGAAGGCUGAGAGGAAGAAAGAAGACGACAUAUGGCCUAUGACUUCCCGAGACAUCUCAAGCAUAACAUAAGACCGUUUGCAAUGCAUAAGCAUCAGAAAUACAGCAUAUUAAAUAUCAAUAGCCAGUGGUCCAUUUCUUUCUUUACAGUAGCCCAAACUGGAUCCAGCUUAUAAAAGAGGAGUUUACUCUUGUUGCACAGUGUCAGCUUGCCAUGCAAAAAAGCAGAAGUGUAAAGAGACACAGCAGCAUUCUUUUCUUCGCUUGUUUCCCCCUAAAAGAUGUCAAGGUAGUCUCCAUAUGGCUAUGAAGCUCAAAGUAAGAGACAAUUACAAAAUGCUGUAACAUUUUCUUCCUGAUAGUUUAUGCAACAGAUAUUGGACAAAUGGAGAGCUAGAAGUGCAUACAGCCACACACAGAGGGCUCAUUAAUUCAUUAACAUUAAGGAACAGAAUAUCAAGACAGAAAAAAUAUAAAUAUUACAAAAUGCCAAGCCACACUAAAAAACCCUUGCUGUUUUAGUUAUGAGUGAAUCAAGGUUUACCGUGUAAGAUUUCGACUUAAUGACUAUUUUUCCAUUUCUCUGGAGAAGUAAGCUGUUAAGCAACCUGAUAAUGGAAUUGACAAACUUCUUACAAGUUACAUAGAGUAUAACAAAAUUUCCAAAUACUGCUCACAUUUUCAGUCCCUGUAAGAUUGUUACAUCUAUUCUCCAUGAGGAGCACAUAGUAUAAAGUACAUGUCUCUCCAAUAUUUACAAAAUAACCAUCAAAAAGCCCACCAACAGAGCCAGGGUGAUCACUAUCUUUUCUUCAAGCAUGUGUGUUUACUAAUACAAACAGACGGAGAAAUUCCUAGAAAGGCAGAGCCUUGUGAACAAGGUCAACUGGACUUCCUGGAUACAACCAUCAUCAAGCUAAGAGAAAACGCUGCUGUAAAAUUAGUUUAGCCAAAAUCUGAUGAACAAUGGUUUGAGAAGUCAUAGCUAGACAAUCGGAUGUAUCCUACAAUCACGACCACAUGCAUCUCCACAGAGGGUGAUAACUAUCUCAUCUCACAACAUCAGGCCCCUUGAUUUUGAAUUAAUGAUCACACCAAUGCAAAAGCAAUUGCUCAUUGGAAACUCAAUUGGAUCUCACAAGGCCCUCUAAUAGGGAGCCCACCAGGAAAGCAUUAUUCCACUUCUUGUUAAAGGGUUACUAACUCCCAGUCCUCAACACUACAGGAGAGUAUCGCCACAAUAAAUGGAACUUCCAUAGGAGUGCACGCAGAUCUGAAGGACCAGAGCUAGUCAGGAAAAUCCUCAUUGUAAUAAGCUUUCCUUCGAAUACCAGACAGUAGUAAUGUACAACUAGAACCCUGUGGAAUAAGUUGAGUUGUGGAGAUCUAUAUUGAUCAGAGGAAAUUGAAAAGUCCUACUAUAUUAAAGAUCAAUUAAUAUCCCAGCAACCAGACCAUCGAAAAACCAUCCAAGGAAGCAGAGCACCAUAAAGUCCAGAAAAUGGGAUCACACAAUCAAAUUAGGUAGCUUCUUCAAUCACCUGAUAAAUCAAAAGAGGGCCUGCAUCGCCAUUUGCAGUUCAGAAUGUACAAAGCAAAGGCUAUGACUAAGCUAAAACUAGUCAUCAACAUCUAACUAAACAAAGCCCCUCUAAAAUAACUACCGAUUGAAGUAAAAUGAAGACUGCAUAACCUGUUUUAUUCUGAAAAAUGAAGAGAAGGCUACAUAACCUCUUGAGCACCUGUAUUUAUCAACUCAAACAUGACUGGAAAGGGGACUCAAACGAGAAUUUCUCAGAGAGAGAGAGAGAGUCAUGUAGGUGGGUACCACACGAUCCAACAAUCCUCACCUGCAUAUGAAGACGUGUCCUUCCAAAUUUUCCAUAUAACAAAAGUCAAGCAAGGAAAAUCAUACCAUCCGUACCCAACAAAACCCGCACAACAGAAACAGGCAAACCCAGUCGAUGCCAAAGAUAAUUCAAUUUAACUCUAGGUCUCAAUGAUAUCAAGCCAUCAUACUUGCAACAUUAGGGCUGGGAGAUACUAUAAGCCUAGUCCACGCACCAUGACAUCCUCUGUGAUUUUCUUUUCAAUGACUUCAGUAUUUUUUGCAAUUUACAUUCAUCAGGCAUAAUGAAAAACUAAAUCAAAUGUACACUAUUAUGUGCAUCAUCAAACAAUGAUUAAGUAAAAACUAUGUCCACUUGAAUUGACAUGAAACUGGUACAUAACCACGAAACCAUAAGCGCUGGGCAGGUACUUAUAUUUGUUGGCCUAUGUGAAGAUGUUAAUAUACUCUCAAGCCAAAGAGAAGGGCUUUCUAUUUGAGUAUCUAAUUGGAAAAAAAUGUCCUUAUUAGACAAAUAAACCAGCAGAUGUUCAGAAAAAAAGCACAAGUGGGCAUUCUUUGUGUGCAAUAGGUGCUGCUAAUUUUAAGGCCUCUUGGAGCCUGAGCAACUGGCUUUCUAUGUGAGUAAUUGAUUGAUCAUCGUCGCCACUGAUUUUGCAUAGAGACACCAGAAAGAAAUGUUAGACGAAGAAAAAUAGAAUGAAUACUACCGGUUGUCUUAAUCAACGCAUUUUCAUUUGUGCCAUCAAUCUUCAGUUUAAACAUUCCACGACAUCUGAAAUGAUCAUCACGUAAAGUAAUCCUAUUGUAAUGUUAAACCCUCCCCACAUAGAAACCUUCCCAGUAUCGAUGAUCCACCACCCUGACUUCAUCUCAAAGACAGAGCCAGAGAGAGAGAGAGAGCAAGGAUCUUGUAACUGAUGGUGUAACUUUUUAAGUAUUCAUAACAGCAAAGCUGUAGCAUAUAGCCUAAAAGAGAAGACCGACAAUCUUAAAGGUGAUGAUCGAUAGGAGCGAGUUAGAAAGAGCUUCU